RNAcentral lists this long non-coding RNA (95848 nucleotides) under Gossypium barbadense (sea-island cotton). Its description in RNAcentral is "long non-coding RNA (GBAR_LNC009300)". The record is from RNAcentral. Lineage: Eukaryota; Viridiplantae; Streptophyta; Magnoliopsida; Malvales; Malvaceae.
UUUUUUUUUUUUUGUAGGUUUUAUUUUGUGGCAAAUGCUAGUUAAAGUAGAGGUCAAUUUGUUGUUGGAUAGUUUUCGUUACAAAUAUUAAUAAUUUUAUCAAUUUGUUUUAGAUUUCAUCAGUUCACUUAACCCGAUUCGAAGGUCCGCUCGAAAAGUGGAAGGGUUUGGAUAAAAAUAUAGAUCCAAAAAAUGGGCUUGUGAAAAAAAAUAAGACCUAUUUAAAAAAUAGGCCGAGCCUCGAAUAAAUUUUUUUGGCUCAAGCUCAACUUAGCCUGAAUUUGCAAAAAGAAGAAGAAGAAGAAAGAAAUUACUACUUUUUUUUUACUAUUUUGUCACUAUUUUGCUGUCAUUUCACUAUUAUAUUGUUACUAUUUUGUUGUUAUUUUUUGAAUAUUGUGUAAACUUAUUUUAUUGUUAAUUUUGCUACUAUUUUAGAGGCAUUUGUUUGUAAAGUUGUAUUUUAAUAUUAUUUAAGUAGACUUUUUUAAUUUAUUGAGAAAUUUGUAGUGUUUUUUUUUUAUGAAUUAUAUUUUUAAAAUUUAUUUUUAUAUAAAAACAAUAUAAGAAAAUUAAUACAAAUGAGUCGGACUGAAUUUGAGUUUUAACUUUUUUAUCCAAAUUGAAUUUAAGUAAAAUUUUAAUCUCAUUUUUCAAGUUGAAUUGAACCUGAACCUAUUGAACUAACUUGAAAUUUUAUCAUGAUCACUUCUAAUUUAUUUGCACUUAAUUGUUUUUUUUAUAUUAUUAAAUAGAGGAGUUGUUUGCUCCCUUAUUGAGAAUACAAGAGACUUUUGGGGAUACCUGUAUCCUUUUUUGACGGACCAUUUGGUGAAUGAACAAGUAGUAAUUAUAACAUGUCUUAUAUUAAAUACUUGCACAUAUUUGCUGGUUAUUAGAAUUGUAAAAAUUGAAUAAAUUGUAUAAUGUUAUACAAUUUAAUAAACUAAUAUUUAGAUUGUUACAAAAAUAUAGAUAUAAAAAUCUAUUUCAAUUAACAAUAUAUUAAAAAUUUUCAAUCUUGAGAUUUUAGUGUUUGAAAUAAACAUAUAACUCUUAAUUUUCAGUUAACAAUAUAUUAAAAAUUAACAUAUUUACAACUUAAUUGCAGAUUAAUUAACAAAGAUUAGUCUCUCCUACUAGACUUCUCUCCAAAUACUUACAGUAUCUCUUGAUGUGGUGGUUACGACUAUCUAACAAUACAAAACUUUUAGAGUCUCUUAAGAAUUUUUAAAUUAUAAUUUUAUUUCUAUUUUUCAUAAAAAAUAAAUAAAAUAAAUAAACAUACAGCUAUUUUAUGGAAGAUUUCUCUUUGUUUUCUAAAUAUGAUAAGUUUGGGCUUAACCUUUUUAUCUGAUUAUAGCUUGUAUUUAUUUUUUUAUAUAAUAUUUAUACUAAUAGAGUUUUAAGUAAAAAAUUUUGGUAAAAAUAACAAGUAGCACUAAUAAUUAUUAAAAUAAUAAUAUUUCAUGUCUCUUCCCCUCCUAAAUUACUAACAGAAACAAAAAAAUGUAUGAGGUUGUAUCAAGGAGUUUUUCACUUCGUUUUAGUAUUGGAUUUGGAUUGGCCUUGGGAGGGAUGGAAUCGAACAACAAAAUGCCAAAAACAAGAUUCUCUGUCAAAGCCCUCUCCUCUUCUUCUUCGGAUCAAAACCCAAACCCAGGUUUUCAAACCCCUAUCAUCCUCUUCUUCUUCUUCUUCUUCUUCUUCUUAUUUCCUUUUGUCUAAACCUUUUGAGUAUUUUCAGGUUCUGGAUUGACCAACAACGUUUCUUUGCCUCAAGUUCGAGUUUUUACCAGGAAAAAAAGGCUUAAAAAGACACUGGAUGUUGUAAAAGAAAAUCCCAAACCAGAAAAUGAAGACCAUAAUGUAAGACCAUUGUUUUUUUUUUCCCCCAUUUUUUCCCUUUUUUUUCCCCAUUAAUUCCAUUAUUUUUACUAGUGAUAUGUUACUCAGGAUAUUUUUUCCUGUAUGAUUCUAGAACAUGCUUAUAUGCUCUGAAAUUCGUUAUUUAACGGUGUCCUAUUACUGUAUUAGUCAAAAAUUGAAAUUUGACAACAUAAUGGAUUGAUCACACAACCUAUCGUAGAUUUGUCGGUGUAGAGUUGUUCUUGACCAUCUAGCCAUAAUGUCUUUUUGUGCAGUCGUGUAGCUUACCUGACAUAGAAGAAUUUGCAUACAAGAAGGUAGAUGGACCUGCUCGGUCAGGUAGGAUUCCUGUGGUAAUGCUAUGUUCCUACUAUUAGUACGCAAAUGGUGAAAGUUUUUGCUUAAAAGGAUUGUUGGAUUGACAAUGUCAAUGCAUCGAGUUGUGAUGGAAUGAUUUCCGAAUCUCGAGACAAUUCACCACGUUUGGAGACUUCGCACAUUGCUAUCAUGCUGUUUUCCUAUUGCACAUAUGAACCCCCGCACUAACAAAUACACCUAUGAGCCGACAAAGUCACUGUUACAGUGGCAAGGUGGUUGUAAGUUGGCACCAAAGACCACGGUUCAAAUCUUGAUCCCCUUCCCCAAAUUUGUAAUGAUAAAAGAAGAAAGACCUAUUUACCUAAGCACACAGAUGCACUAAUGCUUGGCUGUGAUAUAUGCUUAUGCUGAAUUUUGUCCAUUUUAAUGGAUUAUCUCCCUGGGUCUGAUUAGUUUUUUUCACAUACCAAUGAUUUUGCAGGGAAGUCGAAGUCCGCAUGUGAUGAGCUUAAUGUGGGUGUCGGUAUUGCUUCUCCUAUUGGAGUGGGAGGUAAACAGUGAUAAUUAUGUGCAUGUGAAAAUGUUAUUUGGAAUUACACGAGAAGAGAGAUUUUCUAACGUAAAACUUAUAAUGUACAAUGCGGGCCAAUUUGCUCUAGCUUGUAUGCAUUUUUUUCCUACAAAUAAAUUGAGUAGUCUAAUGUUGCCAAAGUUUGCAGUUGGUGUUUGCACCCUAUCAUUGUGAUUCAGAUAUAAAAAAAUUAUAGACUUCUGUCUGUAGAGUGUGUGUUUAGGUUGUUAAUUACAUUCGCUCUUUUUAAUGAAGAGGUCCAUGUAAACAAUGGAAUGAUGCGACGGUUUUGAUUGACAAAACCUUCUUCCUGGUUCAUUUCUUUUGAGUGUUAAAACAAAGAAAAGAUGAUGCAUUUGCUGUUGAUUUGUUCCACAUGAUGCAGGCAAACCACCUGCCAACUGGGAAAAAGUGCUUGAAGGAAUCCGUAAAAUGAGAUCCUUAGAAGAUGCACCUGUGGACACUAUGGGAUGUGAGAAAGCUGGAAGUGUUCUUCCACCCAAGGUACAAUCUUGUCGAUCAUUUGUAGGUAGAUAUAUCAUUGGUAAUCAAUAAUUUAUCCUUUUUAUACUGUAUUUGCCAUUUGCAUUUCUGAUGCUGCUUUGGUUCUUCAAGUUUAAGGCAUCAAAUUUGGGAUUUAAAGUAAAGGGCACUGAAGUGCUUUAUUUAAUCUGAGGCUACACGAAGAAAUAUUGAACCCCACAUAGUUUAUUAGCUAGAGAAACUGCUUAAUGCCAGUAUGGAACGUGCUUCAUGUUGUAGCUUAAAUCAUCUUUGGUUCUUGUAGACGAAUUAUCUUGAGCUCAAUAUUCCCACUUUGCAGCACCAACUAGUGUCCUAUAUAUUUGAUUGUUGACAGCGAAUAUGAUGGGUGGAUGGAGAUUGAUUUUGCCUUAUUAGCCUCGGCCCUUGCUUCAAGCUCCAUUAGUGGGGUCUGGCUUCCAAAACUAUGAUUUCGUCAUUCUUGAUUCUUGAAGCAAUGUUGUUGAAGAUUCUUUGCAUCCUAAAGACAUUUGUUUUAGAUUCUUAUUUACUGAUUCUUUUCUAUUUAAUGGAUGUUUAAUUAUGUAUGCUUGAAAACAUAUAACUAGUAUAUCUUUUAACUCUUACCGUGUGUUAGGAAAGAAGAUUUGCUGUCUUGGUAUCAUCACUACUAUCUAGCCAAACCAAAGAUCAUGUUACUCAUGGUGACUCCCUAAUCUUUUAGUUUAGUUUACAGUUAUAUAUCAAUUCAACUAAUCAUCUUCUUGAAGUAUUAGACAUUCUAGUUAUAACUUGCAACAGUAGGAAAUUGGGGCAUCUAGUUCUAGUUUUGCUUGGUGGCCGUAAAAAGUUUUGCAUCAGAAAGUUCUUAAGCUUUAUACUUUCAUGACUGUUUAUGAUGAAAAAGUUUUCUUCAAAGUAUAUCAUGGUUAUGCUUACUUUUAAUAUAAAAUUUUCAUAAUCUAAAUUCUUAUAAAAUCUCAGUCAGGGAUUUUUAAUGUUCUCAUUUCCCUUUUUCUACUGGAUCCAUAAGAAGUUUUUUUCAUGUUUUUAUUUUUGGCGAAGAAGUUUAUCAUGGAUGAAACUUGAUGUAUGAUGAAAUAAGUUGUUCAUUGUGGUUGCUUGGUUGGUGAGUUUCUAUCCUAACAUCUAGAUACUUGAAAAUAAGUAUAUGCUUUUUAAUUUAAUGCAUGCCUUAAGAGUUUGUGCUUGUAAUCUCAACUGCGGAAGGGAAUGAUAUAGAGAAAUGUUUAAAAGCUUAUAUAACUGUAGCUCAACAUGAAAAUGAAAAUUCUUAAAUAGAUGAUAGUUAUGAGCACUCGAAGUAGGACAAGGACAUUACCAAAUCAAAUUAGUUUAAUGGUAAUGAAAGAAAAAAUCCAUUUUCUCUCUCUUUCUCUGUGGCUUGGACUCUGGACAUGUAUUUAUUGGUAAUGGUCGUGAAUGACUGAAAUAGCUUUGAAUUAGGCCACUGCCACUCUUAAAUUUUGCAUUAAAGAUUUAGGCAAGGAAUACCUUUGCAACGUAUGAGAUGUAACUGAUAGUAUAUUCUGUGAUGUUAUUAUCAUUGAAACUUUGUAUAGGCUUUGUCUUUUCUGAUAUAGUCCUAUGUAUUACCCUGACUUUGUUGAUUAUGUUCUUAACACUAAUAAAGAUGCUGUAUGCGCAGGAGCAAUUCAACGUCUCAGUCAGAAUUGUCUUCUGACUCCUGAUGCCAUUGACAAAGCUGAUGAAGCAACUAUUAAGAAUUUGAUCUACCCGGUAUGUCAUCCUAGAAGUUGCUUAAAAAACUAGGCAUCAAAGCUUUUCCAUUUUGACCUGUGUGUGCUAGUCCUGAUAGGUAUACAAGUUUUUUUUUCCCAUAAGCUGUAGCUUUAAUCUUAUUGCCUAUUUUCUUUCUGUCUCUUCCCUCACGUCUUUGUCAGCUACUGUUAUGAAAUUUCAUUUUGUUUGUUUUAGGUCAGAUUUUAUAUUAUGAAAUUUCAUUUUGUUUGUUUUAGGUCGGAUUUUAUACAAGGAAAGCUAUUAAUAUGAAGAAAAUUGCAAAAAUCUGUCUUAUGAAGUAUGAUGGGGACAUUCCAAGCUCCUUGGAGGAACUACUCUUGCUCCCAGGGAUAGGCCCGAAGAUGGCUCAUUUGGUAGGAGGGUAAUUACAUAACUUUUUAAAAUUAUAUGUAUACGGAAUUUGUAGUUUGAUGUGUGGUGCUUUAGGUUAUGAAUGUUGCGUGGAAUGAUGUUCAAGGGAUAUGUGUAGAUACUCAUGUGCACCGCAUUUCCAAUCGGCUUGGAUGGGUGUCUCGACCAGGGACAAAACAGGUACCUCAAUCUUAUUUUGUUUAGUUGCUUUUUUUUUUCAUAAUAUAUUUUUAGUAUUAAAACUACUUAAUUUACAUACCUAUUUGAAAUUAAUCAGGAUUGUAUAUAACACCGAAAUUUGUAACUUAAAAUCUGUUUCUGUGUCUAAAGAGAAAUGUCAUGGAUUUUUGCGUGUAAUUAUUUUGAUAAAUGCAAUUGACCUGGUUAGAAGUUAUGAGUAAAUUAUUUAAGCAACUCAGUUGACCUAGUUAGUGGAAGGCCUCUAGAGAUAUGAUGUUUGUUCCUCCCUCUUCCCACAUUCUAAUUAAUCACCACUUACAAACAUAUAUGGUCAUACAACUUCAAAGUGAACCUUUAAAUAGAAUUUGAUUUAUUAGUUCUGAGUUACUACAAAUUGGAAAAAGUGUCUUUCUUCCUUGGAAAAUUUGUUUAAUAGAUGCUCUUUCCCUUUUCAUACUUAAACAAAUGGCAUAUGUCAUUACUCAUUAUCGUGUCGGUUUGCUAGAAAACUUCGUCUCCAGAGGAAACAAGAGUGGCAUUGCAACAGUGGCUUCCAAAGGAGGAAUGGGUCCCAAUUAACCCUCUUUUGGUAUGUAGCCAUUUCAUUUAUUCGAUUUGCUCACACCUAAAUAUGCACUCUUAUAUAUGAAGAAUUUAGAUGCAUGCAUGCAAUAAAAUUUAUCUCUUCUGUUAAAAGGUCUAUUCAUGCUACAAUCAUUUGUAUAUGAUUCACUUUCAUGGUGUUCCAAGUUUACCUACAUACACAAGAGGCAUGAUUUCAGCAUCCUCGUGUUAAAAAGGUUUCCAAUCUUUAUCAGAGCAUUAUAACUAAUUCGUGAUGAUUAGUGCAGUUUCUUUUCAUCAUGAGUUUCAAAUGAUCCUAAUGCAAACCCCUAAAUUGAUGCAACUAACGUCUAACAACUUAAUGCUUGUAUGAACAAAAUUGAGUUUGAACAGGUGGGAUUUGGACAGACGAUUUGUACUCCACUCAAGCCACGGUGUGAAACCUGCAGCAUUACGUUGUUUUGCCCAUCUGCCUUCAAGGAAGCCUCGAGCCCGUCUAAGGUGAAAAAAUCUGGUGCUAGGAAAAAGCUUUGAUCAUUUUAAUUCUUGAAAGCAGGAUUUUAGUUUCAUUUUGCGAGGCAACCCUAAGAAAUCUCCGGCCGGGUAUGUUGAAUGCAGCCAUGUAUUCUUAAUAUCGGUAGGAGUAUGUAUUUUGUUGAAGGGCUUAGAAAGCAUAUUCUUUUUGAGGUAACUCUCGUAUAAACUUCUUAAAGAUUAAUGUGAUGACACAAAUUUGGGAAUUCAUGGGUCAUAUUUUUUGUAUUUACUCACACUGCAGCUUUUACAAUCAAACCAUGCUCAAAUAUCCGUUAUCCAAAAUCGAUCCUUGGGCUUGAUUAAUUAUAUACAAAAUAAAAUUUAAAUGAAAAUGUUUUUUUUAUUAAACACUAUUCAAUGUUUAUACCAAAAUAUAAACCAACCAUUCAAUGUGUUUGACAAAAAGAAAAAAUAAGAAGAAACUAUUCAAUUUGUACGAGUUUGAAUUUUAUUUUAGAAAUUUUCGGGAUCAAUGAUUGGAUCAUGCAAACUAGAAAUACUUUUUCUUGAAUCAAGUAGAUCACUCGAUCCAUUUCUGUAUCGCUCAUGAUCUAUCUCAUUUUUGUACAGUAGGGAUAUGAAAAUCCAUGAGAAGCAAUUGGGCAUAUUGUAUGUGUCAAUUGCCAUUUAGCGAAUAAACUCAUAGAAAUUGAGCUUCCACAAGUGGUACUUCUUAAUACUGUAUUUGAAGCGGUUGCUAGAAUUCUUUUGUUAAAACCAACUGAUAUGAAUUUAAUCCAAUUAAUUUAUGCCUAAUGAUUGAAUUUUUUUCCAAAGAUAAAAGAGCUACUUAAUGUGGAUUUUUUUAAUUAUUUUUAUUCUUUUAACAUUAUCUUUUAAAUAUUUUAUCUUUAAAGUUUUCAAAAUUAUUAUUUAGACUUCUCUCUCCAAUUCUUUAGAUUAAAAUGGAAGGAUUGAAUUGAACAUUUCAAAAACUUUGUAGCCCAAAUUGGGAGAAAAAUAAAAUAAAAGGACCACUUCUACUUUCUUACAUUGAAACGAAGCUUAAAAGAACUCACACAUCAAUCAUCCAUGUACAGUAAAAGCGGCGCAAAAAGAGUUCAAGAAAAUCACAGCAAACUCUGUUUUAUUGUAACCCAACUUUUCCCAGGCCAUUUGUGGUUUUCAUUUGAAACUCAGCUCAGCUAUUGCUUCUUCCGUUUUGCUUAAUUUCAACUUAUGGGUAAGCUUAUUCCUUCUAUUUUCCACUCUUCCUUUCCUCGAUAUUUUAACACCUUUGCUACCCACAUUCAAGCUUUAAGUGAGAAUUCCAUGUCUGUAAGGGGAAACCCAAAAAAUUCUGAUCGCUUCCGUAAUGUUGAGGAUGCUUUGGCUUCCUUUAAAAAGAUGAUUGACAAGUACCCACUGCCUUCAAUUCUGGAAUUCACCAAAAUAUUAUCAUCCAUUGUUAGAAUGAAACAUUAUGCUACUGUUGUUUCUUUGUGUAGGCAGAUGGAAGUAUUAGGAGUUCCCCAUAAUGUUUAUUCUUUCAACAUCUUGAUUAAUUGUUUUUGUCAAUUAGGUCAUACUGAUUUCGGGUUUUCUGUUUUUGGGAAAAUGCUCAAGUUAGGUGUUGAGCCUGAUGUUGUAACCUUUACCACUUUGAUUAAUGGACUUUGUAAGCAACGUAAGAUUUCUCAGGCUGCAAGUUUGUUUCAUGAAAUGAUUGGAACAGGGUAUCAACCUAAUUUAAUUGCUUACAGUACAAUACUUAACGGGUUGUGUAAGACUGGGAACACCAAAAGAGCUGUUAGGUUUUUAUCGAUGAUGGAAGAAAGAGGUUUCAAACCUGAUAUUGUAGCAUAUAGCACCGUCAUUGACUGUCUUUGUAAGAAGGGCUUGCUAAAUGAGGCUUUGGAUCUCUUCUCCGAAAUGAUGGUUAAGGGCAUUAGACCAAAUAUUGUUACUUAUAGUUGCUUAAUUCAUGCUAUGUGUAAUUCCGGUCAGCAGAAGCAGGCAACAAGGCUUUUGAAUGAAAUGGUGGAUAACAAUAUCUCACCUAAUAUUUUUAUAUAUAAUAUAUUGAUUGAUGCACACUUCAAGGAGGGAAUGAUUUUUGAAGUUCUAGAUAUUGUUAACACAAUGGGAAAUCAAGGCAUCGAGCCUGAUGUUGUCACAUAUAGUAUAUUGGUAGAUGCAUAUUGCAAGAAGGGAAUGAUUUCUAAAGCUGAAGAUAUUGUUGACAGUAUGAAAAAGCUAGGCAUUGAGCCUGAUGUUGUCACAUAUAACAUAUUGGUUAAUGCGCAUUGCAAGGAGGGAAUGGUUCCUAAGCUGAAGAUAUUGUUGACACGAUGAGAAAGCAAGGUAUUGAGCCUGUCGUUGACACUCAUAGUAUAUUGGUUGAUGCACAUUGAAAGAAGGGGAUGGUUUUGAAGCACCAGAUAUUGUUGACACAAUGAGAAAGCAAGGCAUUGAGCCUAAAGUUGUCACAUACAACACUCUUAUGCAAGGUAUGUGUCAACUAGGGAGAGUUUCAACUACAUUUGAGCUUCGAAGAAAGAUGCUUGCUUCCAGAAAAUUUCCAAAUCUAGUGACCUAUUUGAUUCUGCUGGUUGGUUUAUGCAAAAGUGGUAAACUUGAAGAGGCAUUGAAAAUUUUUCGAGCAAUGCAAAACAGUGGGUUGGAACUUAAUAUUACCUCCUAUACUAUUGUAAUUGAUGGCCUGUGCAAAGCUGAGCAUAUCGAAGAUGCAAAGGAAUUAUUUCGUGAACUCUCUGUCAAUGUUUUAAAACCUAAUGUUUGCACAGUGAUUAUUGGAUUCUGUAAAGAGUGACUGUCAGAUGAAGCAUAGUAGUUGUUUAGGAGGAUGGGAGGAAAUGAUUGAUUACCUGUUAUUAUGUAAUGAUUCAGGGGUUUCUUCGAAACAAUUAUACUUCAAAAGCAACACAAUUUCUUAAGUUGGUAAGGGUUUCUCUGCAGAUUUACGCACUGCCAUCUUAUUUCUGAAUCUAAUCUUAUGAUGUGAGAAACUAAUCUUAAUCUGAAAUGUUUCAAAGAUAGUGUCACUUGCGAUUAUGAAUCAGUUUGUUCAUACAGUUUCAAACAUGGUGUAUAACAUAAUAAAACACGCUAACACAAAAUGAAUUUCAUACCAUAUUUGUACCUGCCAGAGAGUUCUUAAGUGAGAAUCACUUUUUUGAACAAUGAGAACACAAGUUCUUUUGGUAAUGCCACCAUUUGCAGUUCCAUUUCAAGCUCUUAUCUUCUUUUUGUUUUUAUUCCCCAUUUUGCUAAAUUCUUCAUUAAUGCUUAUUUUCAAUUGUUAAUGGUUGAAUGAAUCUUUGUAAUUUCCACUCUUUGUUUGCCAUUAUUGUUUCCACUCUUCUUUGUUAAUUUGUUAUUUUUAAUUAAUGUGGGUAAUCUGUAACUCUUAUUCUUCAUUUGGUCACCAAGUAAUAAUACACAAUAAUUAGUACAAAUUUAAAUUUAUGUGAAAAGCAAAAUCAGUAAAAGUUUUUACUUUCUCUUUACCAAAAAGAAGUGAUGGAAGUGAUUAAAGAUUAGUUUAUUGCUAACUUGUAGGAUUAAGCUGGAAUAAAGAUUACCAAUUGAAAUUUGGUGCUGUUUAACUAGGAUGCAGCUAAUAGGGGCAAGUGAGUCUGCAAAAAUGCCUUAUGUUUUAACCUCAGCAUUUACAAAAUUGAUGAGCAUGCAUAAUUUUAUGAGGAGUACCUGUGUGAGAGAGAGCAUAGGUGCUUUCAACACAAGUACAUGCACUUUCUCUUGCAUUUGGACCUUUGAAGUAUUAAUUAUUACCACUGUUUAUUUCUCCUAAUGUGAUGGUGUAGUUUCACCAAUGUUGCCAUUUAAUAGAAAAUCAAACAUUUACUCUGAUUAUUUGGUAUCUUUUUGAGAUGAUGGACUGUGACCAUCUCUGUUUUCCCAUUAUAAUUUUGAAUCUAUAUUCUGUAGUCAUGCUCCUUCCUGACAAGAUAGGAGAAAUAUGGUAAAUGAUAUUGUGCCUUUUUCUAUUUCAGUUUCACUUCUCUAACUUCUUAUCAUCAUUGGUAUCUGUGUGACUUGGAAAUUCAUUUUUGAAUAUGAGUAAAUCAAUGGUAAACCUGAAUAUACUUAGCCACACCAAUCAGUUAAUUAGCUUACCAUUCUGCCGCCAUUUCUGGUUUUUGGAUAAAAAUUCAACCGAAUUCUUUCAUUUGGUUUUUGACUUUUGAAAUCAAAAUUGUAUUGAAUAAAAUUUGAAAUAUCGUGAAAUCGAUAAUUGUGAUUUGAUUCGGUUUAAUUAAGUUGUUUUUGGUAAAUUUGAGAUUCGUUUAUCAAAAAAAUAAUAUCACCUUGUUUUGGACUUCAAAAAAUAUAAUAUUAAAUUUUUUUUUAUUUCUUUUCACAACAAUCAUAAUACAUAUGCUACAUUCAUUUAUGCAUUUAUAAAAUAAAUUAAAUAAUUAAAUUAAUAUCAUAAUCAUUCAUAGGACCGUUUAAAAAAAAUCUUUUUAAAUUAUUAAAUUGAUACCAUUGAAACUUGUUAAAAGGAAAGUUAACGUUCUAAGGUGUCGUUUCUUUUAAUUAGUUAUAACCGAGACACUGUAAUAUGACAUAUACUUAUUUAAAUUUAUAACUAUCAAAUAUAUAUAUAAUUGAAAACAUUUGAAUAAUUAUUUCUUUUAUAAAUAAAAUAUUAUAAAAUUUCAUAAAUUGUUUUUAAAUUAGAAUUAUGCAUAUAAUUAUUUUAAGGAAUGAUUUUUUUUUCAUUAAGUAAGGAUUCACCAAGACUAAUAUAAAACAACUAUCUCAAAAAUAUUUUAUUGUAUGGUUAUAUUUAGUUUUUCUUAAUGAAAAAAAAAAUUAGGUUAAACAAAUUAAUCUAUCUAGAUAUGGGUCAAUCUAUAUAGUUUUAUUUUAUAAAUAUGAUAUUGUUUUCAUUCAAUUUAAUUUGAAUAAAAUGAAUUUUAUGCGAGAAAAUCAAAUCCAAAUUGAAUUAUGUGAUAAGAGAUAAUCCACCAAUACAAAACUAUAACGGAUUUAAAUUGAAUGCAUUAAUUCGAAUAAUUUUUCGAUUUCCUUAAUUUCUUCUUUACGUCUGUUCUUAAUAUUUCUAAUUUCCACUCUUCUUUUACUCAUUAUUUUAACACCUUUGCUAGCCGCAUUGAAGAAAAAUUAAACAAUAAAUAUCAACAAUUGUUGUAAAUAAAAACAUGCGAAGAAAGUUGCAACUUCCAAAUUAAUUUAAAGCUAUCAAAAAAUUAUAAUCAAUGAAAACCAUAGCCUUUUUUUUUUAAAAAAAUAAUCUAAUUAAAUUCUCUAAAAUAACUUUUUUUUUAAUUUUUCUCAAAUUUAUUCGUGAAAUGUUUAAUUAACUUCUAUUUACCUACACUAGAAAUUGUGAAGUUGAAAUUUGUUGAAUAAUUUAGAGUGUCAUUUAGAUGGGUUAAACUGUAUAUUUAUAUGAUAUGGUUACUGUUCAUGGAUAUGAUAUUGUGGUAGAUUCCCAUGCACAUCGACACGUACCUUACUCCAGGGUUAACACGUGCUUUCUAAAUGUGGGUUCGCCUACAUGGUAGUGCGAACCCACACUAUACGGUCUUAUAGAAGAGUGCGAACACUUUGCAUGCGAACCCAAAGUGAGAACUGCGUAGCGUAUGGGUCAAGACCCAAUCGGGUAAUCAAGUAGCGAGUCGGUAAUAGUGAGUAACAUGUCCUCCGCCUGGAUCGAAGAAGAGUUAUAAAGUGACUUUUCUUAGAACUUGAUUUCACAAGAUGAGAGGUCACAUAAGGAGAAGCUUAUUAAAUACAUUUUGUGCUUUAACUUCUCACGUACAGUUCACCACGUGUUAAGGAGUGAUAUAGUUGUACAUAGCUGAUUGUGCCCAUAUUUUUGGAUACAGGAAUCAUUACAGUGUAAAGCCCUUUAAAAGGAGGUUACCUGAGCCCUAAAAACUAAACUAUUUGAAUUCAAAAUUUUGAAGAAUGAGUCAUUUUCAAGAGAACGACUUCAGAGGUAAUUUUCUUAAAAUCCCCAUUGUUCUUGUGAUUUUUUUGAAGGGUUUAUUAGAACACAAUGGUUAGGACGAGAGGAAACAGUCGUGUUAUUCAGGGCAUAUUUUCACAACACAGUGAAGUGAGUACUCCAGUAGAGGCAACGGCUUAUGUUUGCAUCACCAAAAAGGAAGAAAUGAAUCGUGUUUUGGCUGCUUGGGGAAUUCAAUUACCUAAUUUCGCUUAUGACUUCUCAAUCGCCGAAGGAUUGAACUGAUUAAGGGACACCACCAGUGGAAAUUUCUAACUUCCACUGCACGUGAUAAAAACAAGUUUCCAUGUACCACUCCACCCUUUCUUGUACCAUCUUAUCGAUGAAUACAGGAUAGCUCUAGGACAAUUAUUUGGCUUUUCGUGGUGGAUCACAAUGGCAUAUUUCAUUAAAUACAGUUGACGAGAGGAAGUGUCAUUGAUUGUUGUUUUCCAGAAUUUGUACCAACUAAAAGCUUGCAAUUGAGGAAGUUCAAUGGGUUUGUGUUAUUUCUCUCAUCGUGAAAAUUUACAAUCAAUCACCUCGAACUGGUUAUCAUACCUUCACCUAAACCGUUGCAAGUACAUACGAGUUAAGUACAAGCAUAAAGUUGGUUUUGAUUUUCCAACUGAAUGGUUGUAACACUUGGGUUUGUGCAAGUAUACACAGUCAUUAUCAAGUACUAAAUAAGUAUAAAGUUAUCAUUUUUACAAGGAUUGUAUAUGUUAAUUAAUAUUUUGCAAAAUUAAAGUUUUACAAAUUAGUGAGAAAACACAAUUAAUUUGAGUGUUAGAUAAAAAUAAGUAAUUAAAUGAAAAAUUACCCUAAAUGUAAUUAAUCCUAAGUGUGAUGAAUACUUAAAAUGUAUGAGGUGGAUUUAGCAGCAAAUUCGCAAGCUUUAACAACAAUAACAUGAAUAGGUUAUAAUAAUUACAACAUUUGACUUGGUUCAUUUUCAUCAUGCUCACAAUGUUCCACAAAAUAUUCCAUGGCAACUCAAUCUCUCAUUAACUUUGAAACCAAUAUUAAGUCAUUUUAGAAUCUUUUACUUAGAAAAGCAUGCAUACUACCAUGAUUAUAUUUAAUUAAAGGUUUCUUAGAUUUUAUGUGAAGUAACAGGGACAGAUUAGGCUUGAAACAAUUUAAUCAGACAAAUCUAAAAGUUAUGCAAGGUAAUAGAGCUCUCUUGAGUUAUUAAGAACUUUUAAUUUAGUCGAGCUAGGAUCUAAAUUAAGCAUGCACCUUUCAAUUAUUGUGUCCAUUAAUCGUCAUCUGGCUAGGAUUGAUUAACUAAUUCUAAUGCAUUCGAUCACAUUUUAAUGAAUGAAAUACAUGCAUGAUUUUAAUUGAAAGCAUGAUCGAUUGAAGCACAGAACAUCAUGGACAUAAAUCAAAUGAACUUCAUCAAAUUAAUGUAAUCAUUCUAGCUAAACAAAAUUAAACUAUCAUUGUUAAUAAAAAAGCAACAAAGAAAAUUCCAAACAUGUUGAAAAACAAUAAAGAUUAAGGAAGAAAAAACUUUGAAAUAAUUUCAGUAAUCCUCUGAAAAUUGAUCGCGGUGGCUUCUUCCGAUCCUCGUAAUUGCUCUUUCGCAAGAUAUUCCUCAAGGUGGCCAACUAAGAGAGAAUUUUCUCAAGGAAUUGCUAGUUAAAUGGAAGGGAAAAUGGAUGGUUGAUACGUGAGAAGGAAAGGAAAGAUUAUAGAAUGUGAAGUGAGGGAUUGAAGGAUUAUUGAAUGAUGAGGGAUUAUUGAAUGGGAAGUAAAUGGUGGUAUUUAUAGUAGAGGGAUGGCUAAGGAAUUUACUAAAAAUAGUUUUGAAUAUCCCUCAGGUUUCUCCUUUACUUGGCCGACCAUGAAUUGUGGAGAGGAGAGGUUGUUGGUUGCUUAAUUCAUACUUGAUUUCAUGCAUGAAUCAUGCAAGAAGGUGGACGAAUUCCUGGGUAAAAGUUGAGAGCUAAUUUUUAAUUGUUUUACAAGUGUAAGGACCUCUGAAUAAAUCUUCCAAAAGCUAAUUUUGGGCUACUCAUAUGCCCUUGUUGAAUUUGGGUUUCUUUCCCCCUUACUUCGACGGUUUUUUGUGACCCAAUUACUUUUCAAACUUAUUCUUCAAUUAAAUCAACUUUAGCUGGGUCAAAGUGACCUUCUCUUGACCCAAUUUACUUUCCUUUACCGUCCAACUAAGGUAAAAUGGAGCUCAUAUCCAUGUAUAAUUAAAAUAAGCUUAUCAAAUUAUUAACUCUAUGGUCCCACUGCAACAAUUAAAUAAAGAAAAUUACUAUGUAACAUAAAAUAAUUAAAUUAUGCAAAAAUUUAAUACAUAAAAGCAUAAAAUUGCAUACUUUACUAAAUUAUGCCCAUUAUCUCAAUGUAAACAAAAUUCACCCAUUUAACUAUCAAAUAUUCGGGAUUAACAUAAUUUUUAAGUAAAAAGGUGCUAUAAACAACUAUAAAAAAUCCAUAUAAUUUAGAGUUUACAAUGGUCGAUACCUAAUAAGAGUAUGUACUUGAAAAAAAUGAGAGAUUAUGUCUGAAGUAGGGUGGGGUUAGUAUUUCAAACUUUGCAAGGGUCACGUACUAGAUUUGGAGAAAGUACUAACUAUUAGGAAUGUGUUUCACUAUUACCUCUUAAAUCUGAGUUCUAAUGGAUGGCGGUAUAUUGAUAAUGGUAAUGGUACAGAUACCGUGCGGGUAUUGCCUGCGCAAUUCAUGUGGCCACAUGGAGCCACUGAUGAUUUGAGGCUUAUACUCUUAGGGAAGAAAGAGGAACAUAAUAAAUGGUUUUAUAGCUUUCAUAAAUUAAAGUCUCUUCUAUAGUUCUCUAAACCUGCAGGAGAUCCAGAGUGUAACAGCCCGAUUUUGGGCCUAGUCGGAAUAGUAGUUUUGAGACCACAAAUUCGAGGUCGAGAAAUUAUUUUAAUGUUAUUUUAUGUGUUAUAUCAUGAUUAUAUGGAUGUUUGAUACUUUUUAUGAAUUAAUUUCAGCGAUUGCAUGCUUAAUUUUGAAAAAGGACUAAUUCGCAUAAAGUAUAAAAGUUUUGUUCUAUUAGCUAAAGGUGUUAAUUAGCUAUGGACCAUUAAAAUAGGGGUCCUUAUUAAGGAAAUAAAAAAUAUUAAUGUGAUGGCUGGAUAUGGAGACAAAAAUCAUGAAAAGUCAAUGGUUAGUUGGCAUUAGGUGACAAAAUUUGACUAAUGAAUAAAAAAUAAUAAAAGCCUAGUUAUCACCUUUUUUUUCCAUCUUUUUCUCUCCACCAAUUUUCCCUAAGAAAAAUGGCCAUGGGAGCUUGAAAUUUUCAGAAACUUUAGACUCUUGCAAGUAAGUGAUUUUGAUGGUCAUUUUUGUUGAUUUUUAUAUUUUUGGAACCCUUAUAACUUAAUCUAGCUAAUGAGGGGACUAUUUUGCAAAAUGGUUGAAAGUAUAGGGUUUUUACAUGAGAAUAUUCAUGUUUUUUGCUGCAUUUUUAUGGAAGAAAAUGAAUAUUGGUUGUUAAAUAAACAACUUUUGUUAAAUGAUUUUCAUCAAAACACUUAAAAUGGGCCAUUUUGUACGUGUUAUAAAAUAUGUGGUAAAUGUGUGAAAUAAUGGAAAAUGUGGGCUACUCUGCAUGAAAAGAUUCGGCUAUGCAUGGGUAGUAAAGAAAUUGAAUACAUUUCAUUUUACGAGCCUAGGGGCAAAUGUGUAAAUAUGACAAAGUAUAGGGGUAAAAAUGUAAUUUUACCAAAAAUGUGAAAUUGGGCUAAUUUGAGUAGCAUGAUGAGAAAAUAAAUUAAAUGUGUUGUUAUAGAUUAAGGAAGAUGCAAUUCGAAAUUAGAUCGGGGAAAAGCAAGAUAAUCGAGUAAUUGACUUAUUUCGUCAUUUCAUACCGAGGUAAGUUCGUAUGUUAAUAAGCUUUAAAUUUGAUAUGUUUAAAUGCUUAAUCGAUAUCAUGUAUUAUUUAGUAUGUUAUUAUUGGAUCAUGAAUAAUAUAAAAAUAUGAGAUUGUAUUGAAAGAUUAAAUUAAGAGAAAUGCAGGGCUGAGUAUGAUCGAAUUACGAUAUGUUAUGAAUUGACAAUAAAGAUCAUGGUUGGACCAUGGCAAUAUGUGUAACCGUGUAAGACCAUAUUUGGGAUAUGACAUCGGCAUUGUUAUGUGGCCAGUGUAAGACCAUGUUUGGGACAUGGCAUUGACAUUGUUACGUGAGCCAAUGUAAGACCAUGUCUGGAACAUGGCAUCGGCAUUGUUACGUGAGCCAGUGUAAUACCAUGUCUGGGACAUGGCAUCGGCAUCGUUAUGUGAGCCAGUGAAAGACCAUGUCUAGGACAUGGCAUCGGCAUGAGGCAUCGUGUAAGACCAUAGCUGGGCUAUUGGCAUCGAUAUGAGAUUUUCAUGUAAGACCAUGUCUGGGACAUGACAUUGGUACGAUACAUCAUGUACAAGUUUUUCCCGAGUAUCAUUAGUAUCCCAAGAGGUUAAACGGGUAAAUCCAAAGAUUAUGUCAAAGAAAUGACAAGGUAUGAUCAUGUUGAAAGGGUACAGGUAUGUACGCAAAAUUCAUGAGUAAUGAAUUCGAUGUAUAUGAGACAUUUGGUAAAAAUGUAAAUGAGUAAGUCCUACCUAUGAAAAUGAUCUUGUGAUGACCUUGUGAUUAUAGGUCUAUACUUAUGAUAUAUAAAUAGGUGGUAAAUUUGAUUGAUGAUCAUGUGUGAGGCUUUUAGGCCAAAUUAAAUUGAGACAUGAUAAGUUUAAGUUUUGUUGUUAAUGUAUAGGUUAAUUGGCCAAUGAAUGGCGUGUAAAUAUUUGGCACUGACUAGCUAUUGGAAUGACUAGUUAAGGAUAUGUUUUGGUGUUAUGUAUGAUUAAAUGGAUGUUAAUACAAAGAAAUCAUGAAAAAGUAAAGUUAGCAGUAAAACUGUUCUGGACAGGAGCAAUUGUAUAAUUUUGAAAAAUCCCCAAAAAUUGUAGAAAUUUAAUUAUAGGUUGAAUAAUAUAUGAAAUUAAAUUUUAUUGAGUCUAGUUUCACAUAGAAGAAACAAUGUAAGAAAAAGAAUUUCAUAUUAUGAGAUGUUUGAAUUUUUGUGGGACAGGGUCAGGAUGAAUCUAGAAUCCCCUAUUCUGACUUUAGAAAAUCAUUAAAAUAGUAUAAAAAUAAUUACAAGUUAUAAUUUAUAUUUUUAAAUUCUUAAUAAAUCUAUUUUCAAGAAAAUCAAACAAUAACAUCAUACGAGUCCCGUACGAGGAGAUAAUUAAUUUUUAGUGAGGAAGAGUUGAAACUGUCAGACAAUAGAACAGGGAAAAAUUUAAAGAAUAAACUAUACUUAUUGACUAAGCCAAAAAUUUUAAAAAUUUUAUGGUAAGGAGAUAUGUGAGUCUAGUUUCACGAAAAAUUAACAAAACUUAAUUUGGAGUUCCGUAGCUUAAGAUAUAAAUAAUUUAGUGACUAUAACUUGCGUAGACAACUUGAUAUGAACAUAAGUGAAUAGUGGAACUUUGUGCAAUUAUGAUUGCAUUAACUUGAGAACAUAUUAUGAGAAUUCUUAAAAGCAUGUUAAUAAAUUUUUUUAUUAUUUACAUACCUACUUACUAAGCUCUAUGCUUACUAUCUCUUCAUUUCCUUUUUCCUAUAGUGUCACAGAUGCUAGCUCGAGUUGGAGGUCGUCGGAGAUCCUAUCACACUAACAAGCUAUUGAUGGGUAUCAAUAAUUUUCUAGCAUUUUAAGUGUAGGCAUGUAUAAAGAUUUGGUUAUUAUGUACAUGAUAUUAUGAGUUGGCCUAGAAUAUUGGCUUAUGCUAAUUGAAGGUUAUUGUUGUAUAAGGCCAUUUAGUGUGGCCAAUAUUUGCCAUGUUAUAAGUUUAUGAUGAAGCAUUACAUGGAUGUGCAUGCUUGUUUGGGUUGGAUGAGUGAAUGUGUGAUAAUUAUGUGUGGCAAAUACUAAAUGUGAAUGGUUGAGUAAGUUACAUGUUAUAAUUAGUUAAGUGUGUGUGUGGUUGUGCAUGAUGAAUGUGAUUUAUAAAUAGUGUGUGAAUGCCAUGGUGUGGUUAUUCGGAUGUUUAAAAAAAUGCCAUGUUGUGUGUUGAUAAACUUAGUAUGGGUGUGCAAGUGUUUUUGGAUGGAAAAAGGCUUGGUAAAUAGUCUAAUUAUCACGGCCUAGCACACGGGCGUGUGACAUGGCCGUGUGACCCUAAAUGGGCGAUGACGUCAUAAACAACGAGUUACAAGGGUGGAGGACACAGACGUGUAUUGAGCCACAUCGGCGUGUGACUUUCCAAAAUAUGAAAAUUUUCUUAGUGUCUUAAAAGUUUCAAAAGUUCUCGGUUUAGUCCCUAACCACCUCCAAUGUAUAUUUUUGGCCUUGUAGGCCCAUAUAAGGGACUUUGAGAUAGAAAUUGAAAAUUUUUAAAUUUGAACGAAAUUUUAUGACUUGGAAAUGCUUGUAUGCAUGCGUUUGAGUCUGGUAACGCAUCGUACCCUAUUUCAACGACAGACGUGGGUAAAAGGGUGAUACAUUUAGUGGUAUCAGAGCUACAGUUUAGUUGGUUCUUGGACUAAUGUAGCGUAUGUGAUAUCUCCUGACUCUAACGAAAUUAUUUUGUUAAGACAGAGAUGACUUCCAACCGAGCUGUUUUCAAUAAUGCUGAAAAAUGAAAUUGAGGUGAUUGAAAUGUGUUUAUGAUGAAAUGAAACUUAGAAAGGUAUGAAUAGAAGUUCAUGAUAUGUAUGUGUUAAUGUACGAAGUGAGAUAACCAUGAGUUGAGAAAUGUGAAAACGUAGAAUAAAAUGAAAGUUUAUAUGGUGAUAAGCCUAUCUGCUUUUGCUUAGCAUGCAUAUAAUGUUAUGUGCUCAACAUAUUUGAUUUUUACUCAAAUAGACGGAAUGCGUGUUUAUGUUCACUUGCUUGAAUAAGUGUAAUCAGUAUGUUCAUAUUGUAGAAUCUUAUGUUUAAUUGUUAAAUUAGAGAUAAUAUGAUGUUUUGUUUUAUGUCUUUGUUAUUGAACCAUGAAUAUUAUAAUAGUAUGAAAAUUGAAUUGGAAGAUCAAAUUGAGUAAAACGUAGGAAAUAAGUACGAUCUUUCAAUGAGAAAUUGAUGGUUAAGACCAUGGUUAGUCCAUGGCAAAGUAUGGAAUGUAAGACCAUAGCUGGGCUAUGCAUCAUAAUGACAUGUAAAACCAUAACUGGGCUAUGGCAAUUGUGAUUUUGUGUAAGGCCAUAGUUGGACUAUGGCAUCAAGUAAGCGACGUAAUUAAACCCGUAAGGCGUUCUCUAAUUUGACAAAUGUCGAUAAGUAAAAUGGAAGCUAAGUGUUGGAAUUUAAUUAGAUAUUAAUAUUGAGCUCGAGUAAGUAAAUUCAUUGUUUGAAAUUGUGGAUGACAGAAAAUAUUUGUAUAAUAAAUAAGUGUGUUAAUUUAUUUGGAAUGAACUAUGUGAUUAUGAUGGUAUUACAUUAGUGAUGAAUGCUAAGACAUAUGUAUGUAUUUAUGAGAGUCAAGUUAGAGGCUUUACGACCUCACCCCCUUACCAGUGUUGCUUUAUGACGAAAUUUUACGAGAAUCAUGUUGAAUAAGUUCAUAAGUGUGAACUAAAGAGUUCAAUGGUGAAAUAAUUAGUUAUACAAACAGAGCUGAGUAUAGUGUGAUAAACGAACUCAGUUUUAAAAGAAAUAUCAGAUUGUUUUAAAGAUUAUACGGAUUAUGCAAUGUCAUGGUUAAAGAAGAAAGUAGUAUUGGCUAAUUGACUUAAUUAGGUAUUGAGUCUAAAGAUGUGUUUACUGAAAGUUCUUCUGAAUUGAUUUUCGUUAGUGAGUGGAAGAAUACAGGGUUUUAUGAUAAUAGGAUUAGUCGGAGAAAUGAUGUUUGAAUUGUAAAGAUGUCUGUGUGUAACAAUUAUGGUUGAAUAGAUUACAAUGAUCUUUUCUGAGUAUUCUGAGUAUAUAUUCAGUAUUCGAGUAUAUAUUCAUUCAUCCUCAGGGAUUCACUUUAAUGUCCGUUUUCUGAUGAAAUUCUUAUCGAGUGAGAAUGUUAGCUAACUUUAAUGUUAGAUAAAAGUAUUGAUGGUCUGUUUGAAUUAUGUUGCCUCAUCUCUUUGGGAUUCUAUCCUAAGAUGUGGAAAUAAAGUCGGUGGUAAAAUUUAUGUGAGACUAUUCAUCUAUUUUACUAGAUGUUGUUCUAUCUAUAUAAAUAAUUGGAAUGUGUCUUAAUACAAUGUUGUUCUGUCUAUAUAAAUAAUUGGAAUGUGUCUUAAUACAAGAAUGUAAAGAGGUAGUUUGUACUUUUAGAUGGUUAAAGUUACAUAAAAAAGAACUGUUCAACUGGUGAUUGUUGACCACUUUUAUGUCCGUGUUGUGAAUUUGAUGAUAUAGUGUGUUCAACGGAUAAUGUCAUAUGCUUUCCAAAUCCUGAUGGGUUAAAGUAUCUAAUGUUGCAAAAAAAAAUGAAUUUAAGACAGUGUUAAUGACUUGAGUUAUUACAAAAGUAUGUGUAACUAUCGAUUUACCUUUCGAAAAGCAGAUAUAGUACAGAUGUCUGGAGGGAAAAUCCUCAUUUAAUUGGUGUGAGUUGAUUACUCGAUUGAUCUUAUGUGAUGAUGGUUUAAUUCUAGCCAUACUAUAUGCCAAAGCGAGGUUUUUUUUGCGAAACAGAAGCUCGGAAAUGCGAUAGUGAAUGGUAAUCUAAAUGAGUUCAGAGUGAGUUUACUUCUGAUGUUAAAUUUCAGAUCGGACAUGAUUCCUGUUAUUAUUUUUAUUUUGAGAUAGAAUUUGCAUAUUGAUGAAUCCAGAACUUAUGUAGAAGUCUUUGGUACAAGGCUCAGUAGUAGCACGUCUAUUCACCCAAGAAUAAUAAAAUGAGCAGUUAUAUGAGUAGAUGUUCUGGUGAUUGAGUAUGUAUCACGAUAUUUUCGUGUUUAUAUUUAGAUGUCUAUUUGUUAUCAAGUAAGCCGAAAUCAAGUGUAUGCAGGACUAAUACAAUCAGUGAUGGUACGAAAGUGAUGAUGAGAUAGAGUUACCAUAAGGUUCAUAUCGGGAUUGUUAUAAUUUCCGAAAAGGAAGAUGUUAUUUGGAUUGUGGCUGAUUGUUUGGAAAAUAUCCGUAUGAUCAUUUCAGUAUGGGCAGAGUUCUUAUUUGACAGAUUACUAAGUAUAUGUAUUCCGGAGAGAGUAAUUCAGAUUUUGACAAUGUGCUCCAACGCUGGGUGCUAAAGUUUAAAGGUUAUUGGAAAGAGAUGUACGAGUUUAAAUCGAUUUAUGAUUCUAGAAAGUUAGUGAAAGUGUUUCAUGAGAGUUGAAGGUAACUUCUUCUGGUAAGAUUUUCAAGAACGAAAAUCCCUAAAGGGGGGAAGAGUUGUAACAGCCCGAUUUUGGGCCUAGUCAGAAUAGUGGUUUUGAGACAAAAAAUCUGAGGUUGAAAAAUUAUUUUAAUGUUAUUUUAUGUGUUUUAGCAUGAUUAUAUGGAUGUUUGAGAAUUUUGGUGAAUUAAUUUAAGCGAUUACAUGCUUAAUUUUGAGAAACGGACUAAAUCGCAUAAAGUAUAAAAGUUUUGUUCUAUUAGCUAAAGGUGUUAAUUAGCUACGGAACAUUAAAAUAGAGGUCCUUAUUAAGGAAAUAGAAAAAUAUUAAUGUGGUGGCUAGAUAGGAGACAAAAAUCAUGAAAAGUUAAUGGUUAAUUGGCAUUAGGUGACAAAAUUUGACUAAUGAAUAAAAAAAUAAUUAAAAGCCUAGUUAUCAUCUCUUUUUUCCAUCUUCUUCUCUCCACCGACUUUCUAUAAGAAAAAUGACCAUGGGAGCUUGAAAUUUUCAACAACUUUAGACCCUUGCAAGUAAGUGAUUUUGAUGGUCAUUUUUGUUGAUUUUUAUGUUUUUGGAACCCUUGUAACUUAUUCUAGCUAAUGAGGGGACUAUUAGAUCGGGGGAAAAGCAAGCUAAUCGAGUAAUUGACUUAUUUCGUCGUUUCAUACUGAAGUAAGUUCGUAUGUUAAUAAGCAUUAAAUUUGAUAUGUUUAAAUGCUUAAUCGAUAUCAUGUAUUAUUUCGUAUGUUAUUAUUGGAUCAUGAAUAAUAUAAAAAUACGAGAUCGUAUUGAAAGAUCAAAUUAAGAGAAAUGUAGGGUUGAGUAUGAUCGAAUUAUGACAUGUUAUGAAUUGACGGUAAAGACCAUGGUUGGACCAUGGAAAUAUGUGUAACUGUGUAAGACCAUAUCUGGGAUAUGGCAUCAGCUUUGCUAUGUGAGCCAGUGUAAGACCAUGUCUGGGACAUGGCAUCAGCAUUGUUAUGUGAGCCAGUGUAACACCCAUGUCUAGGACAUGGUAUCGGCAUUGUUACGUGAGCCAGUGUAAUACCAUGUCUGGGACAUGGCAUCGGCAUCGUUACGUGAGCCAGUGUAAGACCAUAUCUGGGACAUGGCAUCAGCAUCGUUAUGUGAGCCAGAGUAAGACCAUGUCUGGGACAUGGCAUCGGAUGAGGCAUCGUGUAAGACCAUAGCUGGGCUAUUGGCAUCGAUAUGAGAUUUUCAUGUAAGACCAUAUCUGGGACAUCGCAUUGGUACGAUACAUCAUGUACGAGUUUUCCUUAGUAUACAAAGAGGUUCAAUGGGUAAAUCCAAAGAUUAUGUCAAAGAAAUGACAAAGUAUGAUCAUGUUGAAAGGGUACAGGUAUGUACGCAAAAUUCAUGAGUAAUGAAUUCGAUGUAUAUGGGACAUUUGGUAAGAAUGUAAAUGAGUAAGUCCUACCUAUAAAAAUGGUCUUGUGAUGACCUUGUGAUUAUAGGUCUAUACUUAUGAUGUAUAAAUAGGUGGUAAAUUUGAUUGAUGAUCAUGUGUGAGGCUUUUAGGCCAAAUUAAAUUGAGACAUGAUAAGUUUAAGUUUUAUUGUUGAUGUAUAGGUUAAAUUGGACAAUGAAUGGCAUGUAAAUAUUUGAUAAUGACUAGCUAUUAGAAUGGCUAGUUAAGGAUAUGUUUUGGUGUUAUGCAUGAUUAAAUGGAUGUUAAUACAAAGAAAUCAUGAAAGAGUAAAGUUAGCAGUAAAACUGUUCUGGACAGGAGCAAUUGUAUAACUUUGAAAAAUCACCAAAAAUUUUGGAAAUAGAAUUAUAGGUUGAAUAAGAUAUGAAAUUAAAUCUUAUUGAGUGUAGUUUCACAUAGAGAAACAAUGUAAGCAAAAGAAUUUCAUAUUAUGAGAUGUUUGAAUUUUUGUAGGACAGGGUCAAGAUGAAUUUGGAAUCCCCUAUUCUAACUUUGAAAAUCAUUAAAAAUAGUAUAAAAAUAAUUAAGAGUUAUAAUUUAUAUUUUUAAAAUUUUUAAUGAAUCUAUUUUCAAUAGAAUCAAACAAUAACAUCAUCUAAGUCUUGUACAAGGAGAUAAUUAAUUUUCAGUGAAGAAGGGUCAAAACUAUUAGACAGCAGAAAAGAGACAAAUUUAAAGAAUAAGUUGUAUUUAUUGGCUAAAACAAAAAUUUUAGAAAUUUUAUGGUAAGGAGAUAUGUGAGUGUCGUUUCAGGGAAAAUUAAUGGAACUUAAUUUGAAGUUCCGUAGCUCAAGAUAUAAAUAAUUUAGUGACUAUAACUCGCGUAGACAACUUGAUAUGAACAUAAGUGAAUAGUGGAACUUUGUGCAAUUAUGAUUGCAUUAUCUUGAGAACAUAUUAUGAGGAUUGUUAAAAGCAUGUUUAUAAAUUUUUUAUUAUUUAAAUACCUAUUUACUAAGCUAUAUGCUUACUCUCCCUUCUUUUCCUUUUUCCUAUAGUGUCACAGAUGCUAGCUCGAGUUAGAGGUUGUCGGAGAUCCUAUCACACUAAGAAGCUAUUGAUGGGUAUCAAUGAUUUUCUAGCAUUUUAAGUGUAUGGCAUGUAUAGAGAUUUGGUUAUUGUGUACAUGAUAUUAUGAGUUGGCCUAGAAUAUUGGCCUAUGCUAAUUGAGGGUCAUUGUUGUAUAAGGCCAUUUAGUGUGGCCAAUAUUUGCUUGUUUGGUUUGGAUGAGUGAAUGUAUGAUAAUUAUGUAUGGAAAAUACUAAAUGUGAAUGGCUGAGUAAGUUACAUGUUAUAAUUAGUUAAGUGUGUGUGUAGUUGUGCAUGAUAAAUGUGAUUUAUAAAUAGUGUGUGAAUGCCAUGGUGUGGUUAUUGGGAUGCUUAAAAAAUGCCAUGUUGUGUGUUGAUAAACAUAGUAUGGGUGUGCAAGUGUUUUUGGUUGGAAAAAGUCUUGGUAAAUAGCCUAAGUAUCAUCCACACGGAUGGCCACACGGCCUAGCACAUGGGCAUGUGACAUGGCCGUAUAGCCCUAAAUGGGUGAUGACGUCAUAAACAGAGAGUUACACGGGUGGAGGACACGGGUGUGUCCUGAGCCACACGGGCGUGUGUGACGUCACGGCCUGCCCACACGGACAUGUGACUCUCCAAAAUAUGAAAAUUUUCUUAGUGUCUCAAAAGUUUCAAAAGUUUUCAGUUUAGUCCCUAACCACCGCUAAUGUAUGUUUUGGGCCUCGUAGGCCCAUAUAAGGGACUUUAAGAUAGAAAUUGAAAAGUUUUAAAUUUGAACGAAAUUUUAUGGCCUGGAAAUGUUUGUAUGCAUGCGUUUGAGUUCAGUAACACCUCGUACCCUAUUUUGGCAACGGAUAUGGGUAAAAGGGUGUUACAUAGAGAGUGAUGUGAACCCCAUUAUGGUAACUGGUACUAACAAUUAACUUCUUGGUGAUGCAGACACAGUUCCCUUGUUAAAGAGAAUUCAAAGGAAUCUACAAGUCUGUCUAAGGAGAUCGAUGAAUAUAUGGAUGUUCGAUCAUUCAUGCAAAAUGUGCGAGGUGGUCCCUCUAGUACUUUCACUGGAGAAGGAAAUGCAAGUAGUAAGGAGAAGCGAAAAACAGUCGCAGGGGUUGCUAAUAUCAUUUUGAGUAGCGAAGACGAAGCUAGCCCUGUAAAGGAGCUUCGUCAAAAGAAAGGAAAAGAUCAUGUUGCAACAUCUGGUGAUGUGGUCCCUAUUGCUAUAGUCGCUUUUGAGAUUCCUUCUCCCCCUAACUCUCCUGUUGCUUUUCAACCACCACCAAGACCACUAACUGAAGAUGCAUUCAAGGCAAUUGUUGAUUUUGGCCUUCUUGGUGGUUCCAUGAAGUUUACUAUUUUUGAUGGUGAGACAGAAACAUUAUUCCCGUGGCAUGAGCAUCUUAGCAUGCAAAAGUUUCCCUACAGUCCUAUUAAGGUGAGCAAGUAACGAAAAAUUUCUAUGCCUGAAGAAGCGAAAGAGCAUAUUUGUCCAUCUGCAUUAUUUAGCUGUAAGGAAACCUUCCUUAUAGGAGCUAAUAAUAUCUCUCUAAGUAGUCUUAGCUGAAGUUAGCAUGGUCAAUGUAGGGCUGUUAAAGGUAUUAGCGAAGCAGAAGCGAAGAAGAAAGAGACCGAAAAUGUUUAUUAGUCUACCAUAGGGGUACUAGAAAGGGCUCAUGAAGUACAUAAGGGCUUAGAUGAAGAAAAUAAGAAAUUAGUGGAGUCGAAUAUGAGACUAUAAGAGUAUCUCACCCUUGCUGAAAAAGAUAUUGAAAAUUAUAUGGAGAGGUUGCAGGUGAGCGAGCUGAUAAGGAUGUCUUGGAAGUGACCAUGAAAAGUAUGGACGAGUAAUACAAAGUUGCUUUCAAGAUUACUUUCUAGAUUUAAAGUCUAACUUCUUGUUGCACGCUCAAGUAGUUGGUAGUCCCUUCUAUGCUUACAAGGUAAACUUUGAUGCUUUUAGUCACCUCACCAGGGCCUAGUUGGAUUUUGAUGUUCAUUUCCCUUCUAGAGCAGCUUGGGAAGAGUUUGUAGAGGAAUGGAAGAAUUCUACUAGGCUUUACUUCGCUGAAAAUCCUACUAAGAUAAAUGUAGGUGAAGGGGAUAGAAAUGAAGGAGAAGAUGAAUGAGAGGAUGAAGAGCUCGCCAACCCCUAGGAUACCAACGCUAAUUCAUAAUUUCAUUAUUUUCAUUGUACUUGUUUCUUUUUAUUUGAAAUGAAAAAUCUAUGUUUAUUUUGUAUUGAAACGGUGUGGUGUUUGAUUGUGAAUUUAUUUGAGCAAACAACAUAAUCAAGUUGUCACCAAAAAUUAGUUAACAAAUAUAAUUUAAAUAAUGAUUGGAAAAUCAGGUAACACAAAUGAGAUUGUUCAUGAUAUUGAAUAGAAUGAACUUAGGUUGUGAUAUUAAAUUAAUGAACUUUAAUGAUAUCAGCUGCGAUAUUAAAUUAGUGAGCUGUUUGGUGUAGCGAUAUUAAAUCAGCUAACUCAAAUAAGAUUGUUCAUGAUAUUAAAUCGAAUGAACUUAGGUUGCAAAUUUAAUUCAGCAAACCUUGCCGAUAUCAACUACGAUCUUAAAUCAACGAGCUGUUUGAAGUAGUGAUCUUAAAUCAUCUAACUCAAAUAAGAUUGUUCAUGAUAUAUAAAGUAAAAUAUAUUUGGAAAUAGUGUAUCUUUAUUGAAAAAGAGAGAUAAAUCAUUCAUACAUGAUAUUUUUUGAGAUGAUGUUCAUUCUAUGUACAAGGUAGAAUAGGGUCAUCCACUUUUUCUAUCCUGUAAGCUUCAUAUUCUACAACUUUGUAAGGUCCCUCCUAAUUUGGGGUCAUUUUUCCUUGUUGCGAUGUUGGAAAACUUGCUUUAGUAUUUCUUAAAACAAGAUCACCCAUUUGAAACUAUUUGUUCUUCACUCUGGAAUUAUAAUAUCGAGCAACUUUUUAGGCUUGUGCAACAUUUCUAAUCUCUGUUGUCUCCUUAACUUCAUCGAUGAGAUCUAAGUUGAGUUGAAUGGCCUCCUGAUUGGCACUUUCAUCAAAAUGAGUUGUUCUAUGAGAUCGUGGGCUAUCUCAGUAGGGAUUACUGGCUCUAUCUUAUAUAUGAGUGAGAAUGAUGUCUCUCUAGUUGCUUAUGAGGUGAGGUUUGCAUGGCCCAUAUAAUUCCUGAUAACUCUUCUAACCUCGCACCUUUGGCCUCACCAAAUUUUUUCUUUGGAGAUGCUAGAAUCUUCUUAUCCAUUGCCUCUACUUGACAAUUUGCUUGGGGAGUUUUACAGAGCUUUGAGCGAGAGCAAUUUGCAUGUCAUUAAAGUUCUUAAAUUUUCCUUGAAAUUGGGUUUCAUUGUCUAUUAUAAUCAGGAGUGGGAUGCCAAACCUACAAACAAUGGAUUUUCAAAAAAAAAAAAGAAGACUCCAUUUGUCUCUCCGUGAUUAUAGUCAAAACUUCAGCUUCUAUCCACUUCGUGAAAUAGUCCGCAACUACAACUAUGAAUUUCUUUUGAGCUGUGGCUAUUGGAAAUAGACCUAAAAUAUCUAUUCCCGAGUUGCAAAUGGCCAAGGGUUAAGCAUUAUUUGUAGAGGUUCAGUUAGUGAUCGUUAUACUUUAGCAUGUUUUUUACAGGAAUCACAAGUGCGAACCAUAUGGUGUGCAUCCUUCUGUACUGUUGGCCAGUAGUAUCCUUAACUGAGGACCUUUUUUGCUAACAAUAUCCCACCUAGAUGAUUGCCGCAUAUUCCCUCAUGUAUUUAUCUCAUAACAUACUCAGCUUUCAAGGGAGCCAGACUUCACAAAAGAGGUUAGGGGCAGCCUUUUUUAUAAAGCACACCUUCUAACAAGAUAUAUCUAAAGGUGAUAAAUUAAAUGGUUUUAAUUGAAUGAGAAUUGAAUAACUUGUAGAUACAAGGAUAUAUUAAAUGUAAAUCAUAACAUCAUACAUUAUGUUGAAUUUUGGCGAACUUCUUUUUUCUUAGGUGGUGAGUUUCCCCUUGUAGUGUUUGUACAAUGGGUGUCAUCCACGUUUCUUCGUAGUUCAGACUGAGCACUUGAUGAGUGUCAUUGCUUGGGUAAAUUUAUGAUUGAAUAGGAUUUUUCCUCUCUAUUCAAUAGUAACAAAGGAUGCAAAAUUUGAUAAAACAUCAGCUUUUGUAUUCUCCGUCCUGGAUUGUUGUGUAACUUGUGCCUUAUCAAACUAAACGAGUAGUUGGGCUGCUAUGGCAUAGUACUUUUUUAAGCUUGGUUCUUUUACUUCAUACUCUCCAUUCAUCUGUUUUGCUACGAGCUGAGAAUCAAUAUGUAUGGUCAAUUCCCUCAACCCUAGUUGUAGAGCCAAUUGUAAUCUUGAAACAAGUGCCUCGUACUCGACAACAUUGUUAGAUUCCUGGAAGCCGGAGGAUAGACCAAAUCGCUACUCAUUUUCAUUAGGAUCUAUCUUGACCUUAUCUUCACUAUCGAGCCAUCAACAUAACUUGUCCAACACUUUGGCUUUACAACUAAACUCAUUUGCCCCUAUGAUGAGCUAACUAUUACAUAUUGUGUAAUCAACAGAAAAAGUUUUUAGAACCAAAUGAAUACUUGUAAUAAAAUAUUGUAAAACAAAAUAAGUAUCCGUCAAGUAAAAUUCCAAUAAUUUGUGUGACAUGCUACUGUAUCAUUUAUGUAAGUAAUAGUGUUUGAAAUUAAAAGUUACUUACAGUGUCUGAUGAUUUGUCGAAAGAGCAUUCCACCAUGAAAUCAACUAAGAUCUGAGCCUUGAUUGUUGUUCUUGGGACAUAUUCUAUUCCAAAUUUUGCCAAUUCAAUUCCCAUUUGGUCAUUCUACCUGAAGUAUCCACACUAGAUAAAAUAUCAUUGAUGGGUUGAUUCGUCAUGAUAGUCAUGGGAUGAGCCUGAAAGGAAGGUUACAACUUGUGAGUUGCCACUAUUAAAGCGAAAAUGAGUUUUUUUUUCUUUAAAUAUAUUUGUUCACCGAUCUGUAACACAUUGCCAACAUAAUAUACUGGAAAUUGGAAAUCUCCCUUUUUUUUGAUCAAAACUGCUACUAUCGUUUCUUCCGAGGUCACCAGAUAAAGAUAAAGGGUCUCCCCCACUCUAGGUGACAUCAGAAGUGGUGGAGAUGUGAGAUAUAACUUCAGCUUCUCAAAACCAUUUUUAUACUCUUCUGUCAAACUAAAAGAAGUUCUUAAGAUUUUAAAGAAGGGUAAUCACUUAUUUGCCAUCCUUGAGACAAACCUAUUGAGUGCAAACUGUGUAGAGUAUGGGUCUGGACCCAAACGGGUCGAUAAUAAUGAGUAUCAUAAUAAAAUUAUAUAUUCUUUAUAAAAAUGAAAAUAGUAAAUAGGUAAACAACAUGACAUGAAUAAAAGAGUUCAAAAGGAAUUGCUUAUACUUAAUAUAGAAUUGUAACUGUAAGAAUUUAGUAAACAUUAAAUAUAAAUAAUCUUUAUAAAUAUAAAAAAACCAUGUGAAAAUAAAUGUUAGUUUAAAGCCAUCAUAAACUGAAAUGAAUGCAAAUUAUACUCUAAAUUUUAAAUUAAUUAAAUUAAAUUCUUCAUAUAUAUUUUUAUUUUCCUCAAAUUUAUUGAGGAUGAAAUAAUUUGGGCUUAUGUUUGGUAACCCCAAAUUUUGUUUGGGUAUAGAAAAUGUUGGGUCAAUUUUUGGAUUGGCUCAGAGUAGAGUAUCUUAGCCCAUUGUAAUAAAUAACGAUGGUAAUAGCUUUAAAAGCAAAAUAAAACUGAAAAUUAGAAAGGGAAAGUACAAAGCAAAGCAAAGCAAUCGAAUUGGAGCAAACCUGUAAUACUGCUACUUGAAAAAUGGAAGAGUUUGAAUAAAAUACAAGACUCGAAAAAUGAGUUUGGGUAAAAUUUAAGGUCCAUUUUCUAUAUGAGCCGGGCCUUGGGCAAAAUUUUUUUACUCAAACCUGGUUCAAUCCGAAUAUUAUGUUAUAAAAUAAUAAUAUAUUAAUUAUAUAUGUUAAAUAAUAAUCAUAUAUAUUUAUACUUAUAUUAAAUCACUAGCCCAAUAACAAUUAAACAUAUUACCCAAAACCUAAAAAAAACUUACCCAACUAAAUAACUCAAUCCAAAAUAUAAAAUUUUAAAAUUUAUAUUUAAUACAAUAAAAUAUAUAUUAUAUAUAUUUGUGUUUUUUAAUAUAGUAAAACAUUUAUUAUAUUUAUGGUAGUGUUUUAUUAAUAUAAAUACUUUUUAAUGUGUUAUAAUAUUGUUUCUGAAUUCAUUUUCACAGCUCAAAUAAGAUAUAAUCAUGGCAUAAAAGAGUGAAACUCUGUUUCAUAUUCAGAUAUGGAUUAAGAGUAUGAUCCUUAGUGUAAUUGUACUCAGGAUGGGCCAACAUACAAGAGCUAAGCUAUCAAGGUGAGCAGGAAGAAGUUAUGUUUUCUGAUAUGAAAUGAGAGAUGAGCUCAAGUUUUCCAUUCCAUAGUUUGAUUAGCAGUUAGGAAUGUUGAAGGUGAGUGCUUCACAAAGAAAAAGUACCAUCAAUUUCAGGUUAGAAAUCCCUAGUAAAUGACCAACAAGGGGAUGCUUGCUUAAUCAUUUCUAAUGUUGGAUUUAAACCUAGGUUUGAAAUUUCUUUAUCUGUAAAUUAUUGCAAGUCGAGCAUAUGUAUAUAUUGAUUGUUUUUCUCUCAAUACAUCCAAGAUUGGCUUAUAUAACUAGACUUUGUUAAGAGGAUUAUUGAAUCAAUACUAAAGUAAUUCCCCUCUUUUUUCCUUCCAUUGUUUAAACAAAUCAUUUGGAAAAAGCACCUCUUUGAUAGAUAUAUAUUAGGAAAGAAAUCAAUGAAUAUAUUUAUAUAUGAAAAUAUCUGUUAAAUAUGUAAAUAAUAUAUUUAGGAGAGAAGUUUAGGGUUUUAUUCUAGAAGUUAGGGAUUUUCAUAGAUUUAUUAGGUGAUUUAUUUCCCAUGCUUAUCAUGUAUAUAUAUGGCUCUUUUUGGCCUGUUAAUACAGAAGAAGGAAGUCAUUUUCUCUCAAAAGUUUUUACAUGGCAUCAAAAGCCAGAGAAAAACAAAAUAGUCAUCAAUAGUGAGGGAAAUAAACCUGCUUCCACCUAUGUGUUGACUUCGAGCGAUAAUCCUGAUAAUAUAAUUACUCGGGUGCAAUUGAAAGGAGACAACUAUGAUGAAUGGGCUCGAGCAAUACGAAUUGUGUUGAGGGCCAAGAAGAAAUUUAGAUUUAUUGAUGGAACGAUUGAACUACCUGAUGAUGAUUCCUCUGAAUUGGAGGAUUAGUAGACUGUAAAUUCUAUGUUGAUUUCAUGGAUGCUCAACACAACUGAGCCAACCUUGCAAUCUACUAUAACUUAUAUGGAUAUUGCAAAGGAUUUAUAGGAGGAUAUCAAAGAACAAUUCUAUAUUGCUAAUGGACCUCGUGUUCAGCAAAUCAAGGUAUAACUUGCCAAUGGCAAACAAAAGGUUUUCCAAUUGUGACUUAUUAUGGAAAAUUAAAACAACUAUGGGAAAACCUUACGAAUUAUGAGAAGAUUCCCAUAUGCUGUUGUGGAAAAUGCAAUUGUAAUAUUGCAGCCGUACUCGACAAGAAAUGAGAAGAAAAGAGGCUUUAUCAAUUUUUGAUAGGAUUGGAAGAUGCGUUAUAUAGAGCUGUUCAUUCCAAUAUUUUGAGCACAUAUCCUUUGCUAAAAUUAAACAAGGCAUACUCGUUGGUGUGCCAAGAAGAAUGUGUUAAAAAAAUUUCAAGAAGGAAGGAGGAACAUGUAGAAGUUGUGAGUUUUGCAGUGCAAGCCAAGACAAGAGGCCUAAAGUAUAAAACAGAAACAAGAGACAAAUCAACUGUUUGCUCACAUUGCAAAAGAAAGGGACAUGAUUUUGAAACUUGUUUCCAACUCAUUAGAUAUCUAGAAUGGUGGGGUGACUGAUCCAAAGAGACUAGGCCUGGACAAAGGGGACAAAGUACAGGGCAAGGACGUAGUGAUGCGCUAAAGUGAAUACAACUCAUAUAAUUGGGCAACCAUCAUCAUCAGUGGCUGUAAUAGGAGAACGUACAGCUUCUAGGGUAUUGACAGCUGAACAAUGGACACUAUUUCUCAAUUUUUUGAACACGUGCAAAUUGGGUACUAGCGAAAAGUUGAAUGGUAAGAGUAAUCUGAGUUGGAUCAUUGAUUCAGGUUCUUCCUAACAUAUGGCAGGUACUUUAGAAUGUUUAACAAAUUUGAAAGAAAUUGAGGCAUGUCCAAUUAGUUUGCCUAAUGAUGAUGAGGUAAUGGCAUUGAAGGAGGGAUCAGUUUGUUUGGGAAAACAUAUCAAGCUGGACAAUGUUCUUUAUGUUCCAAAUUUGAAUUGCAAUUUGAUAUAUGUGUCACAGUUGGUUGAUGAAUCUAAUUAUGAUGUCCAAUUUACUAAUAAAAUUUGUGUUAUACAGGACCGCUCCUCGAGGAUGGUGAUUGGAACAGGUGAACAACGUAAGGGGCUUUACUGUUUGAGGUCGGCAACAUCAAUCCAAGCAUGUAAGGCUAGUCAUGUAGAUUCCUUUGAAUUAUGGCAUAGGAGGAUGGAGUAUUCGCCUGCAAAAAUAGUUGAAUCUCUUCCUCAGAUUAAACUCAGUAAUAGUUUGGUGAAGAAUAAACGAUGUGACAUUUGUUUGAGAGCUAAGCAAAUAAGGGGAGUUUUUGCUUCUAGUGACACUAAAGCAAAUGAAAAUUUUGAAUUAAUUCAUUGUAAUUUGUGAGGACCUUAUCAUGUUAAUGCUUCUUGUGGUGCCUCAUAUUUUUUUACCAUUGUUGAUGAUUUUUCUAGGGGUGUAAGGAUAUAUUUAUUGACUGAAAAAACAGAAGGGUCUUGUCAUGCGUAAUUUUUUUGCUAUAACUAAAAGAUAAUUUUAUAAAGAUAUGAAAGUAGUUAGAACUGAUAUUGGGAUUGAAUUUGUAUGCUUGAAAGGUUAUUUUCUGAAAAUAGAAUUUUAUAUGAAACUUCAUGUGUAGGAACAAUAGAAUGAUCGUGUUGAAAGGAAGCAUCAUUAUAUAUUAAAUGUGGCUAGAGCUUUAAGAUUUCAAGGCAAUCUUCUUAUCAAGUUUUGGAAAGAAUGUGUUUUGACGGUUGGAUAUUUGAUCAAUCAGACACUUUCUAAAUUGUUAGGAGGAAAGACUACUUAUGAAAUCUUGUUUGGUAAACCUUCUAGUUAUAAUCAUAUUUGAAAUUUUGGAUGUCUUUGUUAUGCUCGAAACUUGAAUAAGGAAAAAGACAAAUUUGCUUGUAGAAGUCAAUAUUGUGUGUUUGUAAGAUAUCCCAUUGGAAAAAAAAAAGGGUGAAGAGUUUAUGAUCUUGAUGCAAGAAAGUAUUUUGUAUUAAAAGAUGUUGUGUUCUCUAAAUAUGAAUUUCCAUUUGUUGAUGUUAGUAAGGAGGGUGCAUGACCAAAUCUAGUACAGAGUGCUCCUUUCGGUAUCACCAAUCAUGUUGAUGGUGACUUGAAUGAGGAUGAAGAAAGUGAAGUACUUAAGAAUUAAACGUGACUCAAUAUGAUAACGAUGAUAGGAGGUGUCAUUGAAUUCUCGGGUGAAUUUAUUCAAGAACAAGUUGGGCGUGGCCAUAGAACAAAUGAAGUUUCUACUCGACUGCAAUAUUUUGGAACAUAUGCUAUACAACAAAUAAGCCCAUUUGCAUGUUCAUCCAAACCAAUCAUGUCCUCAGGUAUCUCUUAUCCUAUAACACAUUAUGUAAAUUGUGACCAAUUUUCUCCAAAACAUCAUUCUUUUUUAGCAGCUAUGACAGCUGAAAGGAAGCCUACCUCGUAUGUUCAGGCCAUUAAAGAUAUUUGAUGGUAAAAAGCUAUGAUGAAAGAAAUUGAGGCUCUUGAGGCUAAUGGGACAUGGACUUUGGAAGAUUUACCAUCAGAAAAACAAGUUAUAAAGAGUAAAUGGGCUUACAAGUCAAAUAUAAAUAAGAUGGGUCAGUUGAACGUUAUAAAGCUUGAUUGGUGAUUCUUGGAAAUAAUCAGAUUGAAGGAAUUGAUUACAAUGAAACCUUUAAUCCUGUAGCAAAAAUGGUGACCAUUCGUACUUUUCUUUCAGUGGCAGAAACAAAGAAAUGAGAACUUCAUCAAAUGGAUGUUCAUAAUGUAACAGCUCGAAUUUGGGGCUAGUCAAAAUAGUGGUCUCGGGACCACAAAUCCAAAGUCGAAUAAUUUAUUCCAUUAUUAUUUUGAUGUUAUAGCAUGUUUUUAAUAGUGCAUGAAAAAAUUUGGUGUAGUAAUUUUGACGUUUGUGAGUCCAAUUGCGAAAAAAGACUAAAUCGCAUAAAGUGCAAAAGUCCUAAAUUGAUAGCUAAAGGUGUCAAAUAGCUAGGGAAUAAAUAUUUGGGGCCUUUAAAGGGCAAUUAGACCCUUAGAAAUAGGGUGGCCAGCCAUAGGGGACAAUGAAUUGAAAAUUUUCAAGGUUAGGUAAUUGAAUUUUGACUUUUUGACUAAAGUAGAAACAAAAUAAUCAAAGGAUGAUAUCAUCUCUUUCAUCUGUCCUUCUUCACUGAUUUUACCAGCAAAAAUAGGGCUUUGGAAGCUUGAAAUUUCAGCUACUUAGUUGACUCACAAGUAAAUGAUUUCCAUACCCUUUGUUGAUGAAUUUUUGCAUUUUUGAGACCCUUGAAGCUUAAGCUUUCAAAUGAGGGUACUAUUUUGCAAAAUGAUUAAGAGUUUAGGGUUUUGCCAUGAAAUGAUUUGUAAUGAUUUCUGAUUUUUUAUGGAAGAAAAUGAGUCUUGGGUGUCUUAUAAACAACUUCUGUGAAAGGUGUUAGCAUGAAAACACCUAAAAGGACUAAUUUGCAUAAGUUGUAAAAUAGAUGAUAAGGGUGUGAAAUAGUGGGAAUUUGGAGUUGCUAUAAGAGUAGAAAGGGUUCGGCUAGGCUUAAGGUGUGAAGAAAUUCGAUAAAAAUCGAUUUUCGGGCUUAGGGAUAAAGUGGUCAUUUUACAAAAGUUUAGGGGCAAAUUGGUCAUUUUGUCCAAUUAUGAAUUGUAGAAUGCCUAGAUUGAUAAAGUGACUAAAUAAGUGCAUUUUGUUAUUAUAGAUCAAGAAAUACUAAAUCCAAAUCUAGACUGGGAAAAAGCCAAGCAAAUCGACUAAAUCGACUAGUCGCCACAUUUUAUAAUCUAAGGUGAGUUGUAUGUAAAUAAUACAACUACAAUGUUAAUGUAUGUGUUGAAUUGUACUUGAAUUUAAUAUAGCAUAAAUUGCUUGUGUAACACCCCAAACCCGGCCUAGACGUUAUGACCGAAUCUGGCGUGUCACAUUAAAAUGCUUUUUCGAAAAAUUUUGUCUUAUUAAUAAAUCUCGCUUGAAAGAGAAAAGCCCCUUUGUUUAAUUCUAAAGACAACUUAAUUAUUUGUUAACCAUUUUAAACCAACCUUACUUUUAAAAACAUGUUUGUUGCCGGGAGCAUUUCAACAAUGUUGCGAAAACGUGAUGUUAGGAAAACAGAUAUCAUUUUGGAAAACCGCGCUCUACUUUUAACAUAAAUAAAUCAUAAUAGUUAAAAACCCCCAAAUUAAAAGCUAUAACAUUAGAAAAAAUGCCUUAUUACAUCAAAUACCUAAAGAGAAAGAAAUUUAAGUAAUGUAAAAGAAAAUACGAAAAUUUAAAACUGUUCGUAGUGUGGCCAGCUCCGAGUCCUCCCAUAUGUCGAACCGCCUACUGAGGAUUACCUGGAAAAUUUAAAAGAUGGGUGAGUUUAUGAAAACUCAGUGUGUACAACCGUCAUCGAUCAUAAAGCAUGCGUCACAUCAAUUUGGGCCUAAGCCCAUUACAAAAGCAGUGGCACUUAGGCCUUAGUCCAUAGUAGCCUCAGUUGGGCUUGAGCCAAUGUCACAAUCAGAAUCAGAUUAUGCAAUGCACAAAUACCCAACCAACCCUGCACUCUGUAUCCCGUCCAACCCUACACUCCUGUGGGGAUUUAAUCGACCCACCUAUCCCUACACUCCUAAUGUAACACCAGUUGCGGCAUUAACCAAUUUCGCAACAGAGCUGCCAAUCACAUAAUGGCUUUAAGCCGUCGAUGGAUCCACAGUCGUUAAGCAUCCAACCGACCCUAAAAAAUCAUACACUUCCUCCAAAUCAAUGAUCCUGUCCCCCAUACAGUAUAAUAUCACAUGAAUGCAAAUAUAUCAUAAAUGGCAUACAAUAACAAUCAUAUAUCAUGUAGGGGCAUUUUAGUCAUUUUUCCAUUCAAGGGCAUAACGGUCAUUUGGUAAAUUAGGAUUUAAGUACACUUACUGACCCAUCAGUAGGUUCACAGUUGUCUCGCGCGACCCGUGCAACCUUUAGGAAACAAACAGAGCAAUUGGGCCCAAAGCCCAUUUAAGUAGGCCCAUAGGCCCACACGACCCAUUGGCCCACCAAGCCUAAUUUCGAUCCAAGCUAUGUGAGUGACAUGGUCGGUCCAAUGUUUUCUCACCUAUUGGUGAGUUUUACACAUCAAUGGGCCUGUACGGCCCAAUGUGGCCCAUUACGGCCACAGCCCAUGAGUUCCCUCAUGGUGGCCUCUACUAUCGCAUCAGAUUUUUCACUCGUGCGUUCACACGCUCAUGUAGUAACCGUUGCCAUUCUUUCUGCUUCUCGGCAUUUUGAGAUUUACUGAUCUAGAGUUAAGGUGGUGUAUGUAGACACUUGGUUUACGAAACGUACUACGAAUCCCCUAGCAACGAACCUACAAUAUUCAGGACUAAUAGUUAGCCACUCGAUUCAUAUUGUUGUUCUUCUUUUCCUACAACAUGAAUUGAAACCACACUAAUACAUACCUUAAAUGGUAAAGCCUUGAUAAAAGGGAUUGUAAAAACAUGUGGUUCAAUCCACACUUGGCAAUUCAUAGGGUCAUUAAGAACAUUCGGCCUUCACUCAUAACAAGGCAAAAACACUUACUUGAACCAAAACUAGGAGUGGGAUGCCGAUUGCUUCACAUCACUUGCCCCACUAUCAACCCUCGAGCGAACACUUGAUCCUGGCAAAAAAGGAGAAGAACGCAGCCUUAUGAUAGGAGAAUAGAAGGGAGACGGAUUCGGCAAUACCUAAUAGAGAGAGAGAGUAGGGAGUAUUCAACUUUACACACCUUAAUAUUAAAGAAAAUAACGUUGCAGCAAGGGAAUCCAACUCACAAGAAGUUGGUUGAGAGAAAAAGGAUUUCGACUAUGAAAGACUAGUGGGAAAAUAGAAGAGAAAGGCCAUGAUUUAGAAAAAGAAGAGGGUUAGCAUUCAGCUCAAGCCAGAAGGAAAGAAUAGAGGUAAAAGGAAUAGAAAAGAAGGGAGAGGACUAGAAGAUGAGAAAUGGGGGAGAAAUCGGCUAAUAGAUGGCCUAAAUGGUAAUGCACUUUCAGCUAAAACAAAACAGCGGACAACUCGGAGUCAGAGAACCUUGAAAACGAAAGGCAAAGGUACCAAAAUGAGUGAACAAAACAAAAGAAAACACCCAUAAUUCUUCUAGCAAGAUUCGGCUAUACCAAAACAAUACCCCAAAUGCCGAAAAUGAACCAAAUCCCCCUUUGCCGAAUUCUUGUACAACCCAAAGUCCCUAUUCGGCUAGACUUCCUCCUAAUUCAAAUCCUCAUUGAUUCCCUCCAACAAUCAACUCUAUCCCUUAACUUCCUCCUCAUAUCCCUCAAAGACUCAUUCAACCUUUAUCCUAUAGAGUUUUGAUCAAACUCUACCACCUACACGUCCUUGAAGAAAAAUAAAACAUCUAGUGCUCCUUCCAAGACUCGAACCCCAAUCCUCACUCCCUUAUGAGGCGUCACUUAUCACCUAAACCACCAUGCUUCUUUUAUCAAAUUUUACCAUCCAAAAUUUAAGAAGCAUUCAGCCUAGAGUCAGGGUUCCUUUAAUGCUAAAAACCAAAAUUUUUCCUAUGCCAAGGCUUGAACCCAGGACUUCAUAGAGACCCCCCAUAACAUCCAAAAUCACUAACCCAACAGAACUAACAUGCAAUUGUACCAUUCUCUUGCUCUCAAGAAUUUUAGGCGCUCUCAAACCCAAGGCCCAAUUCUUCUAAGCCUAAAAUUUAGGGCGUUAGAGCUCUACCCCCUUAAAGAAAUUUCGUCCUCAAAAUUUCCAACUAUCCAAUAGUCUCACAACCCAAGUUACACCACUACGCUUCUGCUGCGCACUCUAAUUCUAAUUUCAAAAUAGAUAAAUAGUACACUAUAGAUAAAGUAUGUACCAAUAUUCGCAUCUAGAGCGUUUUCGUCCUCUUAGCGGCAUGCUGUAUAGACCAAAGCUGGUUGCCUCGCAUCAGUAUGACCAGCACCUCUUCCUGGUGCUUCACAACCCAAACCGUUUCCACCACUAGCCUGACCACGGCCUCUAGGUGGCUGCUGACCACCCUUUGAUGGCUGUACAUUACCUCUACCAAAGACUUGCAUCUGAUUCGGUCUUCUGAGACACUCUCUGAGAUGAUGUUCCAUGGAACCACAACUCAGAUAGGCUCCUGUUCUCUUCCAGCACUCUCCUACAUGACAUUUUCCAUAAAUAGCACAUAGUGGUAACUCUGUAGUAGCAACAGGGGGCCCCGCUCUAACCAGCCCAUCCACUUUGGCCCUUCUCUUAGGUCUUUGAUCGCUAUUGGAGGGCUCAGAAUCCUUUUUAUUUCUGCCCCUUUCUCUUUCUUGGUUUAGGCGCUCAGUGCGCUUUACAUCUUCAGCGAUUUUUACUUUCUCCACCAAUGCUGCAAAAUCCUGCUUCCUCUGAGGAGCAAUCAGUACCCGAAGGCUAUCUCUGAGGCUGUCUUCGAACCGAAUACAACAUUCAUAAUCUGUUGCCACUAUUCCUUUAGCAUACAGACUGAGCUGUAAGAACUCUGCCUCGUACUCCGCCACAGAUCGGUCUCCCUGAGUCAAGUUCAAGAAUUCCUUCCUCCAGGCAUCCACGUAGCUUGCGCCCAUAUAUUUUCCUUGAAACACCGAUUUGAAGAACUCCCAGGUUAUUCGGUCAGGCUGAGUGCCCUCUUUCAUGGUAAGCCACCACUAGUAAGCUUCUUCUCGCAGCAGCAACACUGCUCCUUUCAAAUUUUGCUCAAAAGUGCAAUCCAGGUCAUUUAUUAUUCUUUCGGUGGCCUCCAACCAAUAUUCAGCCACAUUUGGUGCUACUCUCGCGAUACCCUUGAAGAUCUCAACUCCAUUCGACCGGAGUCUCUCAAAAAUUGACCCUCGGCUCCCAAUACCAGUGUUGAGCCCAGUGACCCUUUCUUGAAUCCUUAACAUUGCUUAGGAAAAUGCAUCGUCCCCAGCUGCUUGAUCAUGCGACCCUGUCUCGGAUAUUGGUGAAGCCAGUGCUUCUCUCGCCUCAAUGUUGGGCAUGUGACCUAAUGCCGAAGAUCUAGCCCUAGCACUUCCACAGCCUCUACCACGGCCUCUUGCACCUCUUCUAGUGCUCAUUAUCACUUUGCGUAUAAUCUGGUUAAGAAAUUUUAUGCAAUUUAGCUCAUAGUCUCAGUAAUUAAGUAGAUGUUUUAUGACAGUAGUAGUUAAGAGUUGUUUUCGCAAUCGCAGGCUCGCUACAGUUUUAGUUUCCUAUAGUUUUUCAGUUUACUCUACCUAAAGAGUCUCAGUAUAGCGUAUCAUCUAAAGUAAAACCAGUAACUAUCUAUAGUAUAACAGUUUAAAAUAGAUUUCAGUAUCAGGAGAACUUACUUGGUUCGACGCCGAAGACUUAGUGAACCACACAAUAAAAAUCCUCUAAAAUACUUCGAAAUCGUUUGUAAAUAACUUCAAAAUCCAAAAACUAAGGCCCAUUUCCCAGCCGAGUUUUGCAACUUGGCUCCGAUACCACUAAAUGUAACACCUAAAUCUAGCCUAGACGUUAUGACCGAAUCUGGCGUGUCACAUUAAAAUGUUUUUUCGAAAAACUUUGUCUUAUUAAUAAAUCUCGCUUGAAAGAGAAAAGCCCAUUUGUUUAAUUGUAAAGUCAACUUAAUUAUUUGUUAACCAUUUUAAACCAGCCUUACUUUUAAAAACAUGUUUGUUGCAGAAGCAUUUCAACAAUAUUGCGAAAACGUGAUGUUAUGAAAACAGAUAUCAUUUUGGAAAACCACGCUCUACUUUUAACAUAAAUAAAUCAUAAUAGCUAAAAACUCCCAAAUUAAAAGCUAGAAAAUUAGAGAAAAGGCCAUAUUAUAUCAAAUACCCAAAGAGAAAGUAAUGUCAGUAAUGUAAAAGGAAAUACAAAAAUUUAAAACUGUUCGUCAUGUGGCCACCUUCGAGUCCUCCCAUACGUCGAACCGCCUACUGAGGAUUACCUGAAAAAUUUAAAAGAGGGGGUGAGUUUACGAAAACUCAGUGUGUACAACCCUUAUCGAUCAUAAAGAACGCAUCACAUCAAUUUAGGCCUAAGCCAAUUACAAUAAUGGUGGUACUUGGGGCUUAGUCCAUAGUAGCCUCAGUUAGGCCUUAGCCCAUGUCACAAUCAGAAUUAGAUUAUGCAAUGUACAAAUACCCAACCAACUGUGCACUCCAUAUCCCGUCAACCCUACACUCCUGUAGGGACUUAAUCGACCCACCCAUCCCUACACUCCUGAUGUAGCACCAGUUGUGGCACUAACCAAUUUCGCAACGGAGCUACCAAUCACAUAAUGGCUUUAAGCCGUCAGUGGAUCCACAGUCAUCAAGUGACCAAGCGACCCUAACAAAUCAUACACUUCCUCCAAAUCAAUAAUCCCGUCCCCCAUGUAGCAUAUAUCACAUAAAUGCCAACAUAUCAUAAAUGGCAUACAAUAACAAUCAUAUAUCAUGUAGGGGCAUUUUAGUCAUUUUUCCCUUUGGGGGCAUAACGGUCAUUUGGUAAAUCGGGAUCUAAGUACACUUACUGACCCAUCAGUAGGUUCACAGUCGUCUCACGUGACCUGUGCAACCUUUAGCAAACAAACAGAGCAAUUGGGCCUAAAGCCCAUUUUGUGAUGGGUUCUCCGGUAACCCUGAAGAAAAAGGAUGUUGUUUGGGUUGUUAUGGAUAGGCUAACUAAGUCAACAUAUUUUAUACCAGUGCGUACCGACUACCCCCUUGAGAGAUUGGCUGAAUUGUACGUUUUCGAGAUUGUGAGACUCUAAGGGGGUACCCUUGUCGAUUGUUUCAGAUAAGGACUCGAGAUUUACCUCAAGGUUCUGGAAAAAGUUACAAGAGGCAUUGGGAACAAAGUUGAGUUUUAGCAUGGCAUUUCACUCGUAAACCGAUGGCCAAUUUGGAAAGAGUGAUUCAGAUUUUAGAAGACAUGUUGCGGUGUUGUGUUCUCGAAUUUCAAGGUAGUUAGGAAAGGUACUUACCAUUUAUUGAAUUCGCCUACAACAAUAGUUAUCAGUCAAGUUUGAAGAUGGCGCCUUAUAAGGCUUUGUAUGGACAAAAGUGUCGAACGCCCUUAUAUUGGACUGAGCUCAGAGUAAGUUAGAUUCAAGGGGUUGAUUUAAUAAAAGAGACUGAAGAAAAAGUUAAAGUGAUUCACGAUUGUUUGAAGGCUGCUUCGGAUAGACAGAAAUCCUAUGCGGAUUUAAAAUGUAAAGAGAUUGAACUUCAAGUGGGUGAUCGAGUGUUUUUGAAAGUAUCCCCGUGGAGGAAAGUUCUCAGAUUUGGUAGAAGAGGCAAGUUGAGUCCUCAUUUCAUAAGACCUUAUGAGAUUACCGAGAGAGUAGGGUCGGUUGCCUAUCGAUUGGCUUUGCCACCAGAAUUGGAAAAAAUUCAUGACAUAUUUCACGUGUCCAUGCUACGCUGAUAUAGAUUAGACCCUUCGCAUGUGAUUACGUCAAAAGAGGUUGAGAUUCUUCCAGACAUGACUUAUGGCGAAGAGCCGGUCAAGAUAUUGGCUCGGGAAGUCAAACAGCUAAGAAAUAAGAGUAUUGCACUCAUAAAAGUUUUGUGGCAUAGACAUGGAGUCGAGGAAGCUACAUGGGAACUCGAGGAGACUAUGAGAGAUCAGUACCCGAACUUAUUCACCGGUAAGAUUUUUGGGGACGAAAAUCCUUAAGGGGAGAAUUGUAACAGCCCGAAUUUAGGGCUAGUCAGAAUAGUGCUCUCAAGACCACAAAUCCAAAGUUGAAUAAAUUAUUCCAUUAUUAUUUUGAUGUUAUAGCAUGUUUUUAAUAGUGUAUGAAAAAUUUGGUGUAGUAAUUUUGACGUUUGUGAGCCCAAUUGCGAUAAAGGACUAAAUCGCAUAAAGUGAAAAAGUCCUGAAUUGAUAGCUAAAGGUGUCAAAUAGCUAGGGAAUAAAUAUUGGGGGCCUUUAAAGGGCAAUUAGACCCUUAGAAAUAGGGUGGCUGGCCAUAGGGGACAAUGAAUUGAAAAUUUUCAAGGUUAGGUAAUUGAAUUUUGAAUUUUUGACUAAAGUAGAAAUAAAAUAAUCAAAGGACGAUAACAUCUCUUUCACCUCUCCUUCACAGGAUUUACCAGCAAAAAUAGGGCUUUAGAAGCUUGAAAUUUCAACUACUUGUUUGACUCACAAGUAAGUGAUUUUCAUACCCUUUGUCGAUGAUUUUUGUAUUUUUUCGACCCUUGAAGCUUAAGCAUUUAAAUGAGGGUACUAUUUUGCAAAAUGAUUAAGAGUUUAGGGUUUUUCCAUGAAAGGAUUUGUAAUGUUUGCUAAGUUUUUAUGGAAGAAAAUGAGUCUUGGGUGUCUUAUAAAUAACUUUUGUGAAAGGUGUUAGCAUGAAAACACCUAAAAGGACUAUUUUGCAUAAGUUGUAAAAUAAAUGAUAAGUGUGUGAAAUAGUGGGAAUUUGGAGUUGGUAUAAGAGUAGAAAGGGUUCGGCUAGGCUUAAGGUGUGAAGAAAUUCGAUAAAAAUUGAUUUUCGGGCUUAGGGGUAAAGUGGUCAUUUUGCAAAAGUCUAGGGGCAAAUUGGUCAUUUUUCCCAAUUAUGAAUGAUAGAAUGCCUAGAUUGAUAAAAUGACUAAAUAAGUGCAUUUUUUAUUAUAGAUCAAGAAAUACCGAAUCCAAAUCUAGAUCAGAGAAAAGCCAAGCAAAUCGACUAAAUCGACUAGUCGCCACAUUUUGUAAUCCGAGAUAAGCUGUAUGUAAAUAAUAAAACUAUAAUGUUAAUGUAUGUGUUGAAUCGUACUUGAAUUUAAUAUAGCAUGAAUUGCUUAAUUGUGGAAUUGAGAAAACAUGAUGGUAAUAGAGAUAGUAGAGCUCCCGUUUGAACCUAGGAAAUAAAUCGGAUAUUCAUGCCAUAACAUAUGGGUUAUUGUGAGCUAAUGUAAGACAUGUUUGGGACAUGCAUCGGCCACAUUAUGAGAGUCGAUGUAAGACCAUGUUUGGGACAUGUUAUCAGCAUUGAGACGAGUGCUAGUGUAAAACAUGUCUAGGACAUGCAUCGGCUACGAGAUGUGUCAUUGUAAUACCAUGUCUGGGACACGUUAUCGACACAGAUAUGCUAGAGCUUGUGUAAGACUAUGUCUGGGACAUGGCAUCGGCACCUUACCCCAUGUUUGAGGCUUAAUGAAUAUCUUGAUGGUGUUCCAAAUGGUUCAACGAUAAAAGUUAUGAUUUCUAGUUAACGAGGAAAGUAUAACUGUAUUGUGAGUGGUAUAGUUACCUGUUUGGUAUAUAUAGAAUAUGAGCCCAUUUUAUGAUAUAUGAUGUGUACUGGAUAUUGAUAAGUAAGUUUUUGCUUAUACCCAAUUGUAAAGUUAUGUUGUAUAUUCAUUUAUGUGCAACUUACUAAGCUUUAUCUUACUCCCUAUUCUUUUCCAUUUUCUUAUAGUGCCGCCUAUCUAGCUCAAUGAUCAACGGAAGUCAGAGAUAUCGAUCACACUAUCAAUUGAAGCAUUUGGUAUAGUUUGAUUUAUAUUUUUGAAUAUGGCAUGUAUAGGGAAUUAGGCUUGUGUUUUGGGUUACUAUUAAUUUGGCCAAAUGUGUUGGUUUGGGAUAAGUCCCUCAUUUUGUAUUAAGCCUUGAAUGAUGGCUGACAUUCAUUUUGAUUUAUAUACAAAGAUGUUAUUUUCAUAGAUGAGUAAAAUGCACACAUGGAAUGUUGUUUAUUGUGGCUGAUUUGGUUGCAUGAGAUAACCUUAUAUUGGUUUUGGUUGCUAAUGUGUAGGUUCUGUAAGUAAAGGUGGCAAAAAGGUUUGGUAAAUAGCCUUAUAUUAUCCACACGGAUAGACACACGGGCGUGUGUCUAGGCCGUGUGUGACAUACGAUCUACCCUAUGGGCGUGUGGUCCGGCUGUGUAUCCCUUGCACGUAAAAUUUUCAAGUCAGUAUACAUGGUAGUAAACACACUAGCAGAGACACGGCCGUAUGUCUCAGUCGUGUGACAUUUUGGGUACUGACGUUAGAAACAGAAUAUCUAGGUUUUUGCACACGGGCUAGGACACGGGCAUUUCAUGGCCGUGUGAAGGACAUAGGCCAGGGACACAGGCAUGUGUCAGGCCGUGUGAAAACCCCUGUAGGUGUGCAUUUAGAAUUAAUUCCACACGAGUGGAGGACACGGGUGUGUCCCUGUAUUGCCUAGAUCGUGUGAGCCACACGGGCCACCAACAUGACCAUGUUGAAAUGGCCACACGGGCGUGUUUCCCUUCUACACGGGCGUGUGCCCUAUUUCAAAGUUAAUUUUUUUAUAGAUAGUUUAAGGACUCGGAUUGAUCCUGAAUAGUUUUCAAUGUUCGAUUUGAGGCUCGUAGGCCCAUAAUAAGAAGUUUAAAGUAGAAACCGAAAAAGUUUUAAAUUGGACCAAGUUUUGGUAACUUGGGGAAUGUUUGCGUGCAUGAGAUCGAGUUUGGUAAUGCUUCGUAUUCUACUCCGGUGUGGGUUACGGGUAUGGGGUGUUACGCAUAAUGCAUUCUUGCAUGGAGAUUUAGAAGAAAAGGUGUACAUGAAUAUGCCUCUUGGUUUUUUCAUUCAACAAGCUGACAAAGUCCGUAGAUUAUGAAAAUCAUUUUAUGGUUUACAACAAGCCCCUCGGUCUUGGUUUGCAAAGUUGACAACUACAUUAAAACAGUAUGGGUUUCUUCAAUCUCAGUCUGACAAUUCAUUGUUUACUUUGAAUCGAGAUAAGAUACAAUUGAGUACACUGGUGUAUGUUGAUGAUCUUGUUAUUGUGGGAAAUAAUAGUAUUGGCAUCCAAAAGUUUAAAAAUUAUUUAUGCCAUUGUUUCCACAUGAAAGAUUUGGGGACAUUGAAAAUUUUUUUGACUGUAGAGGUGGCACGGAAUCACAAAAGGGUUUUUAUUUGCCAAUGCAAAUAUACUUUGGAUAUUAUUAGUGAAGCUAGGUUAUUGGGUGCUAAACCAUCUGGUUUUCCCAUCGAACAAAAUCAUUAUUUAGUCUUGGUAGAGAGUGGUGUUUUGGUAGAUUCGGAGAAGCAUCGGAGAUUUGUGGGAAGAUUGACUUAUUUGACUUUCACUCAAUUUGAGCUAUCCUAUAGUGUUCAUAUCUUGGCACAAUUUAUGCAUCAACCAAAGGAAGCUCAUUGGAAAGUAAAUUUGCGCAUGGUUUGUUAUUUGAAGGAAUGUCUUAAACAAGGAAUACUUCUACGAGCUGAUUGUAAUCUACGACUAUAUGGUUACUGUGACUCUGAUUGGGGAAGUUGUUCUUUAACAUAACGGUCUAUCACUAAGUAUUUUGUUAUGUUAGGCACCUUUCCUAUUUCCAUUAAAAAUUUCAAUUUGCUGAAAGUUAAUAGUUUUAGUAAUUUAAUUUUUUUAACAUGUUUAAUAACUUAUCAUACAUUGAGCCAAUUCAUACUUUAUUUCAUUUUUUUUCUUUCACAUUAUGCAUUAUCAUUUAAAUUGCAUCAAACCACAAUAAUUUAAAUUUAUUUUUUUAUUAAAUUUUAGUUUGAUUUUUAUCGAUAUUAAUACUAAUACAUGAAAAUAUAAGUUUGAGCGUACUGAAUACGUGAGUUGUAAAAAAAAUAUGAAUAAUUAUAGGCAUUAUAUAAAAAAUAUUUAUUUUAUAAUAUUUUUAUAUUUAACUCUGUAAUUUUUACCAAGUAUAUUUUAUAUUCAAAUUAAAAUUCAUGAUACAAAUAUAAGAUGAAAAUUUUCAAAUUUUUACAUUUACAUUUAUCAAACAAUAUAUCUAUAUUUAGCCUUUAAUUUUUAAUAAUAGAUAAAUUAAUUUUUAUAAAUUAAAUUCAAUACUUAUUAAAUCUAACAUUAAAAUCUUAGUACUUAAUUUUUUUUUAUCAAUAGUCGAUUUGAUUCAACUAUUUUCAAGAAAAUAUUAAGGUUUAACUUGAAUUAAAAAAAAUUUAAGUUUCAAUCUGAAGGCAAUUGUCAAGUUUAGAUAUUAAUAUAAAUAAAUAAAAAAGUUCAAAACCCAACAUGGCACAUUUCCUAAAUUCGAACUUAAAAUAAUUAACCCUACUUAGAUUAAAAAAAAAAAGCUUCUCCUUGAUUUUGAUCUUGAUCAAUAUAAAUUACAAUUUAAUAAUACAAAUUUUUUGUUUUAUUUAAAUUCAAUCAUGACUAUUUUUUUAGACAUUAUAUAUUUUCUUAAAUAAUAUGUUAAAAUUUAACAAAUUUUAAGUAUAAUUUUGAUUUUUUUAUAAAUUUUAAUAACUUAUAAAUCAUAUAUAUAUAUAUGAAAAUUUAGAAAAAAAAUUAAAUUAAAAUUAAACGAAAAUAUUGAAAGUUAAAUUUAUUGAUUUAAAAAAAUUAAAUAAAAUUAAUAAAAUGAAUUACCAUUGACUACUUAGUUUAGUAUUACACAAAUAAACAGGUGACCAGUCUGAAAUUUACCUAAAAAAUUCCAAAAGAAAACAAAUUUACCUAAAGAGGAUUUGGUUGAAUAGAAGCGAUCUGCACCUGGAAUAGCAAAUUUAGCAGAGCAAACAAAGAAGGAAAUGAAGCGAUUACCUCCAAACACCUUCAAACCAUGACUCACCAAUCUGCCAAUUAGGGAUAGCCUUUAAACGGAAUAUCGGUGACUGCCGCCGCCAUUUGGGGUUUCAUUUGAAGCUCACCUCUUUCUUUUCCUUUCGCUUAAUUUCAAGAUAUGGGUAAGCUUCAUUCUUCAUUGCUUCUUCGUCAUAUUGUUAAUGGUGGAAGGAACUUUUCUAAUUUUCACUCUUCAUUUUCUUGUUAUUUUAACACCAUUUCUCCCCAUAUCUCUGCAAGGGGAAACCAAAAAAAGUAUGAUUGCUUCUAUAACGUGGAUGAUGCUUUGACUUUGUUUAAUAAGAUGGUUGCGAAGCACCGAAAGCCUUCAGUUGUGGAAUUCAACAGAUUAUUAGGAGCCAUUGUUAGAAUGAAACAUUAUGCCAUUGUUGUUUCUAUGUAUAGCCAGAUGGAAUUAUUAGGAGUUUCCUAUGACAUUUAUUCUUUCAACAUCUUGAUUAAUUGCUUUUGUCAAUUAGGUUAUAUUGAUUUUGGGUCUUCUGUUUUGGGGAAAAUGAUGAAGGUAGGUGUUCAACCUGAUGUUGUAACUUUGUCCACUUUGAUUAAUGGACUUUGUAAGCGAAGUAAGAUAUCUGAGGCUUUGAGCUUGUUUGAUGAAAUGAUGGAAAAAGGGUAUCGACCUAAUUUAAUUGUUUACACUACAGUUCUUAAUGGUUUGUGCAAGACCGGGAAUACUGAUCGAGCUCUUAGGUUUCUAAGAAUGAUGGAAGGAAGAGGUUUCAAACCCAAUAUUGUAGCAUAUAGCACUGUCAUUGACUGUUUUUGUAAGAAGGGGUUACUAAGUGAGGCUCUUGAUCUUUUCUCCAAAAUGAAAGUUAAGGGAAUUAGACCAAAUAUUGUUAUUUACAAUUGUUUAAUUCAUGGUGUGUGUAACUUGGACCAGCAGAAGGAGGCAACAACGCUUUUGAAUGAAAUGGCGGGUAACAAUAUUUCUCUUGAUAUUGUCACGUAUAAUAUAUUGAUAGAUGCACAUUGCAAGAAGAGGAUGAUUUCUGAAGCUGUAGAUACUGUUGAUGCAAUGAGAAAGCAAGGCAUUGAACCUAAUGUUGUCACAUUCAGUAUAUUGGUUGAUGCACAUUGCAAAGAGGGAAUGGUUUCUAAAGCUGAAGAUAUUGUUGAUACAAUGAGAAAGAAAGGCAUUGAGCCUGAUGUUGUCACAUAUAAUGCAUUAAUAAAUGGUCAUUGCUUGCAAAACAAAAUGGAUGAAGCUAGAAGAGUAUUUCAGUUGAUGAGUAAGAAGGGUUGUGCACCCGCUAUAUGUAGUUACAACAUCAUGAUCAACAGAUAUUGCAAAGCUAAAAGGGUAGAUGAAGCAAUGGAACUCUUUCACGAAAUAUCACAGAAAGGACCAACCCCUGAUAUUGUCACAUACAGCAUUCUUAUGCAAGGAAUGUGUGAAUUAGGGAGACUUUCAUCUGCAUUGAAACUUUUUCGAGCAAUGCUGAAGAGUGGGUUGGAACUCGAUAUUGUCUCUUACACUAUCCUAAUUGAUGGCUUUUGCACAGCUGGGUGUAUUGAAGUUGCAAAGGAAUUAUUUCUUCAACUCUCAGUCAAUGGUUUAAAACCUGAUGUUUACACAUAUGGUAUAAUGAUUAAUGGAUUCUGUAAAAAGGGAUUGCCAGAUGAAGCAUACCAGUGGUUUAGGAGCAUGGGGAAUAAUGAUUGUUUGCCUGAUAGCUGCUGUUAUAAUGUAAUGAUACAGGGGUUUUUUCGAAAUAGCUAUACCUCAGAGGCAACACAACUUCUUGUGGAAAUGGUCAGUAUGGGCUUUUCUGCAGAUUUAUGCACUGCUACAUUAUUUGUGGAUCUCAUCUUACAGUCUAAUAAAUCAAUCUUGAUUUGAAAAAUGUCUAACAGGUAGUGUAAAGAUUGUCACUUGCGAAUGUGAAUUAUUUUGUUCAUACUGCUGUGAUAAGAGUUUCUAGAAACUGCAAUGAGUGAGUCUUAAGACUCUUUGCCAAUGCCAUUCCUUACUCUCUCUUUUUUACAUUGUAUAAUGUAUUGGGGUUUUCCUCUGAAACUAUUACAUAACUUUGACAAUUAUUUUUGAAUAAUGGAAAUUGAUUGGUGUGCUUUCUUUCCUUUUUCUUUACUUAUUUUUCUUCCUACCUAACUUUGACAAAGAAAAUACAAACACGUUCUUCAUGCUGACCUUUUCACUCAUAUUUUCACAAUUCAAAAUUAGUUCAGCAUUAGAAUAACACGAUGAAAAACGUGGUUGAUGAAUGUUUGAAGUUUUAUGUUUCGAGAUCUUAUUCAUGUUUAAUUCAUAAUUUCAUGUUAUUUCCAAAAUUAUCGUUUGAGUAAGAAAAAAGAGGGAUAUCCUACUAGCUUGUUUGAAGAGAAACAUAACAAAGAACAUGGAAUUUUAGACUUUGAAUUCAACUGUUUUGAUGUACAUUAAAAUGGAACUAUAUGUAUAACAAAAUCUGGUAAAAGAAUACAAGACACAUGGUAGCAAAAUUAAGCUUCACUAAAUUCUUGUUUGAUAUCCCAAUUUCAGUAUUGCUACCAAAAGAAUUGAAACAAUGUUCUUAUAUAUAAAUAUAUAUAACACCAAAAGAUUCAGAAAAAUAGAACACUAUAUAUGUGUGUGUGUGAUCAGUUGAGCAGCCAUUUUUCAUACUUGUGAACAUUGCUUCACUUGAGAAAGAACUUCCAAAUAUCUACAUCAGUCACCUCUUUAAUUAAAUGAGCUCCAAAAAUGCCUUCUUCAUCAACCAGACUUCUGAGAUGCCGGGCUGCAUUGUUGAAGCCGACAUAGUUUUUCUUCGUCGACAAGUAUACAACCCCGUAUGGAGGCCUAACGCACUGGUUUGUUCAUCAUGAUGACCAAAAAUAACAAUAAUAAGUUGUGAAUUACAGAGAAAAACAGAAUAGAAAAUCUAAUCUGCAUUUCAUAGUGCAUCCAGAUAAAAAGCAAAAUGAAAUCAAGAGGGGAAGUUAAUAGAAAAAGUAGCAUCAAGACUAAGGUGGUAUAUAUAUAUGUAAGUAGGCAGGUAUAUGUAACCAAUCAUUCAGGUUAUGUAUGAUGUAUGUAUGUAUGCAUAUGGAAAGCAAAGGAAAGAAACUAACCUUCUUAAUUAGUGCAUAUAACUUCUUCAAAGAGGAAACCGAGUAUGGAAUUUCAGUCAUCAAAAUAAUGUCAUAGCCACUUUCUCCCUGAUCUGUCUCACUAGCUCUUUCCCAUGCCCGGCUUCCUGAAAGCUUUCUUGACCUCCUUGAGGAAAUUUCUUGUGUUAUGCUGCUACCAUCUUGGCUACUGCACCCAUCCAUGAAAUCCUCCUCAGAGAAGCUCAACCUCAUCCCUGUAGUCACCUCGGACACGUCAUUCCGAACAACAGAUAAUACAGUGGGGAGUUCUUCCCAGUCCCCAGCAUAGAAGCGCACAGUUGGGGAAAGAGUUUGUCUGGAUGGAGUCAAAGGACCCUCAGGCUGUCGGCUUUGCCUUUCCCGAGCUUGCUCCAGGUUUGCAAGUACAUUUGGAAUGGUAGUGCAUCGAAUAGUUUCUGCACUGAGGUCUUGAAAGUGCACUGUACAAGCACCCUACACCAACAAUUGCAUAAAGUGGAGAAAUAAAUCUUUCAUAAAAGUAAAAUUCUUCUGACUAUUUUCUAGCAUAUGAUACAAGCCAAUUGCUAAAUAUGUGUGUAAAACACAUAUAAGAGGAACAAGCAAAUAUCUAUAAAUGGAGUAUACCUUCAGACAAGCAAAUAUCCCCGGAACACCAUAGCCACAACCCAACUGCAAGAAUUAUUGAAUAGAAUGAUUAGUGUACAUUCUACAAAGAACUAUAAAACAGACAAAUUAGUUCAUUAACUCUUAAGAUUUAUUCCAUGCAUGACAUGAGAAUUGUUGAGAAGGCACAAAAGCAAGGAAGCUUAUAUCAUAUCGACCUAUUCUAAAAUUGGUCACUCAAGUUUGGUAUCGUCAAUAAAAAAGGCGAAGAAUUGAUUCAAGUGUGAAUUUAGUUUGAUUAGUCAAGCUGAACAUAAGAGCCAAGAUUCAUUCUACCCUAUGAGUACAUUUACCAAUUGGUGAACCAUUUUAAUUUCCCCUAUUCAAUAAUAUUAUCAAAUGGACCCCAAACACUUUUUCAACAAAGAGAAGGAUAAUAUAUCAUGUUUAAUAGUUAAAAAUCAAUUAAAAGAGAUGAUAAAAAAUGCUACAUGAGGUGAUGGCUAAUGUUUUUAGAUUUUUCUACAAUGAAAUUACCUCAAGCACCCUUUUCCCUCUAAAGCUCAACUGCCCAUCACGGAUCUCGUGCUUAAGGACGUUAACAAGAUCGAAAGAACUGUUCCAAGAUUUCAGAAACCCUGCAAAAUAAAAUUAUUUCAUAGCUAUCAGUUGCAACUUAUUAUUUUGACAAGUCAACACUUGAACUAAGAUUGAUAAUUCACAAUAAAAAACAUAAAUUAUUAAAUAAAAAAUACCAACCAUUCCUUACCAUCAGGUUUUGAAGAUAACAUUUCAGUAGUGGUGAAACCAAUAAUGUCAGCAACACUAACUCUUCCCUGUAAAGGUUCGAAAAGGCAUCAUCAGCGUGCAUAUCACAACCUAGGUUCUUCAAAACGGCCUGCUGCUGAAGGGAUGACUAUACGUUGUAAACACAACAUAUAUAUAUAUAUAUCCCCAGCAUAUAUGUCCCCAAUAAAGCGAUGCAAAAGGAAGUCAACAUACCUUGAAUACAUCAAGCCCUUGCAAAUAUACAUUGUCCCCAGCAUAUUUACAAGGAUGGGCUGUCUGCACAAUAACAAAAUUUCUUAAUUGUGAACGCAAAUUCAACUGCUCGCAAUCACUUGCAUGAUAAACCAUCUCAUUAGUAUGGUGGUCAACCAACAACAGUUUACAUCUUGAAUAACAAAUUUAAAUUUCACAAUUAUUUCACUAGUCCUGAAUAGGGAGAUGAAAAACACCUUUGAUGGGAGAAUCUCCACAGCCAGUGAAGGGAGAUGGACAUCUCUAUCAGAUACAGGGGACAUGCUUUGGCUUCCUCGAUCAUAGAGUACCAAGCCUGGCAAACAUUGUGCAAGCAGUGACGGUGCACGCAUUGUGGUCUAACAAUAGGAAACCGUUAUUAAGAAAGAAAAACCUGAAAAUAUCAACAUUUUCCAUUAAUAUCCAGACCACUCCUAAAGAAAUAAUCACUUCCAGAAAUAAGAACAUUUUUGAAAAUAGAUCAGAAUCACAAUAUCAAACUCACAAGGGUAGAAAUACACGUAUGCUUAACCCUAAACAAAUUUCCAGAAGGCAAUUCACUUACAUGGGAACAUCAAAAUGUUAUAGCUAGACAAGAAAACAAAUUCAACCAAAAAUUGCACUAAAAAAAGCAGAAACUUUAAACACUGACUACAUAAACUUUGUUCUUUAAGUGAAAACAAAAUCUCAAUAUUUUGGUUCUUGUUAUGAAUAACAUGAAACAUUAAUAGUAGAGGCAAUUCUUCAGGUAGAAAACAAAGCCGACCAUAAGGAAAGUUCAUACAUAAUUCGGAAAAGGCUAAUAUUAUGAAUAAUUAAAGAGAACUAAGGUGAAUCCAAUUCUUAAUUUCCAUCAACAGAGUCAAACUCGAAGAUCAAACUAAACGAACAUAUUGAAAAUGGAACGUCGUAGCAUUCCCACAAAGUUCAACCUAAAAAGACCAAAACCAGAUUAACAAAACUUGCCAAAACACAUGAAAAUUUAAGAAAAUUAAAACAAACCCAGAAGCCAAAAAACCAAAAAUCAGAAAGACGCAAACUUACCCAGAAAUGAGAAAUAAUCAGCAAGCAGUCUUUAACUCAAAAUUCAAUUGCUUGAGAAAGAAAGGAAUUUAUUUUCUUUUAUAAUACAAGUAAAGAUCAAAGCUUUGUAAUUUCAGAGAAAAGAGACCGCUCUUCACAUUGGAAAGUCAAAAAAACAAAACAAAGCGACGACCCGUUUACGCUGAGAUGAGAGGUAGGAAGACAGAAGCUUCCAUUUUCAGACACCUAUUUAGAGAUUUUAACUUUAAGCCUUUGACGGUAAUGAAAAUUCUGCUUACUAAUCCAAUUUCUGAUCGAAUUUGUUUUUGUAUAUCCCGUACCCGUAAGUACUACCCUUUACACUUCUCCGUACGUGGGGGGGGUAGAGGAAAAAUCUGAUUUUUCUUCUCUUUUUGAAAAGGUUAAGGAUGAGAAGGAAUCACAAAUUUUAUACAUUUUUUUAUGUACUGUUUAAUUUUAACCCACUCGGGUUGAAUUUUUAAAAAUAUUUUUUAUUUUAAAUUUAAUUAUAAAAAGAAAUUGGCACCACUAAAUCUUUAAUGCCUACCUUGGCAAUACUUUUAAAAAGUAUUGUGAAAAAUAUUUUUGAGGGUAUUUUUAAAAAUUUUAAUUUAAAAUUUGAGUUUUUAGCAUUACAGUUAAAAAGUAUUUUUGAGAAAUAAAAUGUCUAUUUUAGACAUAUUAAUAUUAAGUAAUAAAUAUGUAUUUAAUUAAUAUUUAAAUUAAUUAAUAUUAUUAUAUUUUAGUAAAAACAUAAAAAAUUUAUUAUAACUUGUUGUUAAUAUUUUAAUAUAUGAAAUAUAAAUUUUAAAUAUUUUUAAGUAAAAAAUAUUAAUUAUUUAUAAAAUUUAAUUAGAAUAUAUAAAGUAUAUUUUAAAUAUUUAAAUAUAACCAUUAACUAUUUGUAAUUAGUAUUUUUUAAAAUAUUUUUUUAUUUUUAAUUAAGCACUAAGAAAAAAAGGGGAAGUACUAUAUUAUUAGAGGGGUGAAAAACAAUUAAACACUAAAAGUGCUUUUGGGAGAUGAAAAACUAAAAAUUUUAACUUCUCCCUUACCGCUAUAAAUUUCAGUAAAAAACAGCUUGUUUAGUACAAUUUUUCUUCCAAAAUUAUUUUUGGAGGCAGAAUUGUUUUUUUUAAGCACUGCAGAACAAGCUACUAGAACAAGAAAGUGGUUAUUGCUCCUUUUAUUUCCAAAAACUCAUAUACACUAAAACUAAAGUCUUAUCUAUUUGUAGAUGGAGCUUGCAAUAGCAACUAGGUUUAGAGGGAAGUUUUGAGCAUUACGUUCAUGCAUAACUUCCAUACCAAGGUUAGCACGGUUAAUAAUAUCAAUCAAUGUAUUACUUACACAAUCUUGACUAUUAACUAUUGAUUGGUUAAGAUUGAAACUAUUUAGGUUGAAAGCCUUAGUGCUAAUACCUAAAACGGUAAAUCAGAUACCUACUACAUACUAAGCAGUUAAGAACAAAUGUAAAUAACGAGAAUUGUUGAAACUAGCAUAUUGGAAGAUCAAUCGGCCAAAAUAAUCAUGAGCAACUACGAUAUUAUAAGUUUCUUCCUUUUGACCUGUAGAAUUUUUAGACUUUACCAAAAAAGUUUAAAGGUUGAAAAGUGUCCCAUAAAAUACAAUAAAAUAUUAAAAAAGAGAUAUGAUAAUAUUUUAAAGCUACUUGUAGAAUAAAAAAAUACACUAUCAAUACCAAAUACUAACUCAUUUAUAAAUAUUAAUAUAAAAUUAUAUAAUAUUUUUUUAAAUAUUGAUAUGGAAUAUUUGGGUGAGUUGGGUUUGGGCUUGGAAAUUUUUUUAAAUUUGUACUUCAACUCAGACCAAUUCAAUUCAUAAAUAAGUAUAAUUACAUUGGAUGUGAUUUUAGAUAUAUAAUAGUUUAAUUAGUUUUUUAUAUAAUAAAUUUUUAAUUGAUGUAAUCAUCAAGGGCAAAUUCAAAAACUAAUUUAUGAGUUGGAAUUGAAUUAUAAAUUUUUGAGAUAUCAAAAUAUAAUUUUAUUAUGUAUUAAUUUUAUGGUUUCAUUAUUGUUUUCCUUUUGAAGGGAUGAUUUCAUCAUUGUUGAAUGAGCUAAACAAAAUCUUUUAAUUUUUUGGGUCAAAGGUAGACAUGUUCUGUAACACCCCUAACCUAUAUCCGUUGCCGGAACAAGGUUACAGAGCAUUAUCGGAGUUUACAGAACAAUUACAAUUAAUUCAUGUCAUUUAAUAUUCAUAUAUGAAAUUAAUUAUAUUUUAUUUUAUAGCCCAUUUAAAUGGGCCCUCAAGGCCUAAAAUAGGCACUAGAAACAAAUCGGGACUAAACCGGAAUCUCAGAGAAUUUUUCGCGAAAUUUCAAAAAAAUUUCUAUGUGUAGGGGACAAAUGCCCGUGUCUCUACCCGUGUGGACGAAAAUAGGUCAUUUUAAUGCCACUUUUCUCAACCAAUCUUGGUAUCAACCUAGGCACAACCAUUUCCACACUCACAAAACACAAUAAGACCUUCAAUUCAAACCAACACCAAGUCUUAUAACUAACAUAUCAUUAGGUAUAUUCAAAUAUCCAAUCUUACCAAAUCAAUCAUAUACAAAUUUAUGCAUAUUUUAAUAAAUUUAUUAAGUUAAAUUAUACCUCAUUAUACCUAUUAACUAACCAUCAAUUAGCCAUUUUAAACACAUCUCAUGCAUGUUUAAUUCAUACUUAUAUAACUUGGUUGGAAACUUAAACAAAGUAUACAUCAUAAUAUUACACAAACCAAUUUUACUUAAAUCAUACCAAUCCCUAUACAUGCCAUAUAAACCAUAGUAUGCAUAACAAAAUCUACCGAAGCAAGCUGGAUAGUGUGGCUCAGUGUGUUGAUCCGAUCCUUCGAUUUUACGUUAAUCUACAAGAUCAUUAAACAACACGAGUAAGCUUAUUGAAGCUUAGUAAGUUCAUUAGGUUAAACAUUGAUCUUACCGAACUCACUAUAAUAAAUUAAAUUGUAAAUAAAUCAUACAUUCUUCUUGUCAAACACAACAUAAAUCAAUGAACACCCUUCCUUCAAAUUAAUAACAAUAAUAAUCAAUAAAUCUUUCAAAUUCCAAUCACAUAAGUCUUUUACCAAUUCUUACUAAAUUGAAGAAUGACUUACGGAUAUGAGUACAUCGUUUUCUUUGUGUCAUAGUCCAACUAUGGUCUUACAUAUAUGUUGCCAUGGCCUUGCCAUAGUCUUACAUUUGUAGUGCCAUAGCCCAAUUAUGGUCUUAUCAUCAGAAUGCCAUAGCCCAGCUAUGGCCUUACAUAUAAACACUGCCAUGGUCCAACCAUGGUCUUACGUUUAUACUGUCAUAACCCAAUUAUGGUCUUAUCUAUCAAUUCGUCCUUUACAUUAAUGCCAUAGCCCAACUAUGGUCUUACAUAUAAACAUUGCCAUGGUCCAACCAUGGUCUUAUCCAUCAAUCCAUCCUUUAUCACAAAACGAUUGUACUCAAUCUCGUGUUCUACACAAUUUCAUCAUUCAAUUCGAUUUCACAAUUUAACAAUAAUUUUUUUAUUUUCAACAACAAAAAUAUGACUAAUUACAUAAUAACAUUCACCAAUUAGUAAAUAAACAUUAAAAUUUUAACCAAAUGAACUUACCUGGGCUAAUUGUGGAAUUUAUAGGGGACUAUUUUGUUAAUUUCCCUUUUUCUCGUUGAUCUACGGUGUAACAGCCCGAUUUAGACCCUAAUCGGAACGGUGGUUUCGGUUCCACAAAUCUGAGUCAGAAAAAUAUUUAAAUAUUAUUUUUCAUGUUUAUUAUAUGUGAAUUUGCAUGUGUGAAAGUUUCGUAUGAAAAUUUGAUUGUUUAUGUGCUUAAUUUAAUUAAAGGACUUAAUCGCGUAAAAUAAAAACUUGAUAGUUAAAAGCAUAAAGGCCAAAUUGUUGAUGUCUUUGUAAGUUAAAGUAUUUAAGUGGUAAUUUGACCAUGUUUAAUUAGAUGGACGGUAGUGGCCAUGUAAUAUAAUGGUUUUAUAUUAGUUAAUAAAUGUUAAAUUUGUAAUUGAAUUAAAAAGUUAAUAUAUUACAAAACAUAAAAAAAUAAAGCCAAGGUGUUCAUACUUUCUCUUUCACCGAAUAAUAAAAAGAAAGAAAAGAAACUAAAGCUUGGUAUAUUCGGCCAUUUCUCAAGCUUGAUUCAAGGUUAGUUUGAUUUCGGUUUUUUUAUCAUUUUUACGUUUUUGAGAUCGUUGCUUCGAGUACUAUCCGACCCAUGCUUAAAUUUCUGAUUUUGAUGCAUAUUUUGAGUCAUUCCAUUGAUGAAUAUUUGUGUUUUGUGAUGUUUGAUGAUGAAAUAUCAAAAAUAUGUUUUAGAUUAACAUGUUUUGUAUUGGAGUUUUUGAAGAUUUUGAGUAAUUUGGACUAAAUUGCAAAAUAAUAAAUUGAGAGACUAAAAUGUGAAAUAGAUUAAAUAUAUGGACUAGUUUGAGUAUAUGGAAAAUUCAGCUCAACUACAUUGUUGUGAGAUUUUGUGUAUUUUAUGUUUUAUGCAAUUAGGACUAAUUUGUAAAAGUAUGAAAUAUUAGGGGUAAAAUGGUAAUUUUCCCAUUUAUAUGUUGUUGGAUUAAAUUGAAUGAAAUUGUAUUUAAAUGAGGUUAAUUUGAAAUUAUAUAGAUCAAGAACAAAAGAAAUCGAACUUGGAUCAAGGAAAAGCAAAAACAAUCGAAUAGCCAAUUUAUAGCGUUCGUCGAUAUCCGAGGUAUCAUUUAUCUUGAUUGUAAAUUAGUUUAAUAUGUUGUUUUGAAAUCUAUAGAUUCAUAAAGAGCUAGCCGAAUGUGUUUGAGCAUAGAAAUACUGUAUUUGAGUUUAAUUCGACAGAGUUAUGUCAUUUAAAAGUCUGUAGAAUCUAUAUGGAAUUUAUGGAGUUUUUGUUAUAUGAAUUGUGUACAAGACAGCAUUAUAAUAGUGAUAUUCGGGCUUUGAGCCUAGCAAGCUUUAUGCUGGUGAAUGUAAUCGGGCUUUAUGCCUAGCAGGCUUAUUGCCGGUGAAUAGUAUCAGACCUUGAGUCUAGCAGGCCUUGUGCCGGUGUGUGAUUCAGGCUUAUGCCUAGCAGGUUUUAUACCGGUGAUUUAUUUUAAAGCUUAUGCUUAUAAGAUUUCAAGUUGAUGUGGAAAUUGAGCAAGUAAAAUUUAGCUAAAUGACCUUGUAUAUAUUCGACCACAUAGGUAUGUACAUAUGUGAUGUUAUAUUGGAUUUUGAAUAUUCGGCCAUGAAGGUAUGCACAAAUGUGAUAUUAUAUUUGAAUUUGUAUAUUCCGCCAUAUAAGUAAUUACAUAUUUGAUGUUAAAUUUGAUCUUGCAUAUUCUGCCAUAUAGGUAUGCACAUAUGUGAUCUUAUAUUUGAUUUUCUAUAAUCGACCAAAUGAGUGAUGUUGGUUUAUAAAGUUGAGUUUGAUUCAUAAGUAUAUAUAUUUGAAUGUAAGCAUACUUGAGAUAAUGUUAUUUUGGGAAUGAAAAGUUGAAUGAUAUUAUGCUAAAUAUGAAAUAUUAGCAUUCGACCAAGUUAACCUUUUUGUGUAAAAGUAUAAGUUACAAAUAAAUAAAUGAGAUGAUAUGAUCGAGAUAAUGUAUUACAUUAAUGUUAUAAUUUGGUUUGUUUAAAAUGUUUUGAUUAUUAUUUUGAAUGGUUAAAUUUGCUUAUGACUUACUAAGCUAAAUUAGCUUACUCUAUGUGUGUUUUUGUUACUCUGUUUUAUAGAUUUUGUUGUAAGUUACGAGCUUGGGGAUCGUCAGAGAAGUCAUCCACACUAUCGUCAACCUUCGGUACUUUUAAAAGUCUAUUUUCGAACUUAUUACAUGUAUAGGCUAAUAUGUAUUUUGUUCGACCUUGGAUAUGUAUAAUUUGAGCCAUGCUAAUAUGGCUUAACUUCAAAGUUUGAAUUUGGUUACAUUUGGUAAUGGUUUAAUACGUUUUAUUUAUAAUGUUAUAUGAAAUGAAUGAAUGGUAUAUGUGAUUGGUGUUAUACAUCUUAGAAAUAGCUUGAAAAUGAUUGGUGGACUUGGUUGUGGUUGAUGAGUCAGUCAUGGUGUGUAUAAAUUAUCAUGAGUAUGUUUAGAUGAUUCGGUUUUGGUUGGGUAUAGACAAAGUAUAUAUAUAUGAAAUUGGUUUUUAUGUUUGAUAUAGGUGUUAAUAUGUAAAUGAGCUUUUGAUGAUAUAAAUAUAUAUUAAGUUCGAACAUAUAGUAAGAGAUUAUUAUGAUGUUUUAGGUUUUAUAAAGGACUUGUAAGUUGGCUUAACAAAGGAGCAAGAUGUUGAUUGUGUAUAUAUAUAUGCAUAUAUGUAUUUGUGCGUAAUCGAAUGAUGCUUGUCAUUAUGAUUCGAUUUUUAAUGGAAGUGAAUAUGCAUAUGUGAUACUUAUGUGACUGACAUAAUAGGUAUAAUUGAUGAAGUUAAAUAUUGAGUAGGUAGUAGAUAAUGCCAUAUAUGUUAAGAGAUAAAAUGUCUUGUGAUACUAUUUAUUUGGUUAAAUAUGCGCACGUUUAGAAUUAAGAAAAUAAAGUUUGAUUUUUAUUUUUGGUAUUUGCUUAUCAAUAAAGUGAUGAACCUAUAAUUCGUAUGUACAAUAUUUUUUAUAAUGUAUGUUUAAUAUUUAAUUAAUUGUAUGCUUUACAUGUAAAUAUGAAUACGACUUGUGUUAGCAUGAGAAUGUUCGGAACUGUAUUUUUGUUCAGUAAUGCCUCGUGACCUUAGUCAGACGACGGAUACGGGUUAAGGGUGUUACAUACGGGCUCUUGAUCUAAAAUGUAAAAUUAUUCAUUCAUUAGCAUAUAUUUCAAUUCAAUUUGCUUCACAAUUAAUACCCCUUAAUUUUCAUAAUUACACAAUUAACCUAACUUUUAUAGUUUUUACAAUUUAGUCCCUUACCAAUUAUCCUAUCAAUUGAGCUAAUUUUUUUCUCAAUUGACAAUUUAUUCAAUUAUUCUAGGCUAUCUUACAACAUUUGAUAUAUAGAAAUUUAAUAGCACACCUUAAUUCUUUAAUUCUUCACAAUUUAGUCCUAAAAUCAAUUUUUAUUGAAAUCACUUGAUAAAAUCAUCAUAUAACAAAAUUAAAGCUUCAAUUCCAUGUUAAUUCAUCAUAAACAUCCAGCACUCAUCAAUGGUAACUUUCAAAAUUACCCAUAAAAUCAAAAACUAAUGAAAUAGCUAGUUGGACCUAAUUGUAAAAGUCUUAAGCUGAAUCCAAUUUAAAUAAUAAAAAAAUUAUUUUUUAAAUUAAAAUUUCAUUAUAAAAAUAUAUAAAAUAGUAGCCAAAAAUAUAUUUUUAAUAUUUUAUUAAUUUUUAAUAGUAAAAUGAACUUUUUGGAUGGUUAGGGUUGGUCUGAAAACGAGCCUAGGUUUCAAAAUAUUUUAAAAUCGAGCCUCGAUCCAGCUCAGCCCAUGGACACCUUUAGUUAAAGAUUAAUUUUACCAUAUAUUAAUUUAUAAUGUAAAGUCGUUAUUUAAAGGGUUAGUAUUCUAACAAUGUACUUUUUUUUAUUCUUUCACUUUUUAUAUAUAUUUCAAUUUUUAAUUAUCCAUUAAAUUUGUUUUUUAAUAAAAUAAAAUGAUAGAUAUAUCAUUAAAAUUUUAAAUUAAAAUAAUUCAAAAUAAUUUAUCAUUUAGAAAACUCCCUAAAAUUUAAAACUAUUAUUAUAGAUAUAUCAUUAAAUCAUAUUUAAAAAUUAAAUAUUGUUUAAUUAAUUAAUAAAAAAUAAAUAGUGUUUCAAAAAUAUAAGAAUGAAAUAUUAAAUUUUAUAAGGUUUCAUAAUUCUAAAAAAUAAAAUAUGAGAAUGUUUAAAAAUUUUAUUAAAAAAGUUUAAAAAUUAUACAAUUUUUUUAAAAAAUAAAAAAAUACUAGUAAAAAAAUUUAAAAAAUUAAAUAUUAUUUAAUUAGUCUAAAGGUGAUCAUGGGUCAGGCUGGGCUACUAAAAAUUCAGACCCAUUUAUUAGGGCCAGGCCCAGCCCAAAAAAUGGGCCAAAAAUUUUGCCCAAAUUCGAUCUGGAUAAAAAUGGUAAAACUCGAGCCCGACCUGGCCCGCCCGUAUUAAUUUUUAUAUUAUUUUUAUAUAAUUUUUAAAUAUAUAUAAUACAUUAAAAAUACUAAAAGCAUCCAAAUAAAUAUUUCCCAACAAAUUGAAAAUAAAAUUUAAAAAAUAUGAAGACUUAAGUAACACUAAGAUAAAUACAACUUAACAAGCAAAUGCCUCUAAAAUAAUAACAAAAUUAACAAAUACCUUUAAAAUAAUAAAAAAAUUAACAAUAAAAUAAGUUUUAUACAAUACCCAAACAAUAACAAUAAAAUAGUAGCAAUAUAAUAGUAAAAUGGUAACAAAAUAGGGAGAAAACAACAAGAAAAUAACAUUAAAAAAAGUAGAUUUUUUUUUGUCUUUUAGUGAAUUCGGGUGAGGCCAGGCUAGGCUCGGGGCCAAAAAUACCUUACCCAAGGCCCGACCCUUUUUUUAAACCGGUCUUAUUUUUUUGUCCAAACCCAAUUUUUGGGCUUAUAUUUUUGCCAAACCCUUCCACAUUUUGGGCGGGCCUUCGAGUUGGACCAGGUAGCCUAACCCAUAAUCAGUCUAUAAUUAAUCAUUUAAUUUUUUUAAAAUAUUUAUAUCUAUUUUAAUUUUUCUAUAAAUACUAUUAAAAAUUUUAAAAACAAAAUUGAAUACUAUUUAAAAACAUUAUUCAAGUAUCUAUUUUGCAUCUUUCAAAAUAAUAUAAUUUAUUAAUUUUAAUAUUUUUAUAGAAUAAUAUACUUUAAUUUUUUACAUAAUUUAUAAAUUAUUAAAAAACUAAAAAAUAGUUUAUGAUAUUUAAUUAUUAAUAGAUAAAAAGUAUAUCAUAUAUAUAUUAAAAUUCUAAAUCAUUAAUUAUAUAUCUAAAUAUCAUAAGAGUUUCAUUUUUCAAAUUUUCUUCUUCAUAAUUAAAGCAUAAAUUAUAUUUAUAAUAUUAUAAAUAUAUUAUAUUUCAAAAAUUUAUACACAAUCAAUCCGUGCAUCUCAAAAGGUAAGAAAACUAAUUUUUUUAAUAUCUUAUUAUACCCCUAAAAGACCAAAACUCUAUUGUCAAUAUAUUAAAUAUUUUUAUUUAUUUAAUAGGGGUUAACAAGUGUCUUAUAAUGGUAUAGUAGAAUAUUUAAAAAAUAAAUAUUAAAAAAACACAGACAAUAACGUAUAUUGCUAGUAUAUCAAAUACUAACCUAAUAAAAUUUAUUUUUUAAACAUUUUUAAAUAUUUUUUCAAUUUUAUAAGAAUUUUAAAUAAAUUGAAAAAUAAAAUGAUUUUUUACUAGUUUUUACAAUUUAAAGCAUUUUUUUUACAAUAUUUAAAUAUUUAAAUAUUUUUUUUAUCCAUCAACGAUUGAUCAAUGUCAAUGAACAAUCAGUCAACACCAAUCAAUGGUCAACCACCCGCAAUCACUGUCAACGUACCACGUCAUUGAUGACAUGACAAAUUUUGGGCAACUUUUUUUAUGUUCAAAAUAAAAAAAAAUAUUAAAAUGAGCAGAGGGUAAAUUAGGAAGAAAGCGUAGAUUUUAAGGUAAAAAGAAAGUUAAGCAUAGUUUGGCCCCCGAAGUUGCGGCCGGCAUAGGUGUUUAACUCGAUUUCUUUAAAAUUUUAUGAACUUGGAAAAUCAUGGACUCCAUUUCUUAACAAUGCUAACAAAAUCAAAAUCAAAAUCUUCCCUUUACUAUGUUCACCUCAUUUUUCAUCCCAAAAUUUCCAUUUCUUCACUUCACACCGCAACAAAGGAUAGCAUCGUCCAUAACUCUGCGAAAAUCCUCCGCAAAAAUACCAAAUUCCUCGUUUAUUGCAAUACCCAGAUUACUCAACAUGGAAGAAACAGAAAUAUCAAAGAAGCUGAAUCAAUCUUCAACCGGAUGCCCUUCAAAAGCACCGUAUCUUGGACUGCCAUGUUGACUGCAUACGCAGAAAAUGGGAACAUUUCGAAAGCCCGUGAAGUGUUCGCUAAAAUGCCUGAAAGAACAACUUCUUCGUAUAAUGCGAUGAUCACCGCUUAUAAUAAGAAUGGUUGUAUGGUUGAUGAGGCUUAUGAGCUUUUCUGCAACAUGUCUGAACGGGACGCAGUGAGUUAUGCUACGAUGAUCACGGGGUUUGUUAGUAAAGGAAGGUUUGAUAAGGCCUUGGAAAUUUACGAAAAUACUCCUGGGAAAUGGCGGGAACCGGUUUGUUCAAAUGUAUUGAUAAAUGGGUAUGUGAAAGCUGGGAGAUUGGAUAUGGCAGAUGGCAUUUUCGAAGGAAUGGUUCAGAGAGAUGUCGUUUCUUGGAGCCUAAUGGUUGAUGGGUAUUGCAAAAGUGGGAGAAUUAUGGAGGCUAGAAAGUUGUUUGACAAGAUGGUGGAGAGAAAUGUAGUUACUUGGACAACAAUGAUUAAUGGGUACCUAAAAAUGGGAUAUUUAAUUGAUGGUUUUGGUUUGUUUUCGGCUAUGAGAAAAGAGGAAGGAGUUUUGGUUAAUUCUACUACUUUGACUGUUAUAUUUGAAGCUUGUGGACAUUUUGAUAGAUGUAGAGAAGGAAUUCAAAUGCACGGAUUGGUUUUAAAGUUGGGAUUCGAAUUUUCUGUUUUUCUAGGGAAUUCUAUUAUUACCAUGUAUUGCAGAUUUGGUUGUACUGGUUCUGCUAAUUUGGUAUUUGAUUUGAUGACGAGGAAAGAUUUGGUUUCUUGGAAUUCUUUGAUCAUGGGCCAUGUUCAAGAGAAUGAGAUUGAGAAAGCUUAUGAACUUUUUGAAAGGAUGCCUAGAAAGGAUGUAGUUUCUUGGACUACCAUGAUUAUGGGGUUUUCUGGUAAAGGACAAACUGAUAAAGCUGUCAAGUUGUUUAGAAUGAUGCCUGAGAAAGAUGAUGUUGCAUGGACUGUAGUAAUUUCAGGGUUUGUAAGUAUUGAAAUGUAUGAGGAGGCUUUUCGCUGGUUUACUGAAAUGCUUCAGAAAUCAGUAAAGCCAGACUCUCAUACUUUGAGCAGUCUGUUGAGUGCUUCUGCCAAUUCAGCUAUACUAAGCAAUGGGCAGCAAAUCCAUGUCCAAGCAAUAAAGAUGUGUCUGGAACUCGAUUUGUCAGUUCAAAAUUCGCUUGUCUCAAUGUAUUCAAAAUGUGGAAAUGUAGCCGAUGCUUGUCAAGUCUUUAUGAGUAUUAAAGAACCGAAUGUUGUUUCUUUCAAUACAAUGAUUACUGGCUUUGCUCAAAAUGGAUUUGCUAAAGAAGCACUUGAAUUGUUUGGGAAAAUGCAGAGUGAAGGGCAGGAGCCAAAUCAGGUAACCUUUCUUGCUGUUUUGUCCACCUGCAGCCAUGUUGGACUCAUAGAAGUAGGAUGGGAGCACUUCAAAUCCAUGACAUCUUUAUAUAACAUAGAACCAGGGCCUGACCACUAUUCAUGCAUGGUUGAUCUCCUCGGCCGAGCUGGGUUGUUUGAUGAAGCAGUUGGUUUAAUUUAUUCAAUGCCAUUUGAUCCCCAUAGUGGAGUUUGGGGAGCUCUCCUGGGUGCAAGCAUGACUCAUCUCCGUAUUGAUUUCGCAAAGCUUGCAGCUCAGCAGCUUAUUAAAUUGGAGCCCGAUAGUGCAACUCCUUAUGUCGUUUUGUCCAACUUAUAUACUAUCUCAGGAAAGAAGAAAGAUGGAGACAAAGUAAGAAUAGACAAGAAAUCAAAAAGGAUAAAGAAGAGCCCUGGGUGUAGUUGGUUGGUAGUUAAAGACAAAGUUCAUUUGUUUCUCUCAGGAGAUCAAUCUCAUGAGGAUUCAGAAGAGAUUAGAGUUACAUUACAGACAAUUAUGAAGGAAAUGGAAGAGCUAGGUUGUUAUAGAUAGAUGGCUCCUUUCUUAAGGUCCUCCUCUUUGCUCUCCAUAGGAUCUCUUCUGCUGUAAUAGUUUCUAUUAUUUAAGGCUUGUGACUUUGUUCAAGCAGGCCAUGCAUUGGUCUCUAUAUUUUCUGUGUGCUUUUCUAAUGCGAACAAAUGCCUUUAUCACUAGCAAUGUUGCUUUGCUGAAAGGAGUUAACUUGACCAUCCCAUCUUUUCAUGUUACUCUGCGUUCUCUUCCCUUUUCUGAGUCAAGAAUGUAGUCCAUUGGGUAAGUGAUACUCGUAGCUCUACUUUUAGUAUACUGGAUGUGUAGUCUCAUAUCUUUCAUCUGUUGUCCAUUUUGCAGAUGUGAGUUUGAACCAGAAUUAUGACGGCUACAGAUCCCCAGGUAAGGGAAAUGAUAUAUGUGUCUCUUAUAUCAUAUCUUGAGUAAAUUUUUUUAUUCUUCUUAAAAAUGCAAAUCUGACCAAUAUUUUCUUGAAUCUAAAUAGUAAUGUUAUUGCUUCAUAAAGUUUGUUCAACUUUUUUUUUUUUUUUUGGUGAACAAAGUUUUACUUCUCUGAAACUGGUUAAAUAGAAGACCAUGAGGAAACAAUCUGGCAGAUCCUUUUCCCUUUUACUGCCCAGUUACCUGCUGCAGGUGGUUAUGUGGUUGGAUUUGAUGUAUGCCUUACUCAUCUGAGUGUCUUCUUCACAUAAAUGCUAUUACUUUGACUCUUCAUUUUUCUCUAAGUGCUCGUAUCAUACAUCCAUGUUAGAUGAAUAUUCAGACAUGUCUGUGUCAAAAACAUGUAUAUUUCCUCAAUGACAUUUGAGUCCGAGCUACAUAGUCAAACAUAGCAGAGAAACACAAAUGCACUCAUGCACACAUGAUUAUUAAUCAUAUUUCUUAUAUGAAUCUGGGGGGUUUGUAUGAGAGAGCAGCUUCAAGUCAAAUGCAACAUAUUUUAUGUGCUUGAAUUCAUAUUUAUUCUUAAAUUUAUUUUGCAUUGAUGACCUGGUAAUGAUUAAUAAGUUGGAUGUUCAUGUGUUAGAAGUUAACUAUUGUAGGAUAUGGCGAUAUGCUUAUUGAUGACUUGGUACAUCUGGAUUUGAUGCUACAGGUCCAAAUCUUUAUUUUGUUUGAAGAAUCGUAUCCAACACCCUUGUCUAGCGCAUAUUCGGACAUGGGCGCAGAGACAUCACCUUUCUAAAUCCUCUAAAUGAGGACUUGCCGAUCAAUGUGGUGAACUGGAUACUUUUGGAGUCAUAAUAUGGUGGCUGUGGAAACAAAGAAACUACUUAGUGUUUGCAGCUGGGAAUCCACUAAUAUAAAUGGGAAACGCCUUGCAUGUUUGAGGAGCACCAUGGUGGCUGUUAAAAGUCAGCAGGCUCGAGGCAAUAGAAAGACGAUGGGGAUUGGAUGGAGGCCUGGAUAAAACAAAUUUGUGACAGAGCAGUGGACACCAGCAAUAAUCUUGCUUCAGCUGAGGGAAUCUUUCGCAACUGUUAUGGCUGUUGGAUUGCUGGGUUUAGUAGGUUUCUAGGCCUCAAUACUGUUAUGCAAGCGGAGCUAUAGGCGGUAUAUGACAGCCUCAGCAUUGCUUGGGAGGCAGGGUCCAAAAAAGGUUUUGGUAGAAUGUGACAAUUCGGUAGUGAGACAGAUGCCAACCGAUUGCAAUGCGAGUCCAUUAGAGCUAGUAAGGAAUACAAGGUAGCAGAUGCAAUGGCGAAGAUUAGAAAAUCUCCACGAAUUUAUACCAAUUGAGUAAAAACGAGCUAAGUUUAGGUAGGAAAUUAAAGAAGAAAUAGUAAUUUUCUUGCAAAGGUGAAAGAAUAGAGUGUUUCAAUGCCAAGAAAAUAUAAAAGAUGAAGAAUUUUUUGAAAGAAAACUUUCAAUCUUAGAUCUAACAAUAAAAUAAAAAAGGAUGGAGGGAAACAAAAUAAAAAUAAACAGACCAUGGGUGUGGCUUUUUAUAGCGAACUAACCAUAUUUUUGAAAACAGGCUAUUUACCCUCUAAGUCCUCCUCUAUUCUCCCUUGUUCUAAUAACUCCUUUUUUAACCACUAGUUUUUAAUUUACACAAUUAACCUCUACUUUAACCACUAUUUCCAAAUUAGUCUUUAUUAAUUUUUACUAAUGCCUUGAUUAUUAAUACCAUUAUUAUUUAGUUUAAUUAUUAUUAUUACAAUUAUUAAUUAAUUAAGUUUUUAUUCUAUCUUAAUUCUUAAACCCAAUUUAUCUCUCGAGCCCACAAUCUAAUACCGGACUCUACCAACCCGGUUUUCAAGAUGUGAAACCUAGAUUAUUUUGACACCUAUGCACCAAUGCUAGGAUGACCUCCACUCAAAUUCUUAUGGCACUUGCAUCUAUCCAUAAAUUACAUGUACAUCAAAUGGAUGUUAAGACGACUUUUUUGAAUGGUGAUCUCAAAGAAAAAGUCUACAUGGAGCAACUAGAAGGUUUUGUACUUCCUAGGAAUGAACAUAAGGUGUGUAAGUUGAUCAUGUCAUUAUAUAGUUUAAAAUAAGCACUUAGACUGUGGCAUGAGAAAUUUGACUCGAUUAUUUUAUCACAUGGUUUUUUUAUAUAAUGGUGCGAAUAAAUGUAUUUACACUAAAUUCACCAAUAGAUACGGUGUAAUUAUUUGUCUCUAUGUAGACGAUUUGUUAAUUUUUGGGACAAACAUGGAAGGUGUUCGCAAGACCAAAGAGCAUCUAACCUCAAAUUUUAAGAUGAAGGAUCUUAAUAAGGUAUAUACAAUUCUAGGUAUAAAGUUGUAAAAGCAUGAAAGGGGCUUUGCAUUAAGCCAAUAUCACUACAUCAAGAAAGUAUUGGAAAAGUUCAAAUACUUGCAUAUCAAGGAUAUGAACACUUUAUACAAUUCAAACUUCAAGUUAAGUAAGAAUAAUGGGAGGACUAUAGUGCAACUUGAGUACGCCAACUCAAUUGGAAGUCUAAUGUAUGCAAUGCAUUGCACUAGACCCGAUAUCACAUUCACUGUGUGCAAAUUGGCGAGAUUUACAAAUUGCCCUAGUAUCGAUCAUUAGAAAGGAAAUUUUAGGAUUUUUGACUAUAUUAAGAAAACAAAAAAUUUGAGAAAAACAAAAAAUUUGAGAUUAUUCUAUAGUGGUUAUACAGCGGUACUCGAAGGUUACUCAGAUGCAAGUUGAAUUACAAGUCUAAGUGACAAUAAGUCCACAUCGAGAUGGAUUUUUACGAUCAGAAGUGCAGCCAUUAGUUGACCCUCUAAGAAACAAACUUGCAUCUCACAUUCAACUACGGAGGCUAAAUUUAUAACCUUGUCGACUACUGGCAAGGAAGCGUAAUGGCUAAGAAACCUCUUACUAGAUAUAAAGUUGUGGCCAUAACGUAGGUUCGCCAUUUCCGUUAUUAUAAUAGUGAAUACGCCAUGUACCGAGCGUAUCAUAAGGUGUACAAUAGAAAGUCUAGACAUAUAAGUUUAAGACAUGAGUAUGUGAGACAAUUUGUAACAGCCCAAUUUCAAUGAAAUCGGAAUAGUGGUUUCGGGACCACAAAUUCGAGUUCGAAAAAUGAAAUUAUUUAAAUUUCAUAAAAUGAUAAGUAUUAUGAUAGGAAUAUUGCAUGAAAAUUUUUAUCGAAAAAUUUUAUCAAUUAUGUGUCUAAUUGCAAAAAGGACUAAAUUGAAUAAAAUAUCAAAGUUGAAUUCUAGUAGUUAUAAGGAUUAAAUAGCUAUAGAAUUAAAAGUGAGAAGUCCUUAUAUGGCAAUUAGACCAUUGAUGAAAAAUAUGUAGAUAUUUUUAAUGAGUCAUCCAUGGAACUUGAAAAAGAUUAAAGAUUAAAUUAGAAAUUGAAUUAAAUAAAGUAUGACAAAUGAUUAAAUAGAAUUAAAACUCAUUUUAUAUCAUCUUCUUCUUCAUAAAAUACAUGGAAACCCUAGGAGAGAGAAAGGAAACUUUUCAAGCUUGAAUCGGUAAGUUCUAUGUCCCGUUUUUAGUAAUUUUUAUAUUUUUGAGAUCGGGAAAGCUUAAUUUCUUUAUUUGAGUGAUUAAAUUAAAAGAAAACCAAAGUUUAGAAAACUAAACAUGGAUGAAUAUGCUGUAAAUUGAAAUUUUUUGAUAGAAAAUGAAAGAUUAUUGAUAGAUAAGCCACUUUUACAAAGUGAUUUUUAGUGAAAACAUGUGUAGGGACUAAAUUGCAAAGUAGUGAAAUUCUUGAAAAAUUUCUGAAAUUUAUGAAAUACAUGUGCUGUACAAGUUAUAUUUGAAUUUUUAAUAAGCUUGGAAUAAGGAGUAAAUUGCAUGAAUAUCAAUUUCCGAGCCUAGGGACGAAAUUGAAAUUAAUUAAAAGUUUAGGAGCAAAAUGGUACUUUUUCCUAAAAUGUGAAAUGGGCUUGAUUGAAUGUAAAAAUCAUAGAAUUGAUGAUUAAAUUUAUUUAUAUAGAUCUGGAAGUGUCGAACAAAGAAAAAGAUCGAGGGAAAGAAAAAGUCUCAGACUAGUAAAUACGAUCAAUUGUCAAGGUAAGUUCGUAUAACUAAAUUAAGCAUGUAGAUGUGUUGAAUUGAUUGUUGAAUUAUGUACAUUAUGAUUUGUAAUUGGUAUUUAAAGUAAUAAACCAAUAAUGAUUUGUGAUUUACAUAUAAAUGAUGAAAUAUUACAAGAAUCCGUUUGAAUAUUGAUUUCUGAUUGGACAGGUGAUUACUGUGUAUAUGAGAUCCUGCAUAUGUUGUAGUAAAGAUUGUUCCGAAAGGAUAAUCUUUUGAUCUCAUUAUGAAAAGGAAAUGUAUCCCGAAAGGGUGAUACUUGAAAAGGACUUAUGUACCCAAGUUGUACAACUUGAAAAAGGUUAUGUACACUUUGUGUGUACAGUUGGUAAGGUUAGGUAUAUUUUGUGUAUACCAUAUGGAAAGGAAAUGUAUACUUUGUGUGUACCACUUGAAAAGGAAUGUACACCUCAAGUGUACAAUUGGAAAAGGAAAGGUCUGUCAGAAAUUCAAUAAUUCAGCAGUAACGACAUACAUAGAUAUAUAAAGAGAAAUGGAUGAGCUCAUCUAUGCAUUUUAGUGUUUUUGAAAACUAAUCAAUUGGUUGAAUGAUUGUGUAUAGGCCUUAUUUGCUAAUUGAUUAAGUUAAUGGACAUAUUACUUAAUGUGUAAAUUACUUGAUGAACAUGAAUGGUAAGUGUAUUUUGGUUAUAUGAACUUACUAAGCAUUAAUGCUUACUAGGUUUAUUUUUUCGAUUUUAUAGUGCUCAAAGCUCGUGAAGGUUGGAUUUCGGGUCAGAGUUAUCAUCACACUAUCUAUCCCUUGAUUUUGGGAAAAAUGUUAGACUUAUUUUGAUAUAAUGGCAUGCAUAGACUAAUGUCACUACAGGAAAAUAGACUUUUAGCGGCGCUUUUUUUAGCCUUUAGCGGCACUUUCUAAAACGCCGCUAUAGGUAAUGCCACAAAAAUUUGUGGCCCUUUGAUACUUAAGAAAUUGCAAGUUAGAAUUCCAUACGGGCUGGCCACACGGCCAUGGGAUCCCCACGGGCUGGCCACACGGCCAUGUCCGAAUCAGAGGGUUGAAGUGAAUAUGCUAAAGAGGCUUUCUUUGAAAUGUUGGAUAAAUGGUUUCCUGAAUAUUUGAGAAGAAAUUUUGCUGCUUCUCAAUUACAACCUCCCCCAACAAAUACUCAGACUGUUCUUGAGAGACCACCGGGUACUGAAACUAUUAGAAUUAGUAAGGCUCUAGUGGAUAAACUCAAAAAAUAUGGGGCUGAGGAAUUUAGAGCUACAAUUGAUUAUGAUUCAAAAAAAGCUGAAUUCUAGCUGGAAAAUACUACUUGAAUGUUGGACGAAUUAUCAUGUACUCCAGCUGAAUGCUUGACAUGUGCUGUAUCUUUGUUAAAGGACACGACUUAUCACUGGUGGAAAAUAGUAAAUUCAGUGAUUCCAAAAGAAAAUAUUACUUGGGAAUUCUUUCAAUCUGAAUUCAGAAAGAAAUAUAUUAGUCAAAGAUUCUUAGGUCAGAAAAGGAAAGAAUUUCUAGAAUUAAAAUUUCUAGAAUUAAAGUAGGGGAACAGGACCGUUGAGGAAUAUGAAAGGGAGUUUGUACGGUUAAACCAAUAUGCUAGUGAAUGGGUACAAACAGAGGCAGAAAUGUGUAAACGUUUUGAGGAAGGAUUAAAUGAAAACAUAAAGUCACUGAUUGGUAUUCUAGAAAUAAGAGAGUUUGCAGGACUUGCUGAUCAUGCAAAGAAAGCUGAAGAGCUAAGUAAAGAAAAGAAGAAGGCAAACAGAGAAGCCCGAUCCUCUGGGAAAAGACCUAUUGUUAGGUCUCAAUUAUUUUCUUCAAAGAAAUCAAAGAGGUAUCAAGAAGGAUCUACUACUUCAGCUGGGUAUUUCGGUAAAGAGCGUGGUUCUCAACGCUCUAAUCCCAGGCCAUCGUCACCGACAAUGACUAGUGUUGGAAGUGUGGGAAACAUGAAGCUAAUAUGUAAACACUGUAACAAAUUUCAUUAUGGUGAGUGCCGAAUGAAAAUCGGCGCAUGUUACAAAUGUGGUUCAUUUGAUCACUUCUUAAAAGAUUGUCCAGAAAUAGUAGAAAGAUAUGCUGAACAGACUUCAAAACCAAGUAACACUGCUUCAAGAGGCAGACCACCUAGACACACACUACAAAAGAUUCAAAUGUUAAAUCUGAGGCUCGAGCUCCUGUAAGAACAUAUGCUAUACGAGCCCGAGAAGAUGCUUCAGCUCUAGAUGUCAUUACUGGUACUUUUUCUUUACUAGAUACCGAUAUUACUGCAUUGAUUGAUCUUGGUUCCACACACUUGUAUAUAUGCACAAAUUUAGUAAAUGUUAAAAAUUUACCUGUUGAAUUCACUGAAUUUAUGGUAGAAGUCUCAAAUCCUUUGGGUCAAUGUGUAAAGGUGGAUAAAGUUUGUAAAACUGUCCACUUUUGGUAAAGGGUAAAUGUUUCUUAGUUGAUUUAAUGCUACUACCUUUUGAUGAAUUCGAUGUGAUAUUGGGAAUGGAUUGGUUAACCCAACAUGAUGAAAUGGUAAAUUGUAAGUAGAAAUAUAUUGUGUUGAAAUGUCAAGAUAGUGAGUUACUUCAUGUUGAAUUUGACAAGCUAGAUGGAUUAUUUAAUAUGAUUUCAGCAAUAGCAGCACAAAAAUGUAUGAGGAAGGGAUAUGAUGCUUAUCUUGCUUAUGUGUUGGAUACUAAGGUAACCGAGUCAAAGAUUCAAUCUGUGCCAGUUGUAUGUGAGUUUCCAGAUGUGUUUCUGAAAGAAUUGCCUGGCUUACCACCUGUCGGAGAAGUGGAGUUUUCUAUACAUCUAAUUCCGGGAACAACACCAAUAUUGAUAGCACCUUAUCGAUUAGCUCUUGCCGAGUUAAAAGAGCUGAAGGCGCAGUUACAAAAAUUAAUUGACAGGGGUUUUGCUCGACCUAGUUUCUCACCAUGGGGUGCUCCGGUGUUAUUUGUAAAGAAAAAAUACGGAUAAUUGAGGUUGUGUAUUGAUUGCCGGCAACUCAAUAAAGUCAUUAUAAAGAAUAAAUAUCUACUGCCUCGAAUUGAUGACUUAUUUGAUCAGUUAAAGGGAGCUACUGUAUUUUCAAAGAUUAAUCUUUAUUCGGGUUAUUACCAGCUCCGGGUAAAGGAUUCAGAUGUUCCAAAGACAGCUUUCAGAACUAGAUAUGGUCAUUACAAAUUCUUGGUGAUGCCAUUUGGAUUAACAAAUGCACCAGUAGUGUUUAUAGAUUUAAUGAACAGGAUUUUUAGACCAUACUUAGAUAGGUUUGUUGUGGUAUUCAUAGAUGAUAUUUUAGUUUAUUCUCGAAGUGAAGAUGAACAUACUGAACAUUUGAGGAUUGUGUUACGAGAAAAACAAUUGUUUGCCAAGUUUAGUAAAUGUGAAUUUUGGUUAUGAAAAGUUAGCUUUCUUGGUCACAUUGUAUCUGCUGAAGGCAUCAAGGUUGACCCGAGCAAAAUUUCAGCAAUUAGUAAUUGGAGUCCACCAAAGAACGUGUUAGAGGUCAGAUGUUUUUUGGGUUUAGCCGAGUAUUAUUUGGAGAUUUGUUAAAAGAUUUUCAAUGAUUGCUUCUCCGAUAACUCGUUUGUUGCAGAAAGAUGUAAAAUUCGAGUGGAGUGAUAAAUGUCAGCAGAGUUUUGAUAGACUGAAGACUUUGUUGGCUGAAGCACCUGUAUUGGUACAACCUGAAUUAGGUAAGGAAUUUGUAAUUUACAGUGAUGUAUCUUUAAAUGGUUUAGGUUGUGUUUUGAUGCAAGAAGGUAAAUUGGUUGCCUAUGCUUCAAGACAACUUAAACCACAUGAAAGAAAUUACCCGAUAUAUGAUCUUGAACUGGCAGCCAUAGUGUUUGCAUUGAAAAUAUGGUGGUAUUAUUUAUAUGGUGAAAAAUGUCAUAUUUACACUGACCAUAAAAGUCUGAAGUAUUUAAUGACACAAAAAGACUUGAAUUUUAGGCAACGCAGGUGGCUCGAGUUAAUAAAAGAUUAUGAUUUGAUUAUUGACUAUCAUCCGGGAAAGGCCAAUGUUGUGGCGGAUGCACUGAGUAGGAAAUCUUUGUUUACUUUAAGAGUAAUGAACACCCGAUUAUGUUGUUCAGAUGAUGGUUCGGCUGUAGUUGAAUUGAAAGCUAGACCUACAUUUAUACAAUAAAUCUAUGAAGCACAGAAAAGUGACAAUGAGUUGCAAGUUAAACGGGAGCAAUGUCAAAAGAAUUCUGAUUCAGAGUUUCAAAUGGGGUCUGAUGAUUUCUUGUUGUUUAAAAAUAGAAUAUGUAUUCUGAAGAACUCAGAACUGGUACAAAAGAUUUUGUAUAAAGCUCAUAAUGGUACAAUGUCAGUUUAUCCCGGUAGUAAUAAAAUGUAUAAUGAUUUGAAAAAGAUGUAUUGGUGGCCGAAAAUAAAAAGAGAUAUUUCUAUAUUCGUAGCCAAAUGUUUAAUAUGUCAACAAGUGAAAGCUGAGCAUCAGAUGCCUUCAGAGUUAUUACAGCCAAUCAAUAUAUCGGAGUGGAAAUAGGAAAGGAUUACCAUGGACUUUGUAAUGGGAUUGCCUAUGUCACCAAGAAAGAAAGAUGCCAUUUGGGUAGUUGUUGACCGGUUAACAAAGUCGGCACAUUUCAUACCGGUAUGUAUAGAAUUUUCAUUGGAUAAAUUAGCCGAAUUGUAUGUCUCUAAAAUUGUUAGAUUGCAUGGUGUACCAGUUUUUAUUAUUUUUUAUAGAGAUCCUCGAUUUACAUCUCGAUUUUGGCAUAAGUUACAAGAAGCAUUGGGCAUCAGUUGUAUUUUAGUACUGCAUUCCACCCUCAAACUGAUGGUCAAUCAGAACGGGUGAUCCAGAUUUUAAAAGACAUGUUACGGUGUUGUGUGCUUGAAUUUGAAGGUAACUGGGAAAGGUACUUGCCUCUGAUUGAAUUUGCUUAUAAUAAUAGCUACCAAUCUAGUAUUAAAAUGGCACCGUAUGAAGCUUUAUAUGGUCGGAAAUGUAAAACACCAUUGUACUGGUCAGAGCUCAGUGAAAGGAAGAUUCAUGGGGUUUAUCUAAUUCGAGAAACUAAGGAAAAAGUAAAGGUGAUACAAGACAGCUUGAAAGCAGCUUCAGACAGACAAAAGUCUUAUGCUGAUCUUAAAAGAAAAGAAAUUGAGUUUGAGAUUGGUUAUAAGGUAUUCUUGAAAGUGUCACCCUGGAAGAAAGUUCUCCGGUUUGGCCGUAAAGGAAAAUUAAGUCCUCGGUUUAUUGGACCAUAUGAGGUCAUUGAAAGAAUUGGAUUGGUAGCUUAUCGGUUAGCAUUACUGUCAGAACUUGAAAGAAUUCACAAUGUUUUUCAUGUGUCAAUGUUAAGACAGUAUCCAUCGGAUCCAUCACAUGUUAUCUCUCCAACAGAAGUGGAAAUUUAGCCCGACAUGACAUAUAGUGAGGAACCAGUUAAGAUCUUAGCACGAGAAACAAAAGAGUUGAGUUGAGAAAUAAAAAGAUAGAAUUGGUAAAUGUUCUUUGGUAGAAACAUGGAAUUGAAGAAGCUACCUAGGAACCUGAAUAUAUCAUGAAAAGGCAGUACUCGAAUCUUUUCACUGGUAAGAUUUUCGAGGAUGAAAAUCCUUAAGGGGGGAGAGUUGUAACAGCCCAAUUUCAGUGAAAUUGGAAUAGUGGUUUCGGGACCACAGAUUCGAGUCCGAAAAAUGAAAUUAUUUAAAUUUCAUAAAAUGAUAAGUAUUAUGAUAGGAAUAUUGCAUGAAAAUUUUUAUAGAAAAAUUUUAUCAAUUAUGUGUCUAAUUGUAAAAAGGACUAAAUUGAAUAAAAUGUCAAAGUUGAAUUCUAGUAGUUAUAAGGAUUAAAUAGCUAUAGAAUUAAAAGUGAGAAGUCCUUAUAUAGAAAUUAGACCAUUGAUGAAAAAUAUGUAGAUAUUUUUAAUGAGUCAUCCAUGGAAAAAUUGAAAAAGGUUAAGGAUUAAAUUGGAAAUUGAAUAAAAUAAAAUAUGAUAAAUGAUUAAAUAGAAUUAAAAUUCAUUUUAUAUCAUCUUCUUCUUCAUAAAAUACAUGAAAAACCUAAGAGAGAGAAAGGAAACUUUUCAAGCUUGAAUCGGUAAGUUCUAUGUCCCGUUUUUAGUAAUUUUUAUAUUUUUGAGAUCGGGAAAGCUUAAUUUCUUUAUUUGAGUGAUUAAAUUAAAAGAAAACCAAAGUUUAAAAAAAUUAAACUUGGAUGAAUAUUCUGUAAAUUGAAAGUUUUUGAUAGAAAAUGAAAGAUUAUUGAUAGAUAAACCACUUUUACAAAGUGAUUUUUAGUGAAAACAUGUGUAGGGACUAAAUUGCAAAGUAGUGAAAUUCUUGAAAAAAUUCUGAAAUUUAUGCAAUACAUAUGUUAUAAAAGUUAUACUAGAAUUUUGAAUAAGCUUGGAAUAAAGAGUAAAUUGCAUGAAUAUCAAUUUCCGAGCCUAGAGACGAAAUUGAAAUUAAUUAAAAGUUUAGGGGCAAAAUGGUACUUUUGAGUAAAAUAUGAAAUGGGCUUGAUUGAAUGUAAAAAUCAUAGAAUUGAUGAUUAAAUUUAUUUAUAUAGAUCUGGAAGUGUCGAACAAAGAAAAAAAUCGAGGGAAAGAAAAAGUCUCAAACUAGUAAAUACGAUCAAUUGUCAAGGUAAGUUCGUAUAACUAAGUUAAGCAUGUAGAUGUGUUGAAUUGAUUGUUGAAAUAUGUACAUCAUGAUUUGUAAUUGGUAUGUACAAGUAAUAAACCAAUAAUGAUUUGUGAUUUACAUGUAAAUGAUGAAAUAUUACAAGAAUCCGUUUGAAUAUUGAUUUCCGAUUGGACAGGUGAUUACCGUGUAUAUGAGAUCCUGCAUAUGUUGCAGUAAAGGUUGUUCUGAAAGGAUAAUUUUUGAUCUCAUUAUGAAAAGGAAAUGUAUCCCGAAAGGGUGAUACUUGAAAAAGACUUAUGUACCCAAGUGGUACAACUUGAAAAAGGUUAUGUACACUUUGUGUGUACACUUGGUAAGGUUAGGUAUAUUUUGUGUAUACCAUAUGAAAAGGAAAGGUAUACUUUGUGCGUACCACUUGAAAAGGAAUGUACACCUCAAGUGUACAACUGGAAAAGGAAAGGUCCAUCGGAAAUUCAAUAAUUCAGUGGUAACGACAUACAUAGAUAUAGAAAGAGAAAUGGUAUGAUGAGCUCAUCUAUGCAUUUUAGUGUUUUUGAAAACUAAUCAAUUGGUUGAAUGAUUGUGUAUAGGCCUUAUUUGCUAAUUGAAUAAGUUAAUGGAUAUAUUACUUAAUGUGUAAAUUACUUGAUGAACAUGAAUGGUAAGUGUAUUUUGGUUAUAUGAACUUACUAAGCAUUAAUGCUUACUAGGUUUAUUUUUCCGAUUUUAUAGUGCUCAAAGCUCGUGAAGGUUGGAUUUCGGGCUAGAGUUAUCAUCACACUAUCUAUCCCUUGAUUUUGGUAAAAAUAUUAGACUUAUUUUGAUAUAAUGGCAUGUAUAGACUAAUGUAGACAAGUAAUACGUAGAAAUGAUGGUUUGUAAUAUAGCCAUUGGAAUGGCUAGUAAUGUAUGUCUUAAUGAUGAUAUGGUAUGGUAUUGUAUCAUGAGUUGCUUUUGGUUAAUCAAGUUAAUUAAAACCAUCCAUGAACACAAAUUGUCAAAUUUUAUGUAAAAGUAAGUUUAGAAGUAUGAUUGAAAACAGGAACAUAUCAGUUUGAAUAUUGGAGAUUGGUUGAAAUGGAUGGUAUAUACUUGUAAGUUCUCAUGCAGGGAAUUGAUUAAGUUUGGGUGAGAAAUAGGGCUAGGAAAUGGCCUUAUUUCAUCUACACGGGUAAGACACACGGGCGUGCGUGACAUAAGGUAAGCCUACUGGCGUGUGAAAUGACCGUGUGUCCCCUGUAUUCUUAAAUUUGAAGUCAGGAUAGUACACGGGCAAAAGACAUGGCUGUGUGUCUUGGUCGUAUGAAGGACACGGGUUUCAAGCAUGGUCGUGUGUCAAAAUCAUGUGAAAAUGGCUUAAAAUGGUGAAAAAUCAGUGUACCACACGACCUAGCCACAUGGGCGUGUGCCCAGGCGGUGUGACCCUUUGAUACUUAAGAAAUUGUAAGUCAAAAUUCCACACGGGCUGGCUACACGGCCAUGGGAUCCCCACGGGCUGGUCGCACAGCCAUGUCCCAAGCCACACAGGCAUGUGCCUCUAUCUUCAAGGAUAAAUUUCCAAAGUUGCUAGUUUAGUCCCGAACCACUUCCAAAGCAUGUAUUGGCCCCCGUAGGCCCAUAUUAGGGACUUUUUGAUGAAAUUUGAAAAGUUUUGAUUUAGAAUACAAAUUUAUGACUAGGUUUUGUACAAAUGCUAAUGUAUAAGUUCAGAAAUGCCUCGUAACCCUAUUUCGGUGACGAAUACGGGUUAGGGGUGUUACACAAUUGAUUAUGGACGGUGUGAGAACUGUUACCUAUGUUAAGUCAAUUGAAAAUUUAGCGGAUCCAUUGACAAAAAGUUUGUCAAGGGAUUUGGUUAAGAGUACCACCACUAAGAUGGGAUUGAAACCAUUCUAAUCGCAUCAUUGAUAAUUGAAACCUUACCUUGUUCUAGCCAAAAGUUAGUUUCGAGGUUCAAAAUGUAAUAACAAGUUAUCAAAUGACAACAUGUACUAAGAAUAAGGAUUUUGUGUUUAUGUUUCAGGAGGAUGAGUUUUACUGUUAAUGGAUGGACAUUAAUUGUCAUGAAAUCCACCUAUAUGAACAUAAAGCAGUGCUGCUUCAAUGAGAUUUUCUUUAUAGUUUUCUCUUGUACAUGUUCAUGAAACAGGACGAGCACAUAGUCAUAAUCGUGCUAAAGAAAAUAAACUCAUACUCUAAAACAUUAUGGUUAUGUGUGAAAUUUUUUCGGUAUUGACUUUAAGAGUGAUGGUUCAAGCGACUAGCCACCAUUCACUUUGUUGAUACUUUGAGAGUUUGCACUAAAGGAAGGUUUAAUCUGCGGACACUCUUCUUUAUGCAUAAUCGUUGUGUACUUAUUUUUUGAAAUUAGCAAUCUAGUGGGGGCUUGUUGGAAAUUGUAGAUUGCAAAUUAAUUAUUCAUGAGCACUAUUCAAAUUAAAAGUGAUGAUUUAUCAUCCAAUGGAUACAUUUCCAUAGGACAUGUUUCUUCUAAGAAGUAUGUUCAAUAUGAAGGGUUGUGGCUAUUCAAGAUAGUAUCCAUUAAGUGCAUAUAAAUAGAGGGACUAUGGUGCUCACAAAGUACAUUACAAUCAAUCCAAUUUCAGAAAAUAGAGUAAGAGUUAGGAAAUUCCUCAAUUUUGCCAAUCGAAGGAAAUUCAAAAGCUUCAUUGAAUCUUGAGAGUACCUUUGUCUUAACCCUCUAGCAACUUUGUGUGGGGGCAAAUAGUUCUCUUUAGAAAGCAUCAUUCACACCUCAAUGUCUAUUGUUUAAUUCCAUAUAGUCUCCGGAUCUAUCGUCUCCACAUUUGAGAAUGUAAACUUUUUUUUUUAGUUUAGCUUAUGCAAUCUUUAACAUUUUGAUGAUGAAAUUUAUAAUUUUUUUUUGUGAAUUAUAAGAGGAGAGCAAAGCGCUAACAGUAUCGCGAUUAGAACCCAAGCCACACUAGGGACGAUGAAUAUCCUAAUCAUUAGGCUAAUACCCAAGGUUUAUUAUAAUCUACUAUAUUGUUAUGAAUUGUUAAUUAUUAUGUUAUACAAUAUUUACUACAAUAACAUUAUUAUAUCAUUACGAUAUUAUAUAUUAAAUAUUUACUAAAUAUUUAAAUAAUUUAAAGAGUUUAUAAUUAUUUAACAUGUUAGACUAAAAUUUAAAUUAACAGGUAAGUUGAGAUAAUUUAAAAACUUAAAUGUAUAAAUAAUUAUAAUACCAUACCAAAAAUUUAAUAAUUUUAAAUAUGAAAUUUAUUUUUGAUUAAUAACUUAUGAAAUUGACAAUUAUGUUGUAAAUAAUUUAAUAUUAUCUUAUAAUAUAUUUUUAUUAAUAAUUUUAAUUUAAUGAAGAUUUUUAAUCUAAAAAGCCUUCUUUAUUCUAUUGAGUUAUUAUAAAUUCAAAUUUAUUAAUUGAUAUAGAUGAAUAUAUUCUUAAAAUUGUACAAUUUUUUUUAUCUUUUAUAUGGAUUUUUUUUCAUAUUGGAGUAGAGGAUGAGGGUCACACGGUUUGUGUUGAGAUAUUUUUAUAUUUGGUAAAUAAAUCAUUCCUAAAAAUUAGGGAUUAUCAAAUAUGGUUAAUGAUCUUUUUCGUAUUUAGUUUUUCUAUUUUUAGCUUUAAGUUUACUAAUUUAGUUAUUGUAAAGCCUAUAAAAGGUUAGAACCGUUUGGAGUUAUUCAUCUACUUAAUAAAAAUCAUUCUUCUUUCAUUUGAGUUAAGAACUCGUUUUUCUUUAUCUAGUUGUAAGUGCAACAAUGGUAUCUGAGCCAUGUUUGUUCUUCUUAGCCUAGAAAAGGUUUCAUUUAUGACCUCAGAAAGUAGUUUUAUUCAAGUAGCCAUUCUGACCGCCUCUAAACAUGCGAACAUUUAGAGUAAAAAUCAUACAAAUAAAAAUAUAUAAAAUCAGUAUGGUAUCUAUAAGUGAAUAAGUUAAAUUGUAAUAUAUUUUAGUGUUACAAUGGAACACUGGGAAGUUUUCUGAGGAUCGUACCCAAGGUAAGUUGAACUAAAUCUAAAUAUAUUAUCUACACUAGUAAGUCUAAAUAGUAAUCACCAAAAAUCAUAUUACGAUAAUUAAAAUUGAGGAUAAAAUUAUAAAAAAAAAACAUAAAAAAACUAACUACUGAAGACAAUGUUAACAAUGAGGAUUUCUCAAUCAACAAACAAAAGAUUAACUCACUUCGGUGGUUGUAAUUAACUUCAAAAUUCGAGUUUUCAUUAGGGAAUUAGUUAUUAAUUAAACAAUAUUACCUCACAGCCUUUACUACUUCACUAAUCGAUCAGUAAACGCUUAUCUCUCGACCUCACUUUCCUUACCAAGAUAAAUCCAUGAUUUACUCAAUAAACUUAUCUCUCGACCUCGUUUAUCCUAGAUUACUUCCUAGGGUCGUCAAUCCUAGGGUUUAAACGCACAUGAAUUUAUACCAACUAAUUCUAUUGGAAAACCCUUAAUUCUUUCGUUAAUCAUUCACACAUUCGCUUGUUAAUCUCCCUAAGGAUCUAUCCACUCAUGAACACAACUUCCAUAUUCUCUAAAAUUAAUUUAAUCAUGCACAACACACAUAAAUAAAUUAAAACAAGAUAAGGAUAAAAAUUACUCCAUUUGAUAAACUUGAUACGCUCGGAAUCGCGAAAUCCUUUAGCAGUGAUUGAGAUAUCGUCGAUUGCAAACAAGAAACAGAACGAAAAUAUGAAAAUGCCUAAAAACGAAGACUUGGAUUCGAAUCCAAGUCGAACAACAAUAAAAUAAAUUGUCUUCGAAAAUAAUCUAAAAUUAAUUAAAAUACUAAAACUAUUAACUAAAACCCUAAAAUGGCUUGGCAAAAAGCUCCCUAAGCCUUAGCUCAACUAACUAUUUAUAGACUAAGUUUGAUAGUCAUAAUUAGGUUAGAUACAAGCCUUAAUUACAUAAAAUAUAAGUUUUGCGGACGAAAACACGCUCGCUUAAUUUUUGCCCAUCAUCGCACAUGUGUCGUGACACAGCCUUAUGCGUGUCGUGACACAGCCUUAUGCGUGUCGCGACACACAACUUCAAAUGCAAUAUUUUUAUUGGCUUGAUUGUGUUGCGGCUCUGAAAGCUUGUGUUAAAACCCGACUAUCGUUCCUAAUGCUUUUGGGCCUCCAAAAGAUAUCCUACACACUCAAUUAAAUCAUUAAAACCACCUUAAGUCAAUAUUGGCCCAAUGGGUCAACUAACUCGAACUAAUGCAUAAAAACGCUUAUUUUGCAAUAUUUUGAAUCUAAAUUAAGAAAUGUGAAAAUGCAAUAAAAUAUAUUAAAAUGACUAAAAAACAAGCUCGCUAAGUGCCAAGAAUUACUUAAUUUGUCACUACGAUUUAUGGCAGAUCAGAUACCCCCACACUUAAGUAAUUGCUUGUCCUAAAGCAAACAAAAAAGAAAAAUAAAAACUAAAGAACAAAAAGAAAAAUGCAAAGAUAACGUACUCGAGAAUGUUUCGUACAAGAGACUGAAUCGGAACGAUGUAAACAUGUUAUGCAUAAUCAUGUAAUUCUAGCGUGAUAUAUAAUUAACUCCCGAUUUUUAAUGUUAGACAAAUUAAUUCAUUAAGUUAUAAGACAAACAAAUUAAAGAAUGUUAAGUAUAGUAUCCCAUCAAAACAGAUACACAAAUAUACAUUUAUGUUAAUAUCACCCUAAAUGGAAAAAAAUUUCAAAACUCCAUCUAUGCAGUGUAUACUUAGACCAUAUAGGAAUUUCGGCUUGUAAAGGUUUUGUGGCUUAGGUUGAUUCGAUUUUCAAGGAUAGGCACAAAAAAACAGUUUAAACACAAAAAUAGUUUGACAUAUGAUGUUGUUCUCAAUACUCCCCCAAUGUCUCGAUUAAGCUCACCGCCUUAUAUCUACUUCCCUCACAUUAUUUUUCUCUUCAUUUCCGAAGGUACAAUAUAAUAUUCAUAAGUACAAUCAUAUAUAUAUAUUAUAUGUGUGUGUGCUUGUGUGAAAUAUUUAAAAACAUCAAUAAACGUGAAAUGGUACAUUGAAACUUGCCAAUACCAUAUGUAUCAAUAUCAAGACACAAAUAAUACAUCCACUGAUGCGUAUUGACUACAUUAAUUUUAUUAUGAGAGCUGAUGUUUUGGAUUGGAUGGGGAUGAUUUUGCUUUUUCUAGUGUUCUAUUUUGUUUUGAGUUUUUGGUGUAAAUGUUUUAUCCCUCUAUUAUCUCUAAUCAGGGGCAAACCGUUAUAAGGGUUUAGGACCCCAAAAUUUUGGAAAAUAUUGAUUUUUUUUCCUUGAACUUUUAGAAAAUUUUAAUUAGGCUUCCCCAUAAUUUUUGAAAUUUUUUAUUUUUUCUUAAAGUUUUUAGGAAAUUUUAAUUGGAUCCCUCAAAAUUUUGAAAAAUCUCAUUAAUCUAAAAAAAAUAAAAUUUUUACUUGAUCCCUCCAAAACUUAAUCUCAAAAUUUGCCAUCGUCUCUAAUAUAACAAAACUUCCAUGUUGAGAAAAAAAAAUUAAUUUAGAGUCCGCUUGUUUACAUGUAAAAUGUUUUAUAGAAAAUGUUUUCUGCAUUUCCCUGUGUUUGUUUCACAAAAUUAGUUGGUCAACGGAAAUGACUUACAGGUCAAGGUAAAAUAGCCUUUCCCUGUAAAAUGACAUAUACUUUGAAAAGGUAAGUCAUUUUCUGGAAAAGAGCAUCUAUAGAUAAUUUUAUUUAUAAAAAUUAUUAAACAUACAUAUUUAAUUAUUUAUAUUUAGUCAUAUAAUAAAUUAUUAAUAUAAUUAACAUAAUUUAUUAUUUUAAUAAAUAUUUAAUAUUUCAAUUUUAUUUUAAUAAUAAAUUUUAAAAAUAAUAAUUUUAAAUAAUAUUAUUCACAUAUUAUUGAAAAUAUUCAAUAUUAAUAUUUUAAUAAUAAAUAUUUAUUACAAUUAUAAAUAUAUUAAUAAUAAAUAUUUUGUAGUAUAAAGGUUAAAAUAUGUCAUAAGUCUAUGUACACUUCAUAGAUUUGUAAUUUAGUCUUUGUACUUUUAUUUUCAAGAAUUUGGUCCCUUUACUUUUCAAAUUUGAAAAUCAAGUCCAAUUGUUGACAUCGUUAAUUUUUUUUUCUAUUUUGUUGAUGUCAUAUUUUUAAAUAAAAAAUACUCACUUAGUAGUCAUGUAAUUAAAAAAUGACGUUGUAAUGAAUCUAAAUUUAACAUAAUAUUUUUAAUAUAUGUAAAAACAAUGUAAAAUAUAAAGUCAUAGAUAAAAAUAAAUUCAAUUAAACAAUGAAAAUAAUAAGAAAAUCCCACAUGUAUGUUUGUUUAAUUGAAAACAGUUUAUAUGAAAUAUUUUUAAGAAAUCUAUUAAACAAAAGAAAAUAUUUUACACAGAUUCAUCCAAACACCAGAAAAUAUUAACUUUUCCAAAAAAAUAAAUUAUUUUCCAAAAAUCAUUUUUUUAAAGUCAGUUUUAGUGAAACAAACGGAGCCUUAAUCUUUUUAUUUUGAAACUUAAUAUAAUUGAAAACUAUCAAAAAAAAAUGUAAAAUCUAAUAAUACAAUUCCAUAGAUAUAAUUAGAGCAGCAAAAUUUAUUUUAAAAAAAAAAGGGACUGUUUAGUUAUAAAAAAUAACUGUAGGAGUAAAUUACACUCUUAAUUAUAAUACAAGACUGUUUAGAUGUAUCUGAAAAGAUAAGAAAAAAUCCCUAAAUUUAAGUGGUUGUUGCAAUAAACCAAUAAAAUCCCAUAAAUUUAAUUGUAUUUAUAACCAAAACCAAUGGCUUUAAUGUGAAGGAUUUUAAACUGUCCUAACAAAAUGCAUGCACAAAUCUAACCAGUAAUAAACUUUCUUCUUAAUCUCCUUCAAUUUCCAAAUAAAUCAAAUGGUCUCCAGUUUUUUUUUCUCCUUUUCCUUUUUUCUUUUCUAGGGUUUUAAACUUUCUUCCUAGCCAAACGCUUUUUUUUCCUUUCUUCCCAUGGGAUGUUUAUGAUCUAAAACCCCCCAAUUGCAAUUGUUGUUAUUGCCAUCUCAUGGGAAGCUGCAUAUCAACACAAGCGAAACUAAUAAAUUCAAUAUCGAAGAGAUAUUAUGAUAGAUCCGGUACCAAAGGGAAAUCCAAGCAUGCACGUUUCGAUCACAGCGAGUCGCGUAAAUCAGUGAGCAAAUGCGUGAGCAGUACCCGUAAGGUAUUGAAAAAUCCGUCGGGGAAGAAUAUCUUCGACCUUUACGAGAUCGGAAAGAAGUUGGGGAUAGGCGAAUUCGGGGUCACGCACCAAUGUUUCGAUUUAGAAACCGGGGAAGCUUUCGCGUGCAAGAAGAUAGCGAAGGCGAAGCUGAGGACGGAGGUGGACUUGGAAGAUGUAAGAAGGGAGGUGGAGAUUAUGAGACAUUUGCCGAAGCAUCCGAAUAUUGUCACCUUUAGGGAAGCCUUUGAGGAUAAAGAAGCUAUUUAUCUUGUUAUGGAGCUUUGCCGUGGAGGUGAACUUUUCGAUAGAAUCCUCGCUAAAGGUCAUUAUUCGGAACGAGCUGCUGCUACCAUCAUUAAAACUAUCUUGGAGAUUGUCAAGGUAAUUAACUAUAAACAUUUUCUCCUAUUUUUGGUUUCAUAAUCAUAUUUAAAUUUUAUAUAUUUAAACUAUAACUCCUUUUAAGUUUUAACAAAUCAUUUAUAUUAGAAGUUAGAUUGCAUAUUCAUGCAAAUUAAUCUUUAUACUUUAUGGUGAUAUAUAAGGAUUAAUUUUUAAUAGCAAAAAUAAGAAAAAUAGAUGAAAUUUUUAAUAGAAGAACCAGUUUACUCUUUGAUCAAAAGUGAAGAACUAAUUUUUUUUUGAGUAGAUGAAGUAAAAUACAAUUUAACUCCUAAUACAAAAUCCUCCACGAUACUUUUUACCUCUAAGUUUUAUUGCACUAUGCAAAUUUCAUAGUUUUUCUUUUAAAGUAGAUUUUUUUUUGAUUAAAUAGGAAAUGCAUGAAAUAAAUUGAUGCAGGUGUGCCAUGAGCAUGGAGUGAUACAUAGGGAUUUAAAACCUGAGAAUUUCUUAUUCGCAGACGAAAGUGAAAGUGCCCCAAUUAAAGCCAUUGAUUUUGGGCUCUCCAUAUUCUAUGAAUCUGGUAAUUAAGCUUUUGCAUAUACAUACAUGAAUUCAUAUACAUAAAAAUGUGAGAAUGGGGGUGCAGGUCAGCGUUUCAGUGACAUAGUAGGAAGUCCAUUCUACAUGGCACCAGAGGUUUUAAAAAGAAACUAUGGAGAGGAAGUUGAUGUUUGGAGUAUUGGUGUUAUUCUUUAUAUCUUGCUCUGUGGAGUUCCUCCUUUCUGGGCUGGUAUUUUCUUUUCUUUUUUAUUGGAUCGGUUAAAUAAAAAAAAUUAAAUAUUUAAUUUAAAGUUGCAUAAAAAAACGAAUUUUAACCCAUUCAGUUUAAAUAGAUUUGACAGAUGAAAAUUUAAUAAAGAAAUCUAAUAAAAAACUAUAUAAUAUAUAUUUGUAACUUAUAACAUUUGAGUUUAUCUUUUUAAAAUAGUAUUAAAAAUAUCAUUAUUAUUGUAAUAAUGAAGUGGGUUUAGAUUAAAUACGUUUAAUUUUCUUUUUUUUUUCCUUUUAUUUAAAGAUACAGGAGGAUUAUAGGCCACUAUUUUUUUAACUAAUAUUUAUAUUUUAUAUUAAUUUAUAUCCAUAUCAAACUACAAUUUAUUUUCUGUGUCAUUGUGUCUACAAUAUUUUAUAUUAUAUAUAAAAAUUUUAAUAAGCUAAUUGUUUAUAUCACGGUAAAGAAUUUUUUUUUAAGAUUUAGUUAUAAUUUUAAAAAAAAUAUUAAUUUAAUACCUUCAAUUUUGAAGAUAAUAUCAUAAAAUCCCUUAAGAAUUGAGAUGUAUUUAUUAGGUAAAUUUUAUAUAGAAAGAUAAUUUUAGCAUUAUUGUUUACUAUUUAUUUUAUUAUAUAUUUUUUAUUUUUAUCACAAAAUAAUGAAAAUUUAAUUACUUUAAAAUUAUACUGAAGUAUUAUAAAUUAAAUUCUAAUUAAAUUAUAUUUGAAUUUGAGUAAAAUUAAAUAAUUUAAAUUCAUAUUUAAUCCAAUUAUAUAUCAACCUGAAAGAUGAAUUCAUUAUGUUAUUUUUCUUUUAAAUUAUGUAAUUUUUAUUUAAAAGGUUUAAUGGAAAAAAAAUGAAUUCACCUCAUGUUAAUAUACAUAAUUGAAUUAAAAUUAAAAAUUUAAAAAUAUAUUUUCAUAAAAAUAUUAAAAAAGUAAAAAAUAAAGACAGAAAAUCUAAUGACAAAAUUUAAAAAACAAACUUACAAAUAUUAAUUGAGAAACACUUAUAUUAGAAUAUGACGUAAUUUUUAGUUUAAUGUAAUAAUAAUUAAAAUAAAUUUAUAAGUAAUUAUAUUAUUAAUAUUUUUAACAAAAAAAUAUUAAAUAAAAAUAAUGGAAUAUAAAAAAUAAAAAAGUAAUUAAUAAAAGGCAAGUAUAUUUUUUUAUUAAACUUGGAGGGUUUUAAAUUUGGGUUUAUACUAAAUACAGUGCAAGUGAAAAUUUUUAUAUUAUAUAAACUUUUAAGACAACACAUUAGAUUCGAUUAGGGUACCAGUAUGGAUGUUAAUUUAUUUGAUAUGAGAUGGGGUUGUAAGAGUGAAAAUUGGAAUGGGGUAGUGCAGAAACAGAGGAAGGGAUAGCCCAUGCAAUAAUAAAAGGGGAGAUAGAUUUCAAAAGGGAUCCAUGGCCAAAGGUGUCAGGUGAAGCCAUGGAGCUGGUAAAGAGCAUGCUUCGUCCCAAUCCGUACAAUCGUAUGACCAUUCAAGAGAUCCUUGGUAUGUUCUCUGUAUCACAUUAUCAUGCCGUUUGCUUUUAGUAAUUACAUAACUGAUGAACUUAAUUUGAAAUGAAGAACAUCCAUGGAUUCAAAACCCCAAGCAUUGUCCCAACGUUAAUCUGGGGGAGAACGUAAGAUCAAGGAUUAAGCAGUUCUCGUUGAUGAGCAAGUUCAAGAAGAAAGUUUUGAGGGUAUGUAUUAACCAAGUCUAGCCUGCUUUUUCUGUUUUUUUUAUUAUGUUUAGUGAGAAAGAGAGAUGAGGGGUUUAUGUUAUGUUGGAUUAAUUACAGGUAGUAGCAGACAACUUGUCAGAAGAUCAAACCGACUCCAUAAUCCAGAUGUUCAAUAUGAUGGAUACUGAUGAAAAUGGGCAUUUGUCCUUCGAGGAACUCAGAGAUGGCCUUGCCAAAAUUGGCCAUUCUAUUGAUGAUCCUGAUGUCCAGAUGUUACUCGAGUCCGUAAGUUCCUACCUUUUUCUUUCUUUUAUUCCUUCAAGUUUGAUGCCUUCCUUUCCAAGUGCUCAUUUAGCCAAGGACUUUUCUUCAUUAAAAGCAAUUUCUGUUCAAACAUGGUCACAUCCAACUGUUUGUUAUUAGUUUCAAGGUAGCACAAAACUGUUAAAUUAAUGUCAUUAAUUUGUUUUUAGAUUUGGAGGUAAAUUUUAAAAUUAUACAUAAACUUUGAUUUAAUUUAUAAUUGUAUAUAUGAAUUUUAAUUUUGUAUAAUUAUAUACAUGAAACUCUAAUUAUGAUUCAAAUAUAUACCUAAAACUUUAAUUUUGAUUUAAUCAUACACAAUUAAAGAAUAAAUACAUCAAUUUAUUUUUAUAUUGGAUAAAUAUAAUUAUUUAUGUAUUCAAUAUAUAAACAUAAGAUGAUGUUAUAUCAAUAAUUGUGUUAAUAUUUACAAGAAUUGAAUUAAAUCAAAAUUUCAUGUAUACAGUUGCACAAAAUCAAAGUUCAUGUAUACAAUUGUAUAUUAAAUCAUAAUUCAUGUAUAAUUUUGAGAUUUAUCCCUUAAAUUUAAAAAUAAAAUAUUUUAGACCCCAAUCCUAAACCUUAAACUUAAAUUCUUAAACCUUAAAUAACAAUACUAAAUAUUAAGUAUUAAACCCUAUACCUUGAAUAUUAAUAUUAAACUUUAAUGCUACCUAGAUUUGGUAUAGGACGACUUAGUGUUCCUUCAUUCAGUCUCAUCUAAUAAAAAAGGCUUCUUUUUUUAUUGGAUGGAAUAUCGACCUUAUUUCUAAGACAACGAAGAAUUCUCCAAUUUUAAAAAAAUUUCUGUGCAAAAAAUCCCCACUAGAUAAUUAUGUAUAGGGAUAUCCCUCAAUCAAAUAAUUCUUUUUUGGUUAAGAGUGUUAUUUUUUUUCGCAUGUUUUAAGUAUAUGAGUUAGCAAGAAAUUAAUUUAAUUAAUAUUAUUUAACCACUCUUAUGACUAACUUUUAAUAAAAAGAAGAAAUCUAAUUUUUUACAAGAAUUUUUACUCAUCUUUUUAAUUUCAUGUUUAAAUUUAUAUUAAUUAUUCUUCAUUUUAUGUCUAACUAUUGUAAUACAUAUAUAAUAAACAAAAUUUUUGAGUAUAUUAUUACAUUAAUAAGCAAACUAGACAUAAAUAUCAAAUACUAAAUAGCAGUAGUAAAUAUUAAAAUUUAAAUCUUUCAAAAGAAAAAAGAAAAAUUAAUGGCAGCAUACCGUUCCCUCGUAUUAUUACACCAUGUACCGUUUCUAUUAUGGUAUCAGUUCAUAGCAGUCGUGUUGCUCUGUACGCUAAUAUCAACUUGUACCCAUUCCAAAACAUUAUAAAUACCAUAACAAAAACGAUAUCUUUAAACUUUGCUUUCAUGUCUGAAACCUGUUUCUAUGCUUUCCUCUCCCAAAGGCUGACGUUGAUGGAAGUGGAACACUAAGCUACGAGGAGUUCAUAACAAUGGCGGUUCAUCUCAAAAGGAUCAGCAACGACCAACUCUCUCAAGCUUUCCAGUACUUUGACAAGAACCAAUCCGGUUACAUCGAAGUCGAAGAACUUAAAGAAGCUCUACUACAAGACGACCCUGGUCCCAACAAUGAAAAAUUAAUCAAAGACAUCAUGCUUGAUGUAGACGAAGAUAAGGUUUUUGAUCUUAUGUUUCAUGAUGUUGUAAGAUUCAUAAACUGUUUGUUUAACUAAUAAACAGCCCAUAAUAAUAACAUUCUUGUUUGCGUUCAAUUUGAUGCCUUUUUGUAGGAUGACCGAAUCAGUUAUCAAGAAUUUAAGGCAAUGAUGUUAUCAGGCAUGGAUUGGAAAAUGGAUUCUCGACAGUAUUCUAGAGUAUUGCUAAAUGCCGUGAGCAUCAAAAUAUUAAGAAAAUCUGGUCAACUAAAAUGAUAAAAAUUUUCAGGCUCCGGGUAAAACUCUGAUUUACGCAUGAUUACAAUUGAAAGAAAUGACGGUUGACUUUUGUAUCAACUGAUACAGACUUUUGGAGAGCCACACUCAAAAGCUAAUUGUUGAAGUUGAAAAAUAUAGAUCUAUAUAAACCUCCACUAAAAAAUCUCAUACUUCCUUAACCGGGAUUCAAAUCUUGUACUUUGUAAUUGACAAAUUACAAUCCAUUUUUGAUACAUAAAAGUUAAAAUAAUGUUAAUUUGUACGAAGACCAGGAAACUGCAAAUUGAUUUGUUUAAUCCAAUGUAUUGAUAGAAUGUAUUACAUUUUAAAAAAAAAGAAAAAUGAUAAAAGAAAAGUAGUAAUUCAUUAGAAGAAAAAAAGAAGAAGAUAAAAUCAAUUCUUAAAAUAUUACUCAAAAGUUUUUGGUAAAAAGGCAACUUAAUCCCUCAAAAAAAUAAUAAUUUAAUACAUGUUAAUUUUAAUUUUUUUAAUGAUAUACUUAUUUAUUAUUAUUUAAAUAAAAUUUUACAUAAAUUCAACUGAUUAUUUUUAAUAAGUAUUUUAAAUGAUAUUUAACAUAAAUUUUUUAAUAAUUCCAUAUGUUUGUAUAAAUAUUUUAGGUAUAGUGUUAAAUUUAGCCUUUAAUAUUUAUAUCUUUUGUCAAUUUAAUUCUUAUUCUUUUACUUUCAACCUUUUAAAAAGAAAUAAAUUUAAUUAUUAAUCUUUCAAAAAUAAUUGAAUUAUUAUUAUUUUAAUAAAAAUACUACUAAAAUAUUAAAAUUUUAAAUAUGACAGAAUAUAUGAUAAUUUACAUGUACUUUAUAUUAUUUUUUUGAAAUUUUAAAAAUGGACCUAGACGAAAUUACAACUUUUAAAAUAAAUAUAGACGAAACCAAAGCUUUGAAAAUACUUAGUGGGUAAAACCAAAGCUUUGAGAUGUAAUUACAAAAUAUUUUAAAUUUCACCACCCUACCAUUCCUAAGUAUAAAAUUUUCCAAAUAAAUUUUCAUUAUUACUGUUAGUUGAUACAAAGUUUAAUUAUACCGAUCAAAAUUUUAUUUAAUAAUACUUUAAACCUAUUUAGCUUAAUUAAUCACUAAAAUAUUGGCUCAUCCAUUCCCUGCAAGUUUGAAUAUUUUUUUUUUGUGAUGAACAAGAAAAUAAAAUUACAUCAAAAUAAAUUGAGCUAAAGCAUCAUUAGAUUUGUCUUGUUGAAUAAACUCUAAAACUUCGUCAGGAGCGCCAUUGAAGAUUUGAAGAUCUGUCUUUCCCACUAAACUUAUCUUAGCCAAACAAUGAAUAACAUGAUUAAGAUCUCUAGAUACAUGUCUAAUGUACCACUACCUUUUAGUUCUCAAAAUUCUUCAAAUCCUCCUAAGCAUUGUAAUACUAGAAUCUGUCAACCAACUUUCUUUUAAUGCUCAAACCACCUCCAAAUUAUUAGAUUGGAUCAUGACCCUUCUGAAUCUUUUACUGAGCACCACUAAAAGACCAUUUAAAAUUCCCCAUAAUUCAGUCUAAAAAAUCGUGCAUCGCCUCAAGUAGGUAUUAAAACCCAAAAUCCAGUUCCCAUAUUGGUCCCGCAGAACACCUCCAAUAGAAGCACUACCAUCACCAAUAGCUACUGCCCUAUCAAUGAACAAGUGUGUCCACGUAUUCGCCGUGGAAGUCUAGAAACACAAAAAAAUAUAGACUUUUUCAGCACCUUUUGAGCCCGAAUUCAUGUAAUUUCGUAGUAAACUUGGUCGAAAUUCACACUUUAAUUAUAAAUAAUUAAUUUGUACUUAAAUUAUUAACAUAUUAAAUUUUAAUUAUUUUUAUAAUAAAUUUUCACAAAAUUAGUAUGGCCUAUCCAUGAACACCUUAACCCUGAACCAGUCUGGACUAUGAGGUCGAGAGAUAAGUAGUUCUUGCCAACUUAUUAUUCUAGUGGAAAACCAAAAGAUCCUGUUGAGAUAUCGACUAGUUUAUUGAACAAGAAAACCUGAAGUGACAGUUGAUUAUGAUUACUGAAGCAAGCUAAUCACCCAUGCUCAGAUUUGAUAAAUUUACUAUUUGAUUUCUCAUUAUUUCUUUAUUUCUUUUUCUUUUUCUUUUUCUUUUUAUUUUUAUUAAAAAUCCUAAAAACCUUCCUUUUUAUUUGAUCAUAAUAUAAUUCAUCUAAAGUACUAAUUAGAUCUAUUUAUGCUUAGAUUAGAAUUAAUUUAGUUCUCGCCUCCCUUGGGUACGACCCUUGGAGUACUCGUCUACUCCAUUGUAACUAUAUUACAACCUGACUCGUAUACUUGCGGAUACUACUUUUUCAUAUAUUUUGUGCACGAUUUUUACUCUAAAUGUUGGUACGUCCGAAAGCGGUCAUAUAGAUAAUGUCAAAAUAAUAAUAGAAAAAGAAAAUGAGAGAGAAGACAAGAUAAGAAAAAUGGAUGGGCUGCAAGCAAACUAAUUAGAUACCACCAAGAAGUUCUUUCUAUCAUGACCCAAAAGCUUUAUUUUAAACCCAAGCCUAAGAUAUGAGAAAGGUUUUUUUUUUAAUGAAAAGGCUAAUCCCCAUAACAUAGCAUAUAAUCUUAUGUUUUACCAAUGAAUCAAACAAUGAUAUAUUAUUAAAAAUUUUAAAAUUAAAUUUACCUAAAUUUAUAUUUAUUGAUAUGAAAAAGAACUUAAUUUAUCAGUUGUUUCAAUUCGAUGUCCUAAUUAAUGUUCCAACAUAGAUUGGAACAAUGCAGCUUGACAAAUAUAUUACAAAAAGAAGAUAAGACAAGUAGAGAAACGAAGACACGAUAUUUAUUAGUGCGGUUUGAAUUCACCAAUCCUACUUUGUACACGAUAUUUACUUUGUACAACCUUAUUUAACAGAUACUUAUAGCCUAGACAAAGUGCCCUAAUACAUUCACUUACCCCAAGUCCUCACUCACAAAUCACAAUAACUCUCCAAUAAAGUGCCUAAAAUAAAAGUGCAAAAAUAUUCACACACUUACCCCAAAUCCUCACUCACAAAUCACAAUAACUCUCCAAUAAAGUGCCUAAUAUAAAAGUGCAAAAAUAUUCACACAUUUAAGCGUGAAUGGAUAAGGAUAAAUUUUCUUUGAAUCAAUUAAUCUUUUUCGCUCUUUUCUUUGAAAUAAAAUCCACUAACAAAAUAAAAAAUGUCGAAAUCAUUUUUUUUGAAAAACGGGAAUCAACUUUGGUUUUGAAAAUGAAAACGAAUAUGAGAGUCGCCACCAAUGUUUUUUUAUUUAGGUGUGAUCGGAUCACCUCGUAAUUGAUUGUUUUAAAAUAUUUUGCUUUACUAAAACAAUAAUUUUGGUCUACGAAAAUCGAGAAGACAGGUUUGGGAGUCGGCUACGUACGAGGAAGGAUGAGCACCCUCGUAACGCCCAAAAUUGGUACCAAAUUGAUUAAUUAAUGUUUUAAUAUCAAAAAUUGAAAUUUUGAAAAGAUUUUAAAAUACGAUCCCUUGUUAUGAAUAUUUGGAUAACUCGAAGUGGAUAUUAAGAUUCUCUUGUUCUAAAGAAAUAAAAUAUCACAUCCAGCACGUAGGACACGACAUUUCAAGCCUUCGAUACCAAAAUCAUCUCAUGAUUUCCAAAACCCAUGCAUUGAAAUUUUAAAAAGAAUAUUCGAUUAUUCAGUCAAACGAUAAAUCGAAACCCAACACGUAGGGCACGAUUUCUCGAAAUUUCCAAACACAAAAUAUUUCCUUGUUUCAAAUUUUUACGAUCCUUUUUUAUGAAUAUUUGGAUAACUUGAAAUGGAUAUUAAUAUUCUUUUGUCUCGAAGAAAUAAAAUACCACAUCCAGCACGUAGGACAUAACAUUUCAAACCUUCGAUACCUAAAUCAUCUCGUGAUUUCCAAAACUCAUGCAUUGAAAUUUUAAAAGGUUAUUCGGUCAUUUGGGUCAAACGAAACAAAUCGAAACCCAGUACGUAGGGCACAAUCUUUCGAAUCUCCAAAAAAGGGAAUAUUGCCUUUAUUUGAAAUUUUAAAAGGUUGUUCGGUUAUUUGGGUCAAACGAAAAAAUCGAAACCCAGCACGUAAGGCACGAUCUUUCGAAUCCCCAAAAAACGAAAUAUUGCCUUUAUGUUUAAAAAUCUUUUAUAUGUAUCGGGUAAAAGCUGUGGUACGAUUUUAUUAUUUUAUGCGAAAUGGAAUUGUAACACUAGCAUGCAUACUAAAAAACGUAAUAAACGCAACAACAUGAAUAACCACAAUGAGUGCAAAAUGAUUGAUAAAAUAAAUAAAGAGGCAAUGAAAACCAUAUGUAAAUAAACAAAAUUAUUUAAUAAAACAAAGGGAGACUCGAAUGAUAACAAUAAAAAAAAGUAAAGAAAAUGCUGAAAAAUAUUAAAUAAAACAAACAAAUAAAAACGAUAGCAAGAAUAAUAAUGAUAAAAUAGGAGAUAAUAAUAAUAGCGCAUUAAUAAUAAUGUUACGUAGAUGAUAAUAACAAUAAUAAAACAAAAAAAAAUAGUACAUUAAUAAAGAUAAAAGUAAUAAUAAUAAUAAAGAUGAAAGAAAAUGGUGAUAUGAAAAUAGGUGAAAUGCAUAUACAUAAAGUUAAAUUUAAGUGUUUAAAAACAAAGAAUGAAAAAUAAAUAAAUUAGUAUAGGCAAAUAUAAAAUUAAGUAAAAAUGAACAUAAAAUAUUAAUAACAAUAAUAAUAGUAAAAAUAAUAAAAAUAAAUAAUAUAAAGUUUCAAGGUAUAAAAGAUAUACACCAAUAGAUGAUAAAAAUGAUAAUAAUAAGGGUAAAAAUAAAAAUCAAACCAAUCUAUAAAAAUAAUAAUAAAUAAAUGAAUAAACAAACGAAUAAAUGUUAAAUAUUAACUAAAUCAGUUUAAUGGUAUAAUCAUAAUAAUAAUAAUAAUAAUAAUAAUAAAUGAUCCAAAAUAAAUAAUAUAUAAAAGUUUAAAAUAAUAAGAUAUAUAAAACAAUUUAAAAUAAGCAAUGGAUAAGUCAAUAAAAAAAUAAUAAAUAAGAGUUUAAAAUAAAAGGGAAAUUUAAAGAAAUAACAUAUAAAAUAGUUUUUUUAAUAAUAUGUAUAAAAACAAUUUGAAAUAAACUAUAUAGAUAAUAUGUGAAAAGAGCAAAAAUAUAUAAUAUACAAAAUAAUUUAGAAUACAUGAUGUAUAAAAAAUAAUUUAAAAUAAAUAAUAAUACACUUUUAAAUAAUCAAUAUAUUAAAACAAGUUAAGAUAAAUAAGACACAUAAAUAAUCUAAUGUAAAUAGCAUAUAAAUUAUUCAAAAUAACACAUACUAAAACAUUUUAAAAAUAAAUAAAUAAAUGAAUUAAAAGGACCUGGGACAUGAUUGAAAAUUAACUGGAAUUCAGGAUAUAAAUUUGAAAUAACAAAAUGAAACAAAGGGCCAAUUUGCAGCAAGUCGCAAAUGUAAAGGGCGAAAUAACAAAUGCCCCAGGCCCCUCUAUGCGCUGCGUUUUUUAUAGGGGCCAAAAUGAAUUAAAACAGAAAUUGUACGGAUAAUUAAAAAAGGAAUAAAAUUAAGGAUUGGACUGAAUUAAGGGACGCGUAAACUUGGAGGGACUCACCGCAUAAAUAGUCCCAAGGCUACAAAACACGCAGAUCCCUUUUAUCCGGGUCAAGUCGCGCACGGGCAGUCCAAAACGGUGCCGUUUUGGCAUCUGGACCCCUACCCAAAAACGACGACGUUUCAACGGUUGUACUUAAGCCCAAUUUAAAAAAAAAUCCUUCAUUUUCUUUCUUUUUCAGAAGCAGACAGCAGCCCUCCCCCUCCAUUUCUUUUCUCUGCUAGGGUUUCUUAACCCCUCAUCACAGCCGUCGUCACGACGCCACCGUAGACGGUGGUUGAGAUCACGUGAAAGUGGGGUUCUUUAACCCCUGUUUAUAGCGCCCGAAGGCCAUGUCUCAUCAGCCCGAAAAGACGAAAAGGGAGGGCUCUUGACCCCUUUUGGGAUCGAUGACGACGGAAGAGAGCUCUCCGACGACGCAAUCACGGUGGUCUCCGGUGAGCCCUUUUCUUCUUUUUAUUAUUUAUCAUUUUUGUAUAUACAUAUAUAAAUAAAAUAAAAAUAAAAAUAAAACAAUAAAAAAUAAAGCAAAAUAAACAAGAACUUGAAACUAAAGUAAAAACCUUUGAAGCUUUGUUUUUCUGUUUUUUUAUUCUUCUCCGAAAAAAAUCCUCCCUUUUACAUUGGUUUCUCUUCGGCUUUAUAGCCUAUUACAAUAUUAGAAAAUAUUGUCUCUGGUACUGUUCAAUCACUGUUCUAUAUUGUUUCUGCCUCUGUUCUGUAUUGUUUUGCUUCUGUUUCGCCUCUGUCUCUUUGCUAUUUCGGUCUUCUUUGCAAGUUCGGCGUUCGGUCAAUGAAGAAAGGAGCUUGCCAUUUUGGUGCAAGUAGUGCCAGGGUCGAGCCUUGGGCGGUGUGCGAGCCAAGGGCGCACAUGGAGGCUGCGGCGCCAGAAGAGGAUUAGGGUUGCUGAGUUUUCUUAAAAUUUUUGGGUCAUGAGCUCUAGGGUUUUCUGUGUAGUAGGUCAUUUGGGCUUUGUUAUUUUAAGUCAUGUAUUUGGAUAGUAUUAUUAUUAUUAUUUUAUCUUGGACUGUUAUUUGGUUGUAUAAUUUAGGCAUGAGCCGGGGAAAAUAGGCCUGUUACAAAAAAUAAUUGCAACUCCAAUUUAAAAAUUAUUUGCUGAUAGGAAACUAAUCAUUAACAACAUUUUAACUAUUUAAAUUCACAGUCCUAAGUGUUGUUCUAACUUAUUAAACCGUACAAUUAAAAUAAUUUUUUAAUUAAAACAAUUAACAUAAUAUACAUAGACAAUCAUUAAGGACAAAAUGAUCUCUUUUUUUUUUAUUUUUUUACCGUAAACGAUUUGUAAUUCAAUAUUGUACUCCAAUUCGAAUACAAAAUCCUUUAUUAUUAUUUCGACUCAUCCAAAAGGAAAUGACCUAUUCGUAAGUUUGUCACCUGAACCUUCAUGAAGGC